This 134822-nucleotide long non-coding RNA is filed under the name Hordeum vulgare. RNAcentral's name for it is "long non-coding RNA (HVUL_LNC005296)". The stretch from base 91299 to 91422 matches the Rfam family "MIR1120/MIR1122 microRNA precursor family". The record is from RNAcentral. Lineage: Eukaryota; Viridiplantae; Streptophyta; Magnoliopsida; Poales; Poaceae.
ACGGUAGUCGACGGAGACGACGACCGCGGGCGCGGCGGCGGCUAGGGACGCGGCGUACUUGUGGUAGAUCGGGGAGGCCGCCGUGUGGACAACGAACGCGCCGCCGUGGAAGUAGACGACGACGGGGAACUUCUUGCCAGGCUCCGCGGCGGCGGCGGCGGGAAGGUAGAGGCGGGCGGAGAUGCUGGCCGCGGGGUCGAGGACGACGUCCUUGGAGGCGACGCCGUUGGCGGGGUCGCCGGAGGGGGAGGGCGGGACGGUCUCGGUGCCUCGCAAGCGCUCCACCCGGCCGCUCUUGUGGAUGCGUAUGAAACCGGGCAUGUCGUACACGAUCUCGGAGCUUGGGUCCAUGACGGCGGACGGCGGACGGCGGCCUUUGGCUUCGCGGCGUAGUGAGAGAGCUUCCCAGGUUCUGUGAUGGGUUAUCGUAGCAGAGCUGCAGCUUGCUCGAUGGGUUACGAUAUACUACUCCGUUUUGGUGCACCGGUACCGAUCAAACACGUCAGCUCGCAGUCUGGACGAACCAUUUUAUAAGGAGUAAUCACACCAUCCGAUAGUUAUUUAAUUUAUCUGCAGAUAAAUCUUCUUUGCAGUGGUGGACUUUUGGUAUCAAUCACACCUUGCACUGAACAGGACAGCGCGGGCCAAGACAGCGAGCGAAGCACAGCGGAAGGCUCCCUCGCCUCGCUUUCUCGCGACUCAACAAAUAUGCGUUUGGUUCGCAUCUCUGUUAUAAGCAUUUUGCAUAUUUGUUUUAAUUAGGUUUGUCUAAGCAAAUAUAGGCUGAAAAUAAUAUUUACAUAUAGUUUGGUUGUCUGCAUUAAGCUUUCAAAGGCACGAACUACAUAUUGUCAGUGCUAACCUUGAAGUAUCGAUAUCACUUUGGGUACGUUCGAAUCUUAUUAGCCGUCUGGCCGGUUGAUGACAUGAUUAUCUCUUCUUUGAGUUCCCCCAACAUCAUAGAGCACUUGCCUUAAGUAGCUGGAGAUGGUCUUCAUUUGUCUUCUGAAGGUGCUGUGCGCAACCUAAACCUCUAGUUAUGACCAAUAACAUAAAAAAAAUUGGUUACUUGCUCUUCCACAGUGGUGUGGAUGCUAUCCUGUAGCAACCCUCUACUCCUAAAGGUAUGCACAAGCCUGACAAAUGAUGCGCUUUUUAAAGGUUUGCACAAGCCUGACAAAUGAUGCGCUUUUUAUUCCAAGCAUCCAAUGAUGAAAAUGACCGUUUGAUUUUGGGUUGUAUGCAGCCUACCAAAUGCGUCAAGCUUCCAGAACAGCCGCAACGCAGCAAUCCUCUCUCAAUUUUCUUACAGCAAUCCUCCCUCAAUUUCUUAUACUCUGCAGGUCGGGGCAAUUUGGAUAACAAAACAUAUGUAAAAUGUCACAGAAAAACAUGAAUCAAAGAGCUAAAAUCCCAAAUCUGACUUAAUAAACCGACCAGAGGAAGUAGUGAUACUGUUGAAUUCACUCCCUCUAGAAUUAUCUAUUACUCCCUACGUUCCUAAAUAUAAGUCAUUUUGCUCAGUAUGUAGUUCAAAUUAAUUUUUUUGAAAAUAUUUAUAUUUAAAAGCAGAGUGCUAUUUUAUAAUAAAUCAGCGAUAAUUAAUAUGGAUCAGAGGGAGCAAGAGUUAACUAUUUUCUCAAUCCAUCACACUCCAAUAGCCUGAAAGUGAAGAUAUGGAAGAACCACACAACACCCGCAGCAUAACAACUGGAACAACGAAAUCAAAACAGGCACUUGAAUAAGAGGAUAAAUUCACCACAACACAAACACAAAUGAUGUAUACACUAAAUACAUAAGAUCGGGCAUUUUUUUUACUGCACACACCAUCCCAUGCAUCCAUAUCAUCACCUCUUGGCGCCCUUCUCUUCAAACAGAAUCGCACAACAUCGGAUGCAGCAGCAUCCCUGAUCCCUCUCAGGAGCUGGUGGCAACUGGCAUGCAACUUAACCAGCACAAGUCCAAAGGGUUCACCCCAGUUGAACAUAAGCCAUCAAAUCCUCUGGGCUGCACUUAAGCACUGAAGCUUUAGGCAGUGGCUAAAGCAUUACAUAUUGUACACUUAAAGCCUAAUGCUCCAUUAAAGCCGCAUCAGUUUCUGAUAAUGGUGCAAGCAAGUCCUCGUAUGCGUACGUGUCGUGGAACAAGGAAGGCUCCAACAUAGGUGGCGGGGAGAACACUUGAUCAAGAGCAUCAUCCGUCAUAAACGACCGACCAUUGACUGGAUCAAAGAAGUUUGCAGCAUUGCUUGGAUCGUCAUGGCCAUUCAGUUUACCUGACAGAGCUGGGGCUGCAGGCAUUGGGCUGUCAGGAUUGAAGUAAAGGUCACCUGUGCUCUUGGGCAAUUUCGACUGUGAUGACGGUAGACCUGUCCUUUGUUUUCUUCGAUUUGCCACAGCACCCACAUCCUUCCUUGAAGCAACUGUUGACAGGGGAAUGAAAAAGUGCUCUGAACCAUCAUCGCUACUCUUGUCUUGUGGACCCUCCAUGCUGCUCAAUGGCUUUGACAGAGCGGCUUCACGAACAGAACGUCUGAUGUCAUGAGCAAAAUAACCAUCAUUUUCGUGCGCUGAACCAUUUGCGUGAUCUUUGGUUGAGGGGUGAAUAAGUGCUUUCUCUUCCGGCAUAAUUUCUUUGCUAGGUUGGCGUGUUAGGGCAUUCCGCCUUUGUGUCUGUAUUCCUUUUCCAGAAGAACUUGGAGUCAGGCUAAAUAAAGGAGGAAGCUUCAGAGCAGGACUGCUCCCAGCCUUGUCAAUGUGUAUUGAAGAGAGCUUAGAAGUCAUCUCUGAAACUUGGCUGCUGCUUUCUUCUGAUCUUCCGAGCACUGUAUUUCGCACAGACAACUGUCUAGAGUUUGUUUGAUCCAUUGGAUUACUCGGUACACUAUUCACUUCUUCUGAAAGUUCUGCUAUUGACUGCUGCAUUGCUGGAAUAGCUUCUUUGAGUUGGUUAAUUAGACCCUGAAUACUGACUAAAUGCUGGCGAUGUUCGGCCAACGUUGCAGUUAAUGAGUCAGCAUGGCUACUAGUUUCGCCGUCAGACACACUGCGGAGUAAUUCUGGCCCCUCCCCAUCAUUUGCUUUGGCCAAAUGAAGAGAUUGUUUAUGAAUACGCUGCAAAGCAUGAGUCCAACGUCGAAGAAUUUCAGCUACAUCCACAGUUUGUUGGGCACGCCCAUUCCUAUCAUCUAAUCUUGAAGAAACGGCUUCUUCCUUUCCCUGGAACAGAGAUAUCUGCUCCUGCUUGUCCAAAUUUAGAGAAUGUGGAAGGCUUGAACCCAUAUCCAUUGCUGCUAGCAACUGCGAUCCAGAUAUACGGUACCUAUGCUCACGAUGUGCUAUAAGAUCUUCAAUUGGCCCGGAAGCUAAAACUUCAUGCUGGCCUUGGCGAGCCAAUAUCGAUUCCCACAAACGUGUCGCCUUAGAUACCAGAUGUGAAUUCUGUCCCGACGAGCUUGAGAUGCGUUCAUCCCACAGCUCACCCUCUAGCUUGGCUCUGUUUCUCAUAGCUUGCAGCUUCUCUAACUCCUGCUGCAGACAUGCCUCUUCAGCGCAUAGACUUCGGAAUUCAGCAGUCAUUUCAUGGGCUAAAUUCGACCAGGUUGCUUGCCUUUGAACAGCAAUAUUUGCAUUCUCCAGAAAUUUCCGCCUCUCCAGAGCAAUCCUUGCCUUGGUUACAGGAAGCAAUGCGGCAGCAUGAAGAUAAGAGACAUCUGUGAGCGCUGCCGGCAGCGGAUUUGAUGCUGCAUCAGCCGGAAACGUCCUCCUGUGGACCUCCCUUAAGGCAUGGACAGAGAGCUGCCACAAAAGCUCAACGAACCUCGGCCCGCAGCAGGUGGCGAGGGACGAAACCCUGGAGUUGCUCCGCGGCAGCGCCCCCUGCUGCUCCAGCUCGCUGAUGACGCCCUGCACGAUCUUGCGGAACUCCCUCGACUGCGCGGAAUCAAAGAUGGGCCACACCUUGUCGAAGUCCUUGGCGGACUGCGCGGGGCCGCGGAGCGAGGACAGGAGGAAGUAGAGGAGCUGCUCGCCGAGGCGAGGGUUGGAGUGGCGGAAGAGGCCGACGCGCGUGGGGACGGCGCCGGCGGGGGAGCCGAGGACGGCGGGAUCGAGGCCGAGGAGGAGGCAGUUGGUGUACAUGGCGCCCUCCAGCUCCGCCUCCCGCUCCUUCUCCCGAUCCGUCGACAUGGCCGCCGGCUUCUACUGGGUGGCUGGGUUGGGGCUAGGUUUGGGAGGAGCGGGAGGAGGCGGGCGGCAUUGGAGUCGGGAGAUCUCGCGAGGGGGAGGGGGAGGGGGAGGUGGAGGUGGGAGGCGAACAAACAAACAAAGAAAAGCAGGCCAGCCGGGUCGAGUCGAAAUGGCAACCAUUUUCUUCAGGGCCGGCUCGGGCUCGCUACGAAGAGGCCAAUCUUGUCCUUGUUCAGUCCGGUACCAAGGAUAGGAUGCCGAAUGGCGCAAGGUGAAGUGGACGCUACUCAUGUUGUGGAUCUAUGUGGGACAAGAUUUUUCAUUUUAUCUAUAAUUUCUAUAUAGUUUAUUUCCAUUAUUUUAUUUCUCACGCAUUCAUAGGCGUCGGCAUGACCGAUCUAAAGUUUGGGCCAUUUCCAUUAUUUUAUUUCUCACGCAUUCAUAGGCGUCGGCAUGACCGAUCUAAAGUUUGGGCCGGUCACACCCUAGCCGACGGAUGCUAGUCCGGGUCGUUGGAUCUAGCAAAGAAAAAAAGAUUCGCCCCAUAUCUUCUUCCUCCUCAUGCAUAUCGCGCUCGGCUAGCUCCCCUGCACCUCGUCGUCUCGUGCAGCUUCCCCCCGAUGCCUCAUGUCCCUUCAGUGGUCGUCCUCGUUCGGUCCUUGUCUUCGUCGGCCGUGCUCGUCGCUCCCUCGACCCAUGCAACAGUUGCACUUGCGGUUGCAGCUCUCAGCAGCGAACAAACAAAGAAUCAUAAAGCUUUUUUGACAUUGUCAUAGUGUGGAAAAAUGUCUUACAGUUUAAUACGAAGGUAGUGUUUUUUAUAGGAACAACUACAUGCAUCUCAAAACCUUCCUAAAUGUCGGACAACGAUAGCCAUUCAAUAAAAUGCUUCAAACAACGGACCAGUUCAGAACUUUAAAAUCCGCUAAAUCCCACCCAAACAUGGGGAUCUUUUGGGUGCGCGAUAAUUCGCUUGGCCCACUGUCAGUUGAAUUAUACUCUCUUCGUCCUAAUUUUUUUGUUUUAGCUUUGUCUAUAAAUGGAUGUAUCUAAAUACUAAAACUUGACUAGGUACAUACAUAUCUAAACAAAUCUAAGAUAAGAAUUUUGAGACGGAGAAAGUAUGUUCUUACAACUCAUUUGUUUUUUUCUAUGGGUCUGAGCAGCCGAGUCUGGCCCACCCUGCUAUCCAGAUUUGAUGCAUAUGGUUGAAUGACAAGCUCCUCUACCACUGUCCGCGGACACGUCCGAACGUGUUUGUAAACAUUUGAUUUGUCUGAUUUGAUGUCGCCGUUUAUAUCUGAUUUGUGAUGUCGUGGAUGUUUGAUUUGAUGUCGUUGUUGAACAAACAUUAAUCUCCGAGCAUUGCAAGGGUUGAGUUGUGCUUAUCGCACUUGAGCACCACCCCUGAGUCGAAAAGAUCAAAGACGUUCACGUCGAAAGUAUCUUCAGCCACGACCUUGAAGGUGAGCAACUAGUCGAUCUUCACUGGUGAGUGAUGGUGAAGUCGUCCCACCCUUAAACAAACGACAAGCUCUUGUUGAGAUCCCGAACCUUCAACCUCAAGUUGCAGUUCCUGUUUGUCUUGAGACUGAUUUCUGGGGUGAUAGUUGCCAUGUGCUAACUAUGGCACACCAAUUCAUUUAAUUGGUUCUAAUGUGUACUAGCCCAGAGAUCAUAUCAUCUAGAAAACAUUCACUUGAUAAUGGAAAUACCAAACCAUAAUAUAUUAUUGAUACAAGACCAUAAUUUCUGAAUAUUACAACAAUAGUGUGGUGGUUGAAAGUUAUACAUGGUAUCUCAACAUCUAUACACUAGUUAGGCACAGUAAGCCUUGAUGAGUAGUAAACUCUUAAACGAGAAAAGAAAUGCAAUCAGUAGUAGGACUCCAAAAAGAAUGGAUACUCUCGAGACACAUCUUAGUCAGCGAACUCAACAACAUCCCCCACAAGCAUGCACAUCAUCUUCAUUAUUUGGCCAAAUCGACAAGCCAGAUGAAUACUAUGAAAGUAGUCGCAUGCAAAUGAAACCAAGCAACAAGAUGGACAUUGAAUCCACACAAACCGGCAAAUCCAAGGAAAACACCAGAUCCAGAUAAAAGUAACGCAAAAGAAAAUAAAGCAGUGUGUUCAACUAGAUUACACGUUUAAUGCAACAUCUCGAGUAUGGGGCAUCACUCAAUGCAUGAUUUAAAUGACAAGCCAGGGUCAACAUAAACUAAAGGGAAGGUGGGAGCAAUGUCAAAUAACUGGGAAGUUGGGAACAACGUAAGGUAAGCAACUUAUCACCAAAUUAAAUGGGGAUCGUUACAAUUUCACUGGAUUUGGACUUCAUUGUUGAACGUAAUUGAACUGGAAAGUAAGAAUCAACCAAGAGUACAGAAAAGAAACCAAUGAAUCAAGCAUUGUUAGAUACUACAGGUCGAAUGGGAUCACAAUACAAUAUAUUUCAGAAAGAACAAUUGAAAUGAGGGUCUUUUAACACUUCAAAAUUCAAUGUGAUCACGCUAAUAUAUUUCAGAUCGAACCACUGAAACAAGGGUCGUUGGACUUCAAGAAUUUAGUGGGAUCAACAGAUUUUUUUACCACACUUGUAACGGCUUACACCAUCACUAAUGGAACCAAGAUCUUCUCACUCACUAUCACUGAGUGACAUUAUGCAAGGAUAUUAGACCAGGUACAGUGAUAUGCAAAGCAAUAAGGUGGCAUGGAUAACCCACAAAAUAUCAACCAAUUAAACCGACACAUUGACCAAGAAGCAAAAGAAGAAGUCCCACCACUUUUUGAUACAACUUACGGUGGAGAUUUAUUUUUACGUGUUGAUUGUUUCCUAAAUUUUAGCUUAGAUCAAAAGUGUGAUUAAUCCCGACACCGUCGAUACCAUGGACACGGCUAUUCAAAUAGUUUUUGGGUUUGAAUAGGUCGUACAUUGCACCCAUGUGACGAAAACCUUUCUCGGAGAUGCCUCACCAAGAUAAACCCUAAGAUCACAAAUUUUACUACUAUACCAGUAAGGACUUAAACCUUACAUUGAGAGUGGGAGUGUACACUAAAGGGUCAAUAUGAUCAUAUAAACCACAUGAUCAAAUAAAAUCAUAUAAAAUGCAAGUAUACGAAAGCUUAUUCUAGCAUGAAAAUAUUACCAUACUUUUAUUCAAAAUUCAUAUGAAUCAAGUAUCAAAAGAAACUAUCUUUGCAAACAUUUUUAUAAAACAAGAAUAUGCAUUUAUUUCCAUAGCAAAAUGAUACAAAAUAUCAAGAUCCAUCACAUGUCAUAAAAACAUAGGUUUAGAAGGAUUACCUUGACCAGGGGGGUUGUAAGGGUGGUCUAAUCGCUCUAAAAUAUAUAAUAGGGUUGUUAUUCUAAUAGCAUACACACAAGAAAAGGAAAAAUAAUAUUAUAAUGUGCAAGAAAAAUUCAACAACCAUACUAAUAGAAAGAUAAUUUCAAUACCAACCAAAGGCAAAAAAGAAUCAAUUCUUGUAGACAAACAAAUUUAUCUAUUUAAAUUUAAACGGAAAAUCCAGUGUAUCGAGGUGAUGUCAAAGGCAUAAAGCGAAACUAGCCUACCAUCAAAGGGGUAAGCCUGUGUGAGUUAUCAUCCUUUCAGUCACUAAUAGGUGGGGUGACUUAUUUAAAUGAAGAGUUGUGUAACAGAGAAAAAAAUGACGACAAAUGCUUGCUACUUGGUGUACAUGUUGGGGUUUCCUUGAAUAGGAAGGGUGAAGCAGUAUAAUAGCAGAUAAUAUUUCCCUGAGUUAAGAACCAAGGUUAUCAAACCAGAAGGAGACGACACAUAAACAACAUAAAAAAUACCUGCACACACACACACAAAUCAAAUGCUUGCACCCAACGAAGGCAAAGGGUUGUCAAUCCCCUUGUUCUCGUUGAUUGCAAGGAUUAAAUGUGGUAUUGAUAGUUAUAUAAAUAAAAUAAAAUAAAAUAAUUAGGAAAAUAAAACAACGAGAAAUUGUAGUUUUUAGUAUUAAUGGAGAAUUUACCCAGUGGGCAUAGCGUUCACUAGAGGCAUCUCUCUAAAAAGCAUAGCAUGAGUAGGUAAACAAAUUAUUAUUGAGCGAUCGAUAAAAAAUGACAUAGUUAUGUUUAUUCUUGGUGGCAUAAUUCAUAUAUAGGCAUUAAGUUCGUUACAAGUAGACCAUCAUCCAAUUGUAUCUAGUAAUAUUACUCCACGCUAAGAACACUAUCCAACAUGCAUCUGAAAGUAUUAAGUUCAUGACAAACAAAGUAACGCUUUAAGCAAGAUGACAUAAUGUAGGCAAAGUAAGAUCAAGAAAUGUGUUCUAACCCCAUCGUUUAUACUUAGUAGAAACAAUAAAGUGCAUGCCUUGCAACCCCUUCUAUCAUAGACUAAGGACACCACAAGAUUGAAGCCACUAAUAUGCACCACUCCCUUUAAUGAUCUACUCAAUAACCCGACAAGAGAAAACUCGUAGACAUACAUAACUAUAAAAUUACACAUAACAUAUCUGAAAAUACUCAAUUAAUUUCAAUGAAUCAUCUCAACAUUAACCCACAAUUUAUAUGAUCCCAACAAACGCACCACAACAAUUACAUCAAAUAGAUCUCCAAGGAGAACAUUGUAUUGAAGAUCAUAUAUAUAUAUAUAGAGAGAGAGAUCUAGCUAUUGUUAUGAACCCAUAGGCCCCGAAGAAACUAUUCACACAUCAUCAUGGACGCAACAAGGUUGAUGAAGAUGCCCUAGAUUACCGAAAAAGCCUUCAUAUGGGAUCAUGGAAGAACAAAGGCUGGUGGUGGCGACAAAAUUGUUUUGGGUCUCGUUACGAGGGUUUCUGUAUAUAUGCGAAUUUAUAGGAGUAGUUUUAGAUUAAACACAGCCACAGGGGGCACAAGGCACCUUGGCGCGCUCUUGCCUUGUGGCUCCCUUGUGGAGCGUCCGUCCUUCUCCUCAUGCUUCCAGGGUCUCUUUUUGUCUAGAAAAAAUUGUCAAAAAGGUUCGUCGUGUUAGGACUUCAUUUGGUAUGGAUUUCCUAAAAAACCUAAAACAUGAAAAAAACAUGACUCGUACUAGGCACUGAGUUAAUAGUUUAGUCCAUAAAAACAAUAUAACAUGAAAUAUAAAGGAUACACGAUUGAUAAUAUAAUAGCAUGAAACAAUUAAAAAUUAUCGAUACAUUGGAGAUGUUUCAGCAUCCCCAAGCUUGAUUCCUACUCGUCCUCGAGUAGGUAAAUGAUAAAAACAGAUUUUUUUGAUGUGAAAUGAUACCUAACACAUUUUAAUUAUGUAAUUAUUUGUGGUAUGAAUAUUGGAAAGCGAUUUAAUUGUUAAAUAUCAAAAUGAUAAUGUGCAAGAAUGCUAGAAAGUAAUCAUUACCUUUCAAAAUAAAGGAAGCUAAAGAAUGCUAUUCCUAAUUAUUUAAUAAUUUAGGCAUGGCAUAGCUCGGCCUUCCUAACAUAAAGUAUAAAUCAUGAGCACCCUCAUGCCAAAUCAAGCACUUGUAUCAUACUUUUUUUCGCUUCAACCUUUUCAAUUUCACUCAAUACAUGAGCGUGAGCCAUGGACUUAACACUUUGGAUGGCAAAGAGAAUGAUGAUAUGGGUUUAUAAGCAAGAUAAAGAGUGUAGAAAGUCUCACAUCAAUGUGGCAAUGGAGAGGCCUUACGAUCGAUGCCAAUGCGAGGAGUAGGGAUUGCUAUGCAUGGGAUGUACUAGAGCUAUAAGUGUAUGAAAGCUCUCCUAAUGCAACUACGUGGUGUUGGGGAACGUUGCAUGGGAAACAAAAAAAAUCCUACGCACACGCAAUACAUAUCCAUGGUGAUGAUCAUCUACGAGAGGGGACAGUGCAUCUACGUACCCUUGUAGAUCACUAAGCGGAAGCGUAUAUAACGCGGUUGAUGUAGUGGAACAUCUUCGCGAUCCAAAUCGCAGCACGUCCCGCGAUCUCAUCACGAUCCGUCCCGUGAUCCCAUCACGAUCCAUCCCGAUCUAGUGCCGAACGGACGGCACCUCCGCGUUCAGCACACGUACAACUCGAUGACGAUAUCCGCCUUCUUGAUCCAGAAAGAGGGGCAGAGAGGUAGAUGAGUUCUCCAGUACGACGGCGUGGUGGUGGUGGAGGUGAAACUAUUCAAGCAGGGCUUCGCCUAAGCACCGCUGAAACUAGACUAGAGGAGAAACAGAUCCAGAGAGAGAGGUCAGCACGUGGCUAUUUUUCUAUGUCUCAAAACCCUCAAAAAACUCUAGUAUAUAUAGGAGGAGGGAGGGAGGAGGUUGCGCACUAGGGCUGGCUCCUUUCCUUGGCGCAAGGAGGAGAGGAGGAGUCCUCCUCCAAUCCAAGUAGGAUUAGGACGACUCCUCCUUCCCACUUGGAAACUCCUUCCACCUUGUGUUUUUUAUCCUCAAACCUCAUGGGCCUUAGUGGGAGCUUAUGUCAGCCCACUAGGGGCUGGUGUGUAUCCUCCCACAACCCAUAAGGCCCCUUGGGGCGUGACACCCCUCCCGAUGGUCCCUGGUACCCUCCUGGCACUCCCGGUACACUACCAACGAGUCCGAAACUUUUUGGAUGACCAAAGCAGGACUUCCUAUAUAUCAAUCUUUACCUCCGGACCAUUCCGGAGCUCCUCGUGACAUCCAAGAUCUCAUCCAGGACUCCGAACAACCUUCGGUCACCAACACCUAUAACUUAACUAUACCGAAACAUCACCGAACCUUAAGUGUGCAGACCCUGCGGGUUCGAGAAUUAUGCACACAUGACCUGAGACACUCCCCGGUCAAUAACCAAUAGCGGUACCUGGAUAUCCGUAUUGGCUCCUACAUAUUCUACGAAGAUCUCUAUCGGUUGAACCUCUAUGUCAAGGAUUCAGUUAAUCUCGUAUGCUAUUCCCUUUGUCCUUCGGUAUGUUACUUGACAGAGAUUCAAUCGUCAGUAUCUCCAUACCUAGUUCGAUCUCGUUACCGGCAAGCCUCUUUACUCGUUUCGUAAUACAAGAUCCCAUAACUAACUUCUUAGUCACAUUGCUUGCAAGGCUUGUUGUGAUGUUGUAUUACCGAGUGGGCCCCGAGAUACCUCUCCAUCACACGGAGUGACAUACCCCAGUCUUGAUCCAUGCCAACCCAACAGACACCUUCGGAGAUACCUGUAGAGCACCUUUAUAGUCACCCAGUUACGUUGCGACGUUUGAUACACACAAGGUAUUCCUCCGGUGUCCGGGAGUUGCAUGAUCUCAUGGUCAUAGGAACAGAUACAUUGACAUGCAGAAAAUAGUAGCAAUAAACUGACACGAUCAUAUGCUACGUUUAUAGUUUGGGUCUUUAUCCAUCACAUCAUUCUCCUAAUGAUGUGAUCCCGUUAUCAAGUGACAACACUUGUCUAUGGCCAGGAAACCUUGACCAUCUUUGGUCAAGGAGAUAGUCAACUAGAGGCUCACUAGGGACAGUGUGUUGUCUAUGUAUCCACACAUGUAUUUGAGUUUCCAAUCAAUACAAUUCCAGCAUGGAUAAUAAACGAUUAGCAUGAAUAAGGAAAUAUAAUAAUAACCAAUUUAUUAUUGCUCUAGGGCAUAUUUCCAACAGUCUCCCACUUGCACUAGAGUCAAUAAUCUAGUUCACAUCACUAUGUGAUUGUAAUGAAUCUAACACCCAUACAGUUCUGGGGUUCGAUCAUGUCUUGCUUGUGAGAGAGGUUUUUAGUCAACGGAUCUGAACCUUUAAGAUCCGUGUGUGCUUUACAAAUCUCUAUGUCAUCCUAUAGAUGCUGCUACUACGCGCCAUUUGGAAUUAUUCCAAAUGACUGCUCCACUAUACGAAUCCGGUUUACUACUCAAAGUCAUCCGAAUUAGUGUCAAAGCUUGCAUCGACGUAACCCUUUACGACGAACUCCUUAAUCACCUCCAUAAUCGAGAAAAAAAAUUCCUUAGUCCACUAGUUACUAAGGAUAACUUUUGACCGAUGUUCAGUGACUCAAUCAUGGAGCACUCUUUGUACCGCUUGACAGACUCAUGGUAAGGCACACAUCAGGUGCGGUACACAGCAUGGCAUACUUCAGAGCCUACGACUAAGGCCUAGGGGACGACCUUUGUCCUUUCUCUUUCUUCUGCCAUGGUCGGGUUUUGAGUCUUACUCAAAUUUGCACCUUACAACACAGUCAAGAACCCCUUCUUUGUCGAUCUAUUUUGAACUCCUUCAAAAACUUGUCAAGGCAUGCAUUUCAUUGAAACUCUUAUCAAGCGUCUUGAUCUAUAUCUAUAGAUAUUGAUGCUCAAUGUUCAAGUAGCUUAAUCUAGGUUUUCCUUUGAAAAACACUUUUCAAACAACCCUAUAUGCUUUCCAGAAAUUCUACAUCAUUUCCGAUCAACAAUAUUUCAACCACAUAUACUCAUCAGAAAUUCUAUAGUGCUCCCACUCACUUUCUUGGAAAUACAAGUUUCUCAUAAACUUUGUAUAAAACCAAAAGUUUUGAUCACUCAUCAAAGUACUUAUUCCAACUCCGAGAUGCUUUCUCGAGUCCAUAGAAGGAUCACUGGAGCUUGGAUACUUGUUAGCAUCCUUAGGAUCGACAAAACCUUCUGGUUGUAUCACAUACAACAUUUCCUCAAGGAAACCGUUGAGGAAACAAUGUUUUGACAUCCUAUCCGCAAGAUUUCAUAAAUAAUGCCAACUGCUAACAUAAUUGCAACAGACUUUUAGCAUCGCUACGAGUGAGAAAGUCUCAUCAUAGUCAACUCUUUGAACUUGUCGCAAACAUCUUUGAGACAAGUCGAGCUUUCUUAAUGUUGACUUGUCACCACCAUCGCCCGUCUUCCUUUUAAAGAUCCAUAUGUACUUAACAGUCUUAUGACCAUCAAGUAGUUCUUCCAAAGUCCACACUUAGGUUUCAUACAUGGAUCCUCUCUCGGAUUUCAUGGCUUCGAACCAUUUGCCGGAAUCCGGGCCCUCCAUCGCUUCUCCAUAGCUCGUGGGUUCACUGUUGUCUAACAACAUGACCUCCAAGACAGGGUUACCGUACCACUCUGUAGCAGUACGUGACCUUGUCGACCUACGAGACUUGUAGUAACUUGAUCCAAAGUUUCAUGAUCACUAUCAUUAGCUUCCACUUCAAUUGGUGUAGGCGCCACAGGAACAACUUCAUGCGCCCUGCUACACACUGGUUGAAGUGACGGUUCAAUAACCUCAUCAAGUUUCCACCAUCCUCCCACUCAAUUCCUUCGAGAGAAACUUAUCCUCGAGAAAGGACCCGUUUCUAGAACAAACACUUUGCUUCCGGAUCUGAGAUAGGAGAUGUACCCAAAUGUUUUGGGUAUCCUAUGAAGAUGCAUUUAUCCGCUUUGGGUUCGAGCUUAUUGAUGACCCACAAGUAUAGGGGAUCAAUUGUAGUCCUUUCAUUAAAUAAGAGUGUCGAACCCAACGAGGAGCAGAAGGCUCUGAUAAACGGAUUUCAGCAAGGUAAAAACUGCAAGCACUGAAAGUAGCGGUAACAAGUGAUUGUGUAGCGAGGUGAAACGUAGGAAGCAAAGAGUAACAAGUAACAAGUAGUAGCAACGGUGCAGCAAGUGUCCCAAUCCCUUUUGUAGCAAGGGACAAGCCUGAACAAAGUCUUAUAGGAGGAAAAACGCUCCCGAGGACACACGGGAAUUUCUGUCAUGCUAGUUUCAUCAUGUUCAUAUGAUUCGCGUUCGUUACUUUGAUAGUUUGAUAUGUGGGUGGACCAGCGCUUGGGUAAUACCCUUACUUGGACAAGCAUCCCACUUAUGAUUAACCUCUCUCGCAAGCAUCCGCAACUACAAAAGAAGAAUUAAGACAAAGUCUAACCAUAGCAGUAAACUAGUGGAUCCAAAUCGGCCCCUCACAAAGCAACGCAUAGACUGGGGUUUAAGCUUCUGUCACUCCAGCAACCCAUCAUCUACUUACUACUUCCCAAUGCCUUCCUCUAGGCCCAAAUAUGGUGAAGUGUUAUGUAGUCAACGUUCACAUAACACCACUAGAGGAAAAACAACAUACAUCAUAUCAAAAUACCGAACAAAUAUCAAAUUCACAUGACUAUUAUUAACAUGACUUAUCCCAUGUCCUCAAGAACAAAAGUAAUUACUCACAAGACAUAAUCAUAAUCAUGACCAGAGGUGUAAUGAAUAGGAUCAAGGAUCUGAACAUAAACUCUUCCACCAAAUAAUCCAACUAGCAUCAACUACAAAGAGUAAUCAACACUACUAGCAACCUUACAAGUACCAAUCGGAGUCGCGAGAUGAAGAUUGGUUACAAGAGAUGAACUAGGGAUUGGAGAGGAGAUGGUGUUGAUGAAGAUGUUGAUGAAGAUGCAUCCCCUCCGACGAGAGGAGUGUUGGUGAUGACGAUGGCGACGAUUUCCCCCUCCGGGAGGGAAGUUUCCCCGGCAGGAUCGUCCCGCCGGAGGUCUAGAUUGGAUCUGCUCAAGUUCCGCCUCGUGGCGCCGGAGAAACCACGAAAAAGCUCCCUAUUGAUUUUUUCCAGACCAGGACGCUUCAUAUAGCAAAAGAGGGGGGCUAGUGGGCCUUCAGGCAGCCCACAAGCCUGCCCUACGCCACCAGGGGGUGGUGGCGGUGGGCAAGCUUAUGGAGCCCUGGUGGCCCCCCUCCGGUAGUUCUUUCGCCCAGUAUUUUUAAUAUAUUCCAGAAAAAAUCCACGUAAAUUUUCAGGGCAUUUGGAGAUGUGCAGAAUAGUGGACUAGGAUUUGCUCCUUUUCUAGUCCAGAAUUCCAGCUGCCUGAAUUCUCCCUCUUCACAUAAUCCUUGCAAAAUAAGAGGAAAAAAUGCAUAAAUAUGGUACCACAAGUAAUAUAACAUCCCAAAAAGCAAUAAAUAUCAACAUGAAGGCAUGAUGCAAAAUGGACGUAUCAACUCCCCCAAGCUUAGACCUCGCUUNNNNNNNNNNNNNNNNNNNNNNNNNNNNNNNNNNNNNNNNNNNNNNNNNNNNNNNNNNNNNNNNNNNNNNNNNNNNNNNNNNNNNNNNNNNNNNNNNNNNCUCCUCCUUCUCCUCCUUCUUGAUUUCUUCUACUCCUCCUCCUCCUCCUCUUUCUUCUCCUCUUUCAUAUUAUCCUUGAUUUAAUUUCCCCAAAAAUGACAUAAUUAGCCCAUUUAACUCCAAAAUGCCAUAAUAAGCUCAAAAUGGCAUAAGAACCUUGGUUAGCUCAUGAAUAUUAUAUACUUAGCUUGUUUUUCUCUAAAAUGGGAUAAUUAGCCCAUUUAGCUCCAAAAAGACAUAGUUAGGUAAUUUAGCUCCAACAAGAGGAGAAGAGGAGAAGAAAUAGGAAAAAUGAAAAGAAAGAAGAAGAAGAAGAAGAAGAAGAGAAGAAGGAGGAGGAGGAGAAGGCCAAGGACCUUCUAGUCCUUCUCCUCCUCCUCCUUCUCCUCCUUCUUGAUUUCUUCUUUUUCUCCUCCUCCUCCUCCUUCUUGAUUUCUUCUUUUUCUCCUCCUCCUCCUCUUUCUUCUCCUCUUUCAUAUUAUCCUUGCUUUAAUUUCCCCAACAAUGACAUAAUUAGCCCAUUUAGCUCCAAAAUACCAUAAUAAGCUCAAAAUGGCAUAAGAACCUUGGUUAGCUCAUGAAUAUUAUAUACUUAGCUUGUUUUCCUCUAAAAUGGGAUAAUUAGCCCAUUUAGCUCCAAAAAUACAUAAUUAGGUAAUUUAGCUCCAACAAGAGGAGAAGAGGAGAAGAAAUAGGAAAAAUGAUAAGAAAGAAAGAAGAAGAAGAAGAAGAGAAGAAGGAGAAGGAGAAGGAGGAGGAGGAGAAGGAGAAGGUCAAGGACCUUCUAGUCCUUCUCCUCCUUCUUCUUGAUUUCUUCUUCUUGUCCUCCUCGUCCUCUUUCUUCUCCUAUUUUAUAUUAUCCUUGCUUUAAUUAACGCAUUUAGCUCCAAAAUGCCAUAAUAAGCUAAAAAUGGCAUAAGAACCUUGGUUAGCUCAUGAAUAUUAUAUUCUUAGCUUGUUUUCCGCUAAAAAUGACAUAAUUAGCUGAAAAACAUCAUAUUUUGUUUUUCUUCUGACUUUCUUAUUCACAUUUUUACAGAUUGGAUAUACUACAUGCAUGGAAGCUGGCAUUCAUGGAGUUGAACAAUGUCGAUGGAUGAACUUUAUAUGUAUAUCAUCUAGUUUUCAUUUGAGUUGAUGAACAAUGUCGAACUAUAUGUAUAUGUAUAUAUGGAUAAAUGGUGCAAUACUUUGUAUGUUGGUUCUUUCGAUAUAUGGGGAUGUACAUUGAUUUAUAUGUAUAUCAUAUAUGUGUGGUGAAUUAUAUAUAUGUGUUGGCAAGUAUAUGUGUGGUGAACUAUAUAUCAUAUAUGUGUGGUGAAUUAUAUAAAUGUGAUGUCAAAUAUAUAUGUAUAUAUAUAUAUAUAUGUGUGUNNNNNNNNNNNNNNNNNNNNNNNNNNNNNNNNNNNNNNNNNNNNNNNNNNNNNNNNNNNNNNNNNNNNNNNNNNNNNNNNNNNNNNNNNNNNNNNNNNNNAGAAGAAGAAAUCAAGAAGAAGGAGGAGAAGGAGGAGAAGGAGGAGGAGGAGAAGGACUAGAAGGUCCUUGGCCUUCUCCUUCUCCUCCUCCUCCUCCUCCUUCUCCUUCUUCUCUUCUUCUUCUUCUUCUUCUUCUUUCUUUUCAUUUUUCCUAUUUCUUCUCCUCUUCUCCUCUUGUUGGAGCUAAAUUACCUAAUUAUGUCUUUUUGGAGCUAAAUGGGCUAAUUAUCCCAUUUUAGAGGAAAACAAGCUAAGUAUAUAAUAUUCAUGAGCUAACCAAGUUUCUUAUGCCAUUUUGAGAUUAUUAUGGUAUUUUGGAGCUAAAUGGGCUAAGUAUGUCAUUGUUGGGGAAAUUAAAGCAAGGAUAAUGUGAAAGAGGAGAAGAAAGAGGAGGAGGAGGAGACGAAGAAGAAAUCGAGAAGAAGGAGGAGAAGGACUAGAAGGUCCCUGGCCUUCUCCUUCUCCUCCUCCUCCUCCUCCUUCUACUUCUUCUCUUCUUCUUCUUCUUCUUCUUCUUUCUUUUCAUUUUUCCUAUUUAUUCUCCUCUUAAAUGAGCUAAAUUACCUAAUUAUGUCUUUUUGGAGCUAAAUGGGCUAAUUAUCUCAUUUUAGAGGAAAACAAGCUAAGUAUAUAAUAUUCAUGAGCUAACCAAGGUUCUUAUCCCAUUUUGAGGUUAUUAUGGCAUUUUGGAGCUAAAUGGGAUAAUUAUAUCUUUUUGGGGAAAUUAAAGCAAGGAUAAUAUGAAAGAGGAGAAGAAAAAGGAGGAGGAGGAGAAGAAGAAGAAAUCAAGAAGAAGGAGGAGAAGGAGGAGAAGGAGGAGGAGGAGAAGGACUAGAAGGUCCUUGGCCUUCUCCUCCUCCUCCUUCUCCUUCUUCUNNNNNNNNNNNNNNNNNNNNNNNNNNNNNNNNNNNNNNNNNNNNNNNNNNNNNNNNNNNNNNNNNNNNNNNNNNNNNNNNNNNNNNNNNNNNNNNNNNNNCUUCUGUUCCGAAAAAAAUCUUUUUGGAGGUUUUAUUCCGUUUGGACUCCAUUUAAUAUUCUCCUCUGAAAAGGGUCAAAAACACGGAAAAAACAGGAACUGGCACUUGGCACUGAGUUAAUAAGUUAGUCCCAAAAAAUAUAUAAAAGGCAUACAAAACAUCCAAAGUUUGACAAGAUAAUAGCAUGGAACUAUCAAAAAUUAUAGAUACGUUGGAGACGUAUCAGCCAGCAAUGGAGUGGCACGCACCUGAGUGGCCCGGAUAAGCAUCGUUCUUGUAUAAGAGGUGCUAGGACUGACAUCGGACGCCCUUGCAUCUUGUAGGAGCGCAAAGGGUGAUGGGCCCAUGACCCCUGUGCGCUUAGGAUUUAGACCGACGGGCUGGCCUCUCUGUUGAGCUUAGGUAGGGCUGCGACGUGUUGAUGUUCCGACGCCGGGCAUGACCCGCGAAAGUGUGUCCGACCAGAGUUUAUCAAGCAUGUUGGGUACUGUGGUGCAUGAUACGUCUCAAAUGUAUCUAUAAUUUUUGAUGGUUUCACGCUGUUAUCUUGUCAACUUUGGAUGUUUUGUUUACCUUUUAUAUCUUUUUUGGGACUAACUUAUUAAUUCAGUGCCAAGUGCCAGUUCGUGUUUUUUUCUGUGAUUUUGACUCUUUUCAGAUCUGAUUUUGGAACGGAGUCCAAACAGAAUAAAAUCCUCGAAAUAUUUUUUUCCAGAACGGAAGAAGAUCGGAGGACAUGAGGGCCAAGGCAGGGGGCCCACAGGGAGCCCACAAGCCCUGUUGUCGUGGCCAGGGGGCACGCGGCAACCAGGCUUGUGGCCUCCCUGGCGCUCCAUUGCCCCAGCUCUUUGGCCUAUAAAUUCCCUAAAAUCGCAGAAAAAAUCAGGGCAUCCACAAAAACACUUUUCCGCCGCCGCAAGCUUCCGUUUCUGCGAGAUCUCAUCUGGAGACCCUUCUCGAUGCCUUGCCGGAGGGGACUUUGGAGUUGGAGGGCUUCUACAUCAACAUCAUCGCCUCUCCAAUGACUCGUGAGUAGUCCACUUCAGACCUACGGGUCAGACNNNNNNNNNNNNNNNNNNNNNNNNNNNNNNNNNNNNNNNNNNNNNNNNNNNNNNNNNNNNNNNNNNNNNNNNNNNNNNNNNNNNNNNNNNNNNNNNNNNNGGUCCGGGCCGUCUCGCGCUGGGCAGUCUGCUUCGUCCGUUUUAUCUCAAACGGACGCGCACGGAUAUAAUGGGGUCGCGCGGCGGAGUUGGCCUAAGAGAGGCAUGCACCGCAUCUAUAUGCCUCUCGUACCGCCCGAGAGAGGAGCUCUCGAGACGCAUUUGUGUUGUGCUUCGUCGCCACCCUUCGGUUCCACGCGUCGUGCUCCACUGCCGGUAACCCGAGGUCAUCCUUGCCUCAUGCUCGCCGACGUCUUCCUCUCCCACUCUAUUCCACGUGUGUGGCCAGCUAAGCACCGCCCUCGCCUUCGAUUUACGCUUGUAGGGGCUUCGUCGUUGGAAAGUUUUAUUUUUGUUAGAGUAAAACAAGAUUGAAUGGAAGUGAAUGGACCAGGAGUCCUCUUUCUAUUGAUUCUCAAGUAUAUAUACAUCUGGAACAGGUGCGAAGAAGAGGUGUAUGUUCGGAGGCAUCCCUCCAGAACAGGUGCCUGUUGGCAAUAGACACAAAGAGGAGACACGACUGUUCGGGUUGGACAUAUCCCUUGAAUUAAUCUACUAAUUAAUUUCUAACACUCCCCCUUGUACAACACCGCUCCUUGAAUGUUUCAUCGUUGAAAGCUUCUUGCAUAUAGAUCUUUCAUCUUGAUAAAUCUUCCAGAUAAUCUUGAGAGUCUCCCCAAAAACCCCGUGGGAAAAAUAUGAGGAGAAUAGAGUAGAUAUGUUGCUAAAACUCCUUUAAACCCAGUGGGGAAAAAUAUGGAGAAAAUGAUGCAACAUAUGAUGAUUAUUGUCUCUUGAUAACUCAUAUGAGGAAAACCUUUGAAGAAGGAGAAAACUCAUUGAUAAGUUUAGAGAACAAUUAAUAUGUCUUGAGUACUUCCUUUAAAAACCCUGGUAGGGAAAAUAGAAAGUAUGACAUAUGAUCUUUGAGAAGAUAUUGCCUCACUAAAAACCAUUAUGAGAAACUUUGAGAGAAAACUCAUAAGGGAAAAGAGUGCAAUCGUAUAUGCCAUUGAAAACUCCUUUAAAACCCAAUGGGAAAAAUACAAGGAGAAAAUGAUAUGGCAUAUAAAGACACUUGUGUUUAUAUUGUCGCGUUAAAAACCUUUUAUGAGAAACCAAUAGGGAAAACUCAUCAAGGGAAAAAGAGUACAAUAUAUGCAAUCUGAUGAUUGUUAAUAGGUUAUAGUUUGGGAGAUUACUCCCCCUGAACUUUGCAAAUAUGAAGGAUGUCUCAUACCAAUUCCAUUGACAUGAACAUGAGAUUGUGUAUAAUCUGUUGGAUUAUAACAGUAGUUUGUUUGCAAAUUAUUUCCUCACUUUUCUAUAAUUCGUGAGGCUAAGUAAUUUCCGAGCAAUGUGAUUUAUGAUAUUGCUCUUCAUAUAACCUAUAGGUAUUGAGUAACACAAGUGGAAGUAUCUUGAUAAAUCAAGUUAUGUGAUUGUGAUGAAUCUCAACCACAUGAUUUUGAGUGUGGUUAACCAUUCUACUAAGUUAUGCAUAUUUUGCAAUGCCUUUAGAUAAAGCAAUUAUGUUAGAAUGAUAACUGGAAAUAACCACUAAAAUCCAUUUAUAUGACUUCCAUGUGAAGGCUAUUCCAGCAAAUUCAGUCAUUGAUAUGGCAUCGUUGGGAUCAAAUAAAGAGCCAAUAUCAUUACAUCAUAUCAUGGUCAUAUCUUCUAUUUCCUGAUGGAAAUAUCCAAGAUUUACUGUAAUCUUCAGAUAUAAGAUGAUAUUACUUAUAUCAACCAUAUACCUUUUGUUGGGGAUUGCACUCUGAAUAAAGAUAGCAAAUAUAGUGUCAGGCCUGACGUAGUUUGCAAGUAUAUGAGUGCUUUGACAUUAGUGAUAUAUAGAACUUCAGGUCCUAGUAUCACUUCAUUAUCACCCCUAGGUAUGAAUGGAUUUGUACCUUAUCAAAGGUAGUAUGACCAUACAUGUCUUUUAUUGUUAUGAUAUAUUCACACUGAACUUCUCGUAUAUGUUUUGGAUAUAUGUAGACUGAUACUAAUUCUUGAUAGAAUGCUCAAGUUGUAAACUUAAGCUAAAUUUGGUUAAAUCCAAAUUUUUCGUCUUGAGAUGAUUUUGUGUAUGUUUAGGUCUUGUAGAGACAUUGAUGAUGAAAUCAUCGAUAUACACUGAGGUGAUAUAAGGAAUUCAAAUUUGGGAUUCCUUUGUUAACAGAUAAACAAUCAUCAUUCUUUGAGUAAUCCUUCGGAAGAAGAAAGUCACUUAGUCGGUAGUACCAUAUGAUUUCCGACUAUUUCGAGCCAUAGAGUGACUUCUGAAAUUUUACACAAAUAUGUUGCGAUUUAUUUUGGAUUUGGAAUUGUAAGCCCUUGAGAGACUUCGUUAUAAAAUUCCGAAACAAGUGACCCAUAUGAGUAUGUAGUCACUACAUUCAUUAACUGCAUGGAUAAUAUUAUUUGUACUGCCAAUGGUAUUUAUUAUCGAAACAUAAUUCCAUUCAUACCAAGAAGGUAUGUUACAUCAUAAUCGAUGUCGGGUCUCUGCGUGAACCCUUUUGCUACAAGCCUCGCUUUUUCACCACCUCAUUGACUUUGUCUAUGAAUGAGAAGUUUUUAGUAUUCCAUAUGGAAGAUACUUAUGAGGAGUAGAUAUUGUUGUGGUAAAUACAAUUCGUUUGUAGAGCGAGUGCUAUUCUUCAUGACUUGCUUCCUUUUAUGUGAACCAAUAUGAGUACAAGAGGCACUCUACCAUGGAUUUUGGUUCAGGGCCCAAAAAGGUUUUAGCAAUUUGGAGAAGAAAUAUAUGUCGACAAAUGUAGACUUAUGUUAUAUGAUUAUGGAGAAAUCAAUGAAAUUUGUGGAAAUGUAUUUAUUCCUUUUAACUCCUUGUAUUUCCUACAACAAUGGAGUCAAGGUGUUUCGAUGUCCCGACACCAAAACAUUUGUGCACAUUUAUGUCGGGUUUUGGAUGAUGAGCAUCCAGUGAGGUGUCUUUCAACUCGAUGUUGAAUUACAUUUACUAGUUGAGGAUUUGAUUUCCUCUAUUUCCGCGGAAGCAUAUGUGAGAUUAUAUCUCGUGUGGUCAGAUUUCUCCCCCUCUUGCUCUCAUUUUGGGAGAGGAGUGGUUUAUCAGGUACCUCCACUCUUUCUGACACUUUACUGCAGGAAUAUAAAAUUGAGUGACACCUUUGUCAUCAGUAAAUGUAUGUGGCAGAUUUGCAAUGUGUUGCAAAUAUGUGAUUCUAAACUUCUUGUUCAGAUCUUUGAGUACGUGGAUAUAAAGACUGAAUGUGAAUAACAUUCCUAAUUUAUUUCUUGGCAUUCUUUGUGGUACUUAUCUCCCCCUAAUGCCAUAAAUGUCCUUAUUGCUGAUGCAAUCAGCAUACGGGCUAUGAAUAAUUUUGAUUGACGGAUAAAUUAUCAUUCCUCACUUAGAUCCCUAAUUUUCUGUGAGAGCCCAUUGAUGUAUGCUGGAGUGGUGAUAUCGGUAUGUAACCGAAUUAUCGCAGAGAGGAAAUAAUUUGUUGAUUUCCACAUAAUUACUAAAAGGGGAAAGUAGUAUGCUAUGCAGUUGGUAUGAUUUAUAUCAUACUUACGGUGUGUAAUGACGUAUUUGUCUAGCAUGAGGCUAGUAAAUCAUGAUUCUAUAAGUUUGGUCAUAUUAUUAAUUUCACUAUCUUUGAUAAGAUAUUGAACUAAACCAUUUUGGAUAUGUACAUAAAGUAUUAUAUAUAAUCAGAUAUUUCUUGUGAAAUGAGUUCAACAAAGUUGUCCGUUCGAAUGGAUUUAUCCCUUGUUUAGGAUAACUUGCUCUUACUUUGAGAAUUUGAGCAAUUGAUUUAGUUAUAUCGUUCACGGUUUGUGUGACAAGAGACACACUAGAAAUCAUUUUAUAAAUGAUGUUUCCAUGAGUACCAUAAAGUAUCUAUAAAAUACCACACAAUGGUUGAGAAUGCACGUAUCUUCUGAAUGUGUUCAAGGAAGAAUGAGUUGGCUCAUUUAGAAUUGUAAGGUGAGAUUUCCUUAAAUUAAUUUCCCUUAUGGCACAUGUGGUGCACAUAAAAUCUGAUGAUUUGGGAAAUUUUGCAACUUGUUAAGUUGUGACCAAUAGAAUUGUCAAUAAUUUUCUAAACAACCCCAAACCUGGAUUGUAAGGCUUAAAACCAAAUAUUUUGCAAGAUUUAGAAAAUUAUUGUGUACGCAACAAAACUGAGUAUGAAUUGAUUCAUACAUGCAAAAAUUAUCAAAUAUAAUGUCCAAGAAAUAGGAUAUUGGACAUUUAUACUACAUGUAGUAGUACGACUAUAGGCAAACAAUAUUUUGGGAAUAAUCGGGAUAUUACAUGAGGUUUCCCAUAUUACGGAAAAAUGAGUUACGCAAACAUAUCAUAGGCACAAACGAAUUGAUCAUUAUUUUAUUGCACUAUAUUUUUGGUUCUCCUUCAGAUGAAGAUUCGAGAACAUCAUUUACCAGAAUAGUUUCUGGUCGUAUGUUUGCAAAUUUUCAAAUACCACAAUGAACUUAUUUGCCUUUUAAUAAACUCAUGGUGUGGUUUGACCAUAUGUUUGAGGGUUUGGUAAUCAUAGGUACGAUAUUCAUGUAACCACACAUUUGACAAACUUGAGAGUUGUCUUUGUAAUCUUUUUAAAAUGAUCAAUUACUAAUUAAAAGGUAAUUAUGUCAUUGGUUGUCUUUAUCCUCCACUUUACUUUGAAUGCCUCAUUGUUCUAUUUUGUGACCACUAACAUGCAUAGUAUUCUCAAUGCUAGAAAAUAUUUGAAGCACCCGUUGGGUGAAUAUGAUGAGUUUAAGAAAUAACAUGUUUCUUUACCAUGAAAAUGGUAAUACCAUCAUAAGGAGAUGUAAAGUGUAUCAAGGGUUUUUCAACCUGAUCUGCAUAUGAAAAUGUGAGAUCAUGAGAUCUCAACUUCAAGUUGAUUUUAUAAUUACCAAAAUUGUAAGUUGCGAUAGACUUGAGAUCUUGAAAAAUUAUUGGGUGAUCAUUCCAAAUGUGCUCGGGGCAGCAUGUUUCUCUUAAGGGAAAUAUUCAAGGUGAAUAAAUAUUCAUCCAUUAUGUACUUAGUUUGAGAACUAAGUGAAGUUGGUGAGAGAUGAAAUACAUAUGAUCAUACUUAGCUAUUAAGAGAAUAGCCAUGACACAUAUUCCGUAGGUGAGGUUAUAGUAGCAAUAAUACCUCGGGUGGAUACAACGACUGCUGGCGUAAAUCAUCUUGCAAUAAAUAAUCUCACCUAACAUGUACUUACUGUAUUUGGAAAUGUGAGCCAUGCGUUACUUGAAAAUGCUAAUGCAUUUAUUUAAUUUACUUCUAGGAGUAAGUGGCAUCUAUAAAUAAAUGAUUUGUUUGAGAACAAUCAUGGUCAAGAUGAUCCUUGGUGAACCUGGGUGUAUCCUUCAAUAUAACACAUGUGAUUAAAUUAUUGCUAAUGUUUUGGACUUCAUUCUUGAGGAAGUGUGUGACUUUAGAGUCACUGCCAAAACGUAUAGACUUGCAUGCUUAACAUUGGUUAGUCACUAUGAAAUUAUAACCACGAUGUCCUGUGGACCUUGCGANNNNNNNNNNNNNNNNNNNNNNNNNNNNNNNNNNNNNNNNNNNNNNNNNNNNNNNNNNNNNNNNNNNNNNNNNNNNNNNNNNNNNNNNNNNNNNNNNNNNGCAUCCCGAAGCCACGCCGAAUCGUCGACGAUGAAGGAGAGAGCGCCGAAGAAGAUCUGGUGACCCAUGCUCGAAUCUCCACUGGACGACAUGACGAAGGAAAGUAGUCGCAAACUCGCCGGAAGUCGCUUAGACGCCUGCCCCAUGGUGGGCGCCAACUGUCGUGGGUAUAAGCCUGACAAUAGAUGUGUAGGGUAUGAAAAGGAUGGGCAUAGCCUUAGCUACGGCGAGGUUGUAUGAGUUCAGGCCCCUCUGCGGUGGAGGUAAUAGCCCUACGUCUCAGUGCUCUGGGAGCUUGUUGUCGAGUGGAAUAUGGAAUACAAUGAGUUGCUAACCCUCGCACCAGUGGAGGAGGGUGACUUAUAUAGAGUGCGCUGCCCUCCACAACGGUUCGGUGCACAGGGGUGGAGUAGUGGCGAAUAAAUGCCUACGUUACAGGUAACGUACGUCUUAAAUGCUAAUAAAGGCGUGUGGAAACGUAUGACCGUUUCCCCCCAGGGGGGUUACGAUGCACAGAGUGAAAUCCAGUCGGUUAGUUUGAUACGCUCCGAAUGCUCGUCUCCGACUAGACGAUUGAAGAUCUGUCACCGACUGGAUGAUGGGAACAUCUUAGUUCAGUCGAAACUGACUAAGGGCCUUGUCCCUUAUGAAGGGUAGUCCUUGGGUAGGACCUACAGGGCAGGCCUAUGACCCUACCCUAGGACCAUAACCCCAUCAACGGCGAAUUACCAGGGUUGAAUUGUAAAAGGAGUAUAUAGGCUUAGUUUGGCAACAUGGUAAUAGACCAGCUAAUCAUUUUAAAAUGUAACAGAUAUAGAGAAACCGGGAGCAACAAUCCUGUUUUCUAAUAUGUGCUUCAACGGGCUAAGAGCUCUCGUCAACACUUGAGCAAGAGCUAGUUGGGUAUGGAAACUCCUGUAUUCUUACCACUCGCAAUGGACAAAUAUGGCACGAACAAGAGCUACAUCAGCUCAUCUUUGCACCCCGCACGUCUGGGUAGCAAGCUCCACCACUAAAGCAACAAAAUAAGAACCAUAAGAGAACCAAAAAGCAUGCUAUAGUCAAGGACACGAUCAGUGUUGAUUGUUCUGUUGACAACUGCAGUGAGGAGCAGGUUCUGGUGACAACAGUUUUUAAAAAAGAGGUCUCAUGUUGUUUUUUAAAACUGAGAAAAUACCACAGUUUUCGUAAUACCACAUGUUUUAAACAAAGAAAAUCCACCAGCCAGUGUUGAUUGUUCUGGUGACAACAGUAAUGCUUGUCUUUCUUUCUUAAGGGAUGUCUGUUCGAAAGAAAUCAACAAUGUCCCAGGUACACAUCCAUUUUUACAUUUUUCCAAAUAUAUACUUUUACAUUUUUCCAAAUAUAUACGUCUAGUCUCAUCUAAACAGUAUGUGCAUGCAUUGUAUUCCUUGUUUGUGUGUCUUGAAAGGUUACUAAGAACAGGCCAACCAUUGAUGGUUACAAACAGCAACGCUCAUAAGUCAAAUUCCUGUUGUUUGUGCUCAUCCCACACACGUACACCUUUUAUAUCCCACAACUAUAAAAGUUCGUCAACUAAUGACCUUAGGUACACAUCAAUGUCGUUGCCGGGUUGCUUUAGGCCUUGGAUGAGCACUGGCAUCAUAAUGAACUUCCACUUCAUGCACAAUCAAGGUGGAAGGUUAUAGAUACAUAGAGCCAUAGGCCAGGUGCUAUGAUUGAUGUUCUGCUCCCAAAAGGAUUAAUGCCAUAUACACUUAUACCAAACUUUAAGUUCCUUGCGUCAUCCGCAAACUCCGACCACUUUCUCUUGAUUUUUCUCCACUACUACCCAUCAACGGGUACUCUCAAUAUCCCUUCUUUCUUACGGUCUUCUUUGUGCCAUCGCGACAACUUUGUAUGCUCUUUGUUUCUAAACAAACGUUUCAACCAUGGUAUUAUAGGCACAUACCACAUCACCUUGGCAGGAACCCUCUUCCUGGGACGCUCGCCCUCAACAUUGUCACCAGGGUCAUCGCGUCUCAUCUUAUACCGCAAUGCACCGCAUAUCGGUCAUGCAUUAAAAUUCUUAUACUCAUCACUGUGGUACAGGAUGUAAUUAUUAAGGCAUGCAUGUACUUUCUGCACCUCUAAUCCUAGAGGGCAGAUAAUCUUCUUUGCUUCGUACGUACAGUCGGGCAAUUCGUUAUCCUUUGGAAGCUUCUUCUUCAUUAUUUUCAGUAACUUCUCAAAUCCCUUGUUAGAUAAAUCAUUCUCAGCCUUCCAUUGCAGCAAUUCUAGUGUGAUACCGAGAUUUGUGUUGCUAUCUUCGCAAUUUGGGUACAACCGUUUUUUGUGAUCCUCUAACACGCGAUCGAACAUCAACUUUUUCUUUUCACUUUUGCAUUCUCUCUGUGCAUCAAUAAUGACCCGGCGAAGAUCAUGAACGGGCACAUCUGGUGCCUCAUGAUCUUCAGCUUCCCCUGCUGCAGUAUCACCGUAUUCAGGGAACAUAGGAUUGUUGUCAUCAUCCCCUUCUUCUUUAUUGUCUUCCAUCAUAACCCCUCUUUCUCCUUGCUUGGUCCAAACAUUAUAGCUGGGCACGAAACCGGGUAAUAGCAGGUGGGUGUGAAGGAUUUUCGACCAAGAGUAAUCCCUUGUAUUCUCACAGACAACACAUGGACAACACAUGAAACAAUUCAUACUGUUUGCCUUAGCCACAACCAUAAAAUUAUGCAGGCCCGUAAUAUACUCGAAAGUGCAUCAAUCACCGUACAUCCAUUGUCGAUUCAUUUGCAUUAUAUAAUUAAGUAUAUCAAAAACCAUUACAAAAUAUCAUGAAUAGAGUAAUGACCAAAUUAAUACAAGUUCAUCACAUUAAAACCAAAGUACAAUAGUGAUCAAAUGUUAUUACUGCAAAAAUAAAUACAUAAAGUUCAUACAUAAUUCUCAUAAAAAACAUACAACUAUCUAGAGCAUCUAAAACAUACAUUGAAACUAACAUACAACUAUGUAAAACAUCAAAAUGCAACAACAAAUGCGAGAAAAUCACAACUAAGGUAACAAUUGAUCCAAUAACAUAAUGAUACAAAGCCUAUUAUCAAUGACAUAUUUUCUAAUUUUUGUAAUUUUCAAGUGCAUUGCAUCCAUUUGGAUCUUGUAUAAAUCGAAGACAUCGGCAACAUGCAACUCCAAUUUCAUCUUCUCUUCUUCAAUUCUUUUAAAUUUUUCUUUUAAAUAAUUGUUUUCUUUUUAAUAAAAUUUGAUAUCUCGACAAGAGGCUCGGUUUAAUUUCCGGUUCACAUACCUCCUACAUAAAAUAUCUAUGUCAAGUUGGUUCGCGUAAAUGUCAUAAACACUAAAUGAAACAAAUAUUUAUAAAAGAUAAUGCACCACAUCUGAAUCAUAGACCGGACGAGAGCCGAUGGGGGCGGAUAUCAAAACCAUGGCACUAUAUAAUAACAAACAAUAGUGUAAGUAAUAAAAUUAUACAAGUAACUAUAUCUAAACCAUACAAGUAAGAUUAUUUAAGAAAAGAUAAGAACAAGAGGCUCACCACGAUGGUGCCAGUGAAAAGAUUGGCGCGGGUGAUCGACGAUGGUGACGACGGGGAUGAGAACUUGGAGCAAGAACAGAGGAGGAGAAAGAGGAGAAAGCUUAAGUGUUGCUUGGACACCUCAUAUCAAUGACAUCAUCCUCUCAGACAUUUCAUCGGAUACCUCUUGUGCAUAGGAAAAGAAAACAAACUAACACACACCUCACACCUUCUCUGAGGGAAAACAGAGUAGAAGGGAGCAAGGACGAGGGGAUAUAUAUAGACAAUUUUUUAGUUUCGGUUGGUGUCCAAAACCGGUACUGAAGACAUGUCUUUAGUCCGAGUUCGAGACCCCUUUAUUUCCGGUUGAUAUCUCAAACAAGUACUAUCCCACAACCUUUAGUCCCGGUUUGUGUCUCCAACCGGGACGAAAUAAUGUCCUAUUCAAACCGGGAUUGAUGCCUUCCGAGCCCCGUCCGGUGUUCUCACCGUUCGAACUAGGACUAAUGCUCUCAUUAGUACCGGUUCGUAACGCGUCCGAAACUAUUGAUCCGAUCCGUCUAGAACUGAAAACCUGUUUUCUAAUAGUGAUCCAGACUCAAACUACUGCAAGUUUAGUUUCAGUUAUUAUAUAAUCAACGUUAACAAGUGUUUCCCGCAAAAAAAAAGUUAACAAUUGUUUACUUAGAAAUAAUCGAAUUUUCUCCUAAUCUUUGAAUUAGAUGGCCGACCCGGCUUUGGCCGUCCAUAAAGUUCGUUCGAGGUCCGUCCGACACGGACCAGAAUUACCAUCUAAACCCAAGACAAACUUCUCGACAAUAAACAGGCCUGGGCGUCGAUGAAGAGCAAAUCCUGCGUUGCCUAACUCACAGUCGCGUCAACCUGAGCCGCCUUCUUCCCUGACGCAGGUGACAACCAACUUCGCUGCCCAAAGUGGUCGCGUUCUCCAUCACUCUCUUCUUUUCGUUCGCUGCGUUCACUAAAUGUUUUCCUUAACUGAAGCAGCUGGUCGCCGAAGCAAGCGUAAGUGCGCAUUCUUUUUAGUUGAUCACCAGACUCCACCAAGAAACAUGUCGGGCAAGAGAGGCGCCACGACCUCGCUCAAUCACCUUCCAAAGGACAUCAUCGACGGGAUACUCAUCCGGUUGCCGCCCAAGGAUAUUGGCCACUGCCGUGCUGUCUGCACAUCGUGGCGCAGCGUCACCUCCAUGCCUGAAUUCAUGUCCGAACACCAUCGCAGCCAGCGAUCGCUCCCCAUCGUCGACGGGGACGGGCGGCCAACCAGCAUCAUCGUCGUCCGCGAUGCCGGUGCGAGAACCACCAAUCAACAACUCUGGCCUUUCGUUCCGGGUUUCCAACACCGUGAUAAGAUUUGCCUUCAAGCCACCUGUGAUGGUUUCGUCAUCGUCUACAGGAGAUUGGUACAUAAAUUCUACAUCUGCAACCCAGUUAUUCGCCAUCAUGCUCUCCUAUCGCAGCCCCCAGGCGGGGCACUCAUCCACAACUAUGUAGUUGGUUUCUACACGCACUAUCCAACGAAAGAAUACAAGGUGCUUGAUACGUCUCCAACGUAUCUAUAAUUUUUGAUGGUUUCAUGCUAUUAUCUUGUUAAACUUUGGAUGUUUUGCAUGCCUUUUAUAUAAUUUUUUGGGACUAACUUAUUAACUCAGUGCCAAGUGCCAGUUCCUGUUUUUUCCAUGUUUUUGACCCCUUUUAGAGGAGAUUUUGAAACGGAUUCCAAACAGAAGAAAAUCCCCGAAAAGAUUUUUUUGGAACGGAAGAAGAUCGGGGAGCUUGGGAGCCAAGGCAGGGGAGCCCCAGGGGCCCCACAUGCCUCCACCUCGCGGCCAGGGGGGCCGCGCCAUCCAGGCUUGUGGGCCCCCUCGACUCCCUUUGCCCUAGGUCUUUCGCCUAUAUAUUCCCAUAAAUUCCAUAAAAAAUCAGGAGAUCAUCGCAAUCUCUUUUCCACCGCCGCAAGCUUCUGUCUCCGCAAGAUCCCAUCUGGGGCACGUCCUGGUGCCCUGCCGGAGGGGGAUUCAGACACGGAGGGCUUAUUCAUCAACACCAUGACCUCUCCGAUGAUGCAUGAGUAGUUCACCAUAGACCUACGGGUCCAUAGCUAGUAGCUAGAUGGCUUCUUCUCUCUCUUGGAUCUUNNNNNNNNNNNNNNNNNNNNNNNNNNNNNNNNNNNNNNNNNNNNNNNNNNNNNNNNNNNNNNNNNNNNNNNNNNNNNNNNNNNNNNNNNNNNNNNNNNNNGAUUCGGACACGGAAGGCUUCUCCAUCAACACCAUUGUGACAGCCCGAGACCGACGUUCCAGAAGAUUCCCCCUUUAUUUCCGUUUCCGUCGUGUGGUUAUUUUAUUUCGUGGCCUCAUCAUUUAGUUUGCAUCGUCGCAUCAUGCAUGGCAUCUUGCAUCGUCUGUCGCGUGUGGUGUUUUGGGUGUAUGUGCUUCGAGUGCUCACCGAAUCUUAGUGCGAUAGUAACUCCCCUCCUCUCUUCUCUUUUAUUUGUUUUGGGGUUGCGGAAAAGUUUCCAUUUUACACCUUUUAAAAAUCGUCUUCUUUUAAAACUCCUUUUGUUAAAAGGUGGGGGCAACCCCUUGAGUUUUUCUUUUAUUUCUCCUCUUGUGUUAUUUUAAAACAGUCUCAUUUUCUUUUCUUCUUUAAAGAGCUUUUAUUUUGUUCUUUAAAUAAAAGAGGUUUUAUUUUAUUCUUCAAAAGGGUUUUAUUUUUAUUUGUUUAAAAAUUCCCAAGCUAUUUUUUAGUUAGGGUAUAAUUUUCAAAGGAGCAAACGCAUUUAUUUUAUUUUAUUUUUGUUAAAAAAAAUUCUUUGUUUAAGAUUUUUUUCUGUUUUAAAAGUAAAAAAACAAAUAGAGGGAGAGGAGCCUGCCAGGCCCAAGGCCACCCCGGGCCUCCAACCCUAGCGCCUUUGUCCUGAUCCCCUUCUCUCCCUCUCGUCUCCUUCCUCCCCCGAUCCCCUCUCCCUCGUCCCUCUCCUCUCCUCUGCCUCGAUCCCCUCCAGGGCUCCGAUUCCCUCGCCCUAGGCCGCCGUGCUCGACAGCCCCCGCCGGUCGCCUCCCCGCCGCCAGCAGCUCUCCCGCGCCGCCUCUUCCUUCCCCCGAGCUCCUCCCAUGUCUGUGUCCAUGGCAGCCAGCCGCCGAGCCCAUUGCGCCACCCCUGUGCCUGAGCCCCCCCACCCCCGUAGCUCCUCUACGAGCCAUCGCCCCGCCGGCGUCCAGGUCCCCCUCGCCUCGCGCCUCCCUCUCCUCCUCCCCUGCCCUCGAUUUCUUCCUCUCAUCUCCCUGUGUUCUUCUCUGUGUGCAGGAGCCGCCGACUCGAUCUCCUCGGCCACGGUGCCGACGAGCAGCCCGUCGGUAGGAAUGGAGAGCUCCUUUCCCGAUCUCCUCCUUCUGCCUGCUGCCGUGUAGUUGUUGUGUGCCUGCCGCGGGUUGUUGCUCGUGCUGUUACUGUAGGUGCCGUCGGCUGUGCGGGUUGGUAGCCGUUGUCUGUGCCUUGCUGUUGCCAAGCUGCCUUGCUGCUGCCGAGUCGCUGCUGUUGCCUGUUGCUGCCUGCCGCCGGGUGUCGCCGAUGCUGCGCUGUUGCCGCUGCCUGUAGCUGCUGCUGCUGCUGUAGCGUAGAUGCUCUUGCCUGCUGUCGAGUUAGAUGCUUCUGCUUGCCAUUUUGUUGCCUGGCUGAUGCUAGCUGCCGCUGCUUAUCCCUGUUGUUGCUUGUUCCUGUUGCUGCUUGCUGCUAGGUUGCAUAGUGUUGUUGCCGAUUGCUUGCUGCUAGCUGUAGUUGAUUAGGCUAAGUUGUUAGCUGCUGUUAGUAGCUGCCGUAGUUGCUUAUUGCUAGCUAGUUAGUAGCCGCUGUUGUAGGUUGCUGUUGCUAGGUAGAUUUUGCUGCUGCUUGUUAGCUGUAGCUGCUAGAUAGAUUUAGUUGCUUGCUUGCCCUGCUUGCCGUGUUGCUAGCUUGUGCUGCCGCUUGCCGUCGCCUCGUGCACCAUCCCCGCCUGUCGUGGGUCGACGACGAGCUCGCCGAGCACCACGUCGUCCUCGAUGACCCCCGGAACAUGUUCGACUACCGACGCCGAGCGAACGACUACCGUCGAUGAGACCGUGUACAACUACUUCCACGACGACCACGACUUCCACGACGUCCGCUACGAACCGAACCCCUCCGAUUCGCACGCUUCGAAGGUAUACCGAUGAGACGUGUCGUGACGAAUGCAUGUGAUGUAUGAGAUGUAUCGUUUGUUUGCACCUUAUGUUUGCCCGUUGCACGUUGUACCUCUUUCGUUGAGCCUCGACACAUGGGAACCCGGUAACCAGGAUCACCCCAUCUUUAUUUAGCGUUCCCGCACACACUUCCUAUACGUUGGCACGUUAUCUCGAUGAGCUAUCGGGAUAGGAACGUUGCCGUGGCAUCGUUUCCGUUUUGCCGCCAUGGUUCCCUUUCGCUCACCGUGGUGACACUUGUUUCUUUCUCUCCUUGCCCGUGUUGUUGUGACUCGCAUGCAUGACGCAUUCAUGGCAUAUAUCUUUGGUUGCAUGUCUCUUGUACGUAGCUCCGCUCUAUGUUCCGCGUGUUAACCGUCUAGGAUGACAUGUAGGAUCACUGCUUCACCCCUUGCCAUGUUAACAACAAUUUAAUAUUGUCGUGUAAAUAACCGAGAGUGAAUUAAAUAAUUAAGCGUGGAGUUUCAUCGAUAUGCAACUCGUUGCAUAUCGAGCUUCACUUAAUGUGUAGUGUUUGCGUGAGGUGAAUUGCCAUGCCAUCCCCUGCAUUUUGUUCUGAUCAUGCAUCAUAGUAGGUUGUGCUUCGUGUGGUGAAUAUCUGUGUUGAUGUUUGUUUCCGGUUUUCUCCGUCUCGAUAGAGUUCCGCAAGCGUGUCGGAAUGUGAGGACCCGUUCGUCUACGUGGGUUCACCGACUUCUCGGAGUUGUUCUUCUUCCAAGCGGGAUCUCAGGCAAGAUGACCAUUUCCCCAGAUACCAUUACUAUCAUUGCCAUGCUAGUUUAUCACUUCUAUCGAUUAUGUCUCGUUGCCUACCACAUGUUAAAUUCAGCCUCUCAACAAUGCCAUGAUAACCUUCAACCUGUUCGACCUAGCAAACNNNNNNNNNNCGCUUGCUUAUCCAUGUUGUUAGCGUUGCUAGUUGCAGGUGCAGUUGCUUCCAUGUGAAAACAUGGGUUCCUUGUUAUAUCACCAUAUUAGAUGCUAAUUAAUUUAAUGCACCUAUAUACUUGGUAAAAGGUGGAAGGCUUGGCCUUUCUAGCCUGGUAUUUUGUUCCACCUUUGCCCCCUUAGUUUUCAGCUACCGGUGUUAUGUUCCAUAAAUGAGCGCUCCUAACACGAUCGGGGUUGUUAUGGGGACCCCCUUGAUAAUUCGUUUUAGAUUAAAGCUGGUCUCCCAAGGCCCAACUUUGGUACUACAUUUGCCUAAUAACUAAUGAACUGCAUAGGGAGUAAUUUACCCGAGGAAAUUUAAUCAACCCCCGGGCCAGUGCUCCUCAUGAGUGUUGAUCCAAAAUGGACAGACUGCGGGGCCACCACGGGGCAACUCGAGGAUUGGUUUCUCCUAGUGUGACCCAUCCGUCAUGUCCUGAGAACGAGAUACGCGGCUCCUAUCGGGAUCGUCGACACGUCGAGCGGCCUUGCUGGAUUAGUUUUACCUUUGACGAAAUAUCUUGUGCAUCGGGAUUCCUGUGAUGCUUUGGGUAAUCUCAGAGUUGAGGUUUUCCACUAGGGAAUCCGACAAGAUCGCGAGCUUCGUGAUUGAGGAUUUCUAUGCGGCUUGUGGUAAUUUGUGAUGGACUAGUUGGAGCACCCCUGCAGGGCUAAAUCUUUUCAGAAAGCUGUGCCCGCGGUUAUGUGGCAACGUGGAAACUUUGUUUAACACUGGUUCUAGAUAACUUGAAGUUAACUUAAUUAAAAUAUGCCAACUGUGUGCAUAACCGUGACUGUAUCUUUUGUGAGUUCCUUCUCCGAUCGAGGACACGGUGGGGUUAUGUCUGACGUAGGUAGGUGUUCACGAUCAUUCAUUUGAUCAUCAGUAGUUCACGUCCGAUAUGCGUAGAUCUUCCCUCUCUUAUUUUCUUGUACUCGUAAGUUAUCCACCAUAAAUAUAUGCUUAGCCGCUGCUGCAACCUCACCACUUAACCAUGCCUCACCUAAUAAGCUUUGCUAGUCUUGAUACCUUUGGAAAUGAGAUUGUUGAGUCCCCUGUGGCUCACAGAUUACUACAGCACCAGUUGCAGGUACAGGUAAAGGUUACUCGACGCGAGCGCGUUGAUUGUACAUUUGGAGUUGCUUCUUCUUCUUCUUCAUCGAUCUAGGAUGGGUUCCAGGCCGGCAGCCUGGGAUAGCAAGGAUGGACGUCGUUCUUCUUUUCUCGUUUGUUUUCAUUCGUAGUCGGAUCUUGCUCUUACUCUGGAUGAUUAUGUAAUGUACUGAUGUGACUCUCAUGUAGCUUGUGGUGAGUGUAAGCCAAUUCUGUUAUAUAUCUCUUCUUUUCAGUACAUGUACUUGUAACGAUAUCCAUUCUUGCGACCCGAUGAGAUGCGCUUCUAUCCCUAACGAGGCCCUCGUGCCAAAUUGAGGAUAGGGUCGCAUCUUGGGCGUGACAACCAUGACCUCUCUGAUGAUGCAUGAGUAGUUCACCAUAGACCUAUGGGUCCAUAGCUAGUAACUAGAUGGCUUCUUCUCUCUCUUGGAUCUUCAAUACAAAGUUCUCCAUGAUCUUCAUAGAGAUCUAUUUGAUGUAAUCUUCUUUUGCGGUGUGUUUCUCGAGAUCCGAUGAAUUGUGGAUUUAUGAUCAGAUUAUCUAUGAAUCUUAUUUGAGUUUCUUCUGAUCUCUCUUAUGCAUGAUUUCAUAUCCUUGUAAUUCUCUUCGAGUUGUGGGUUUUGUUUGGUUGACUAGAUCUAUGAUUCUUGCAAUGGGAGAAGUGCUUGGUUUUGGGUUCAUACCAUGCGGUGACCUCACCCAGUGAUAGAAGGGGUAGCGAGGCACGCAUCGUGUUGUUGCCAUCAAGGGUAAAAAGAUGGGGUUUUCAUCAUUGGUUUGAGAUCAUCCCUCUACAUCAUGUCAUCUUGCUUAAAGCGUUACUCUGUUUGUCAUGAACUCAAUACACUAGAUACAUGCUGGAUAUCGGUCGAUGUGUGGAGUAAUAGUAGUAGAUGCAGAAAGUAUCGGUCUACUUNNNNNNNNNNNNNNNNNNNNNNNNNNNNNNNNNNNNNNNNNNNNNNNNNNNNNNNNNNNNNNNNNNNNNNNNNNNNNNNNNNNNNNNNNNNNNNNNNNNNCCAUGCUAUUAUCUUGUCAACUUUGGAUGUUUUGUAUGCGUGAAUAUGCUAUUUUAUAUCUUUUUGGGACUAACCUAUUAACUCAGUGCCAAGUGCCAGUUCCUGUUUUUUCCGUGUUUUUGACCCUUUUCAGAGGAGAAUAUUAAAUGGAGUCCAAACGGAAUAAAACCUCCAAAAAGAUUUUUUUCGGAACAGAAGAUACGCAGGGAGCAUGAGAACCAAGGCACAGGCCACCAGGGGAGGCCACAAGCCCCCUAGGCGCGGCCAGGGGGCCCACGCCUACCAGGCUUGUGGGCCCCCUAUGGCUCGUCUGCCCUACCUCUUCCGCCUAUAAAUCCCCAAAAAAUCCAAAACCACGGGAGAGAUCCACGGAAAUACUUUUCCGACGCCGCAAGCUUCUGUCUCCGCAAGAUCCCAUCUGGGGCACGUUUUGGUGCCCUGCCGGAUGGGGGAUUUGGAUACGGAGGGCUUCUUCAUCAACACCAUUGCCUCUCCGAUGAUGCGUGAGUAGUUCACCAUAGACCUUCGGGUCCAUAGCUAGUAGCUAGAUGGNNNNNNNNNNNNNNNNNNNNNNNNNNNNNNNNNNNNNNNNNNNNNNNNNNNNNNNNNNNNNNNNNNNNNNNNNNNNNNNNNNNNNNNNNNNNNNNNNNNNCUGGUUCGAUAAACCUUACAGUCUCCGUGUAAGGGAAACUUGCUGCUGACUACAUCUCCACCUUCCACAUGGGGUAACCAACGAGGGGCGAAAAGUAUAUCCAUCAACUCGUCAUCAAGCAAGUUUCGGGCGCCGUUGCCGGGGACUCCAGCCUUCAAGAUAGGGAAGUUGCACACCAUCUUUUACCUUUGCUUUUUAUUCUUGUUAGUUUGCUUUUUAGUUUUUGCUUUAGAGUCUUAUACCAAAAACCACAAAAAAUUAGUUACUUUGCUUAAUUUGGUCAGUAUGCCCAAGACUUUGGCCUUUGGUGUUGCACCCGAAGGAGAGAUUCUCACCUUCAAACAAAGGGUUGGAGAAAGUUUGAAAGAUGCUUGAUAUAGAAUUAAAAAUUCUCAAGAUAGAGCCACCAAGAAGCAAUCCACCACUAUUUUGCUUAGAAAUUUUUAUGUUGGUAUUACUUCUUGGCAUAGGUUUGUUCUAGACACAACAACAUGAGGGAAUUUCUUGGAAGCUCCCGUUGGGGAAGCUCUUAACGUUAUGGAAAAUCUUGUCGGAAUCCCAACUAUUGUUGACAUAAAGGAUGAUAUCACUUUAGCUCACAUUAUGAGUAAACUUGAGAAGAUAGAGCUAGAGAUGCCAAGCAUGAGUAAAAUAAAUGAAGUAGAUUGUAGGAUUCAAGUGAACUUAAAUAGACUUGAUAGCUCCAUGCACAAAAAUUACAAAAUUUUGGAGACCCUUAAAUCCCAUGAUAUGGAUCCUUCUAGGAUUGAUAAGAUCCAGGAUAUUAUUGAAACUUUAGGAACUACUCUAUCCUGCAUCAAGACUAAAAAGGUAGAAACCUUCGCAAGGAAGUGACCUAGGUUCGUUAAUGUACCCAAGGUUCCUCAACCCAAAACGAGUAUACCUAUUGCUAGGGUUGUUGAAACUGUGAAGACCUUGGAAGAGAUACCUCUUUUAAAUAGAAUUAGAAAUGAAAUUCCAAUUGGUCUUACUACCUUUGCUUUUGUUCCUAGAAGUGUUUCCACUCCUCUUAAGUUUAGUUGUACUAUUGAAGAGCUUUUUGAUGAUCUUUGUGAUGGCUCAAUUAAUACAACUUGAUCUUUUUUGCAUCAUGUCUAGUUCAAAGGCAUAAAAGAAAGCGCUUGUUGGGAGGCAACCCGAUUCAUUUUUACUUUCAUUUUUAGUGGUCUUGAUGCUUGUUACUACUGUAGCAACAUCAUUGUAUCUUUAUUUUCAAGUUUUGUGCCAAGUUUUAGCCUCCAAUUGCAAGAAAGUUCAAAAGUUGUGACAUGCUGUCCAGAAACAAAUUCUGUCUGCUUGACGAAAAAAUUAUCCAAAAUUCACCUGAUUAUCUUUUUGAUAUGAAUUGUUUUGACAGCAUUCUCUAUAUAAUUUCCUUUCCGGCAUCUAUUCUGAGUUUUUUUAUUUAAGUUGCAGAAGUGCCCCGAAAAAAUUAUUUACUACGUGUUGUUCUGUUUUUCACAGAUUGUGCCACGUUUUGCAUUUUCAUCAUUUUGCAAAUCUUAAGCUAGCUUUUUUCCUUUGCAUAAACCUUUUGGAAAUCAUGAGAAACAGUAGUUGUUCAUGAAAAUCUUUAUUUACAGUAGGGAAUGAAUUAUUUUAUCAUGGGUACUAACCACUCUAAUCAGCUUAUGAUGAGUUUCGUAUGAAGGGAGUUUUCAAGUAUGCGAUGGAAGAUGAUGAAAGAAGAUACAUGAGUGUCAAGCGCUCAAUCUUGGGGAUGCCCCCAUGAACCCCAAGCAAUAUUGAAGGAUACUCAAGCAUCUAAGCUUGGGGAUGCCCCCGUGCAUCCCCUUCUCUAUGAACAAUCAUCAGUCCGUCCAUCUCCAUGCUAUAUUUUUAUCACUUCAUAUGUUAUGUCUAUACUUGGAGCAUCCCGCUCUUUACUUUUUAGUUUGUUUUAGUUUUGCUUGCUGUUCAUAGCAAUUCGGAACCUAGCCUUCUUUGCUUGGUAGAUAAACACGCUCCAUUCCACUCUAUAACACAACAUAGGUUUUCAUGCUUAUCUUUUUGUGUGUUCUUUAUCUUUUCAUAGCUGCUGAUAUGCUUAGCUCUCAGUUUUCAUGCUAUAUCUUUGUAAGAGCUUUUAUUUAGCUUUCUUUUGGAACUCUCUUGAGUUAUCAUGCUUAUCUUGUUUAGAGAGUUGGCUUGUUGCACUGAGUUGUGUGUCUUGCAUGAGUAGGUAAUUGAGGUUGCUAUUUAAGUAUAGUAGUAACUUGCAAUAGUUUUGAGGUAUUGAUUUGAGUAAUUUUUGGACUAUUGGUGCCAAGAGCUUGAGCCUAUUAGUGAUAGGUGUUGUAUUUUGGGAAAACCGUGUGUUUUUCAAAAACUAAAAAAUUAGUUGAUAACUCUAGCUACCAGAUUGAUCGCUAACCUCUAGAGGGGUUGGAAUAUAUAGAGUACGCUCACGUUACCAUGGGUCGAGGAUGCGCAAGGAUAACCAAACCCCCAAACACUCCUCCUCGGGGUACUUGUCUCUUUGCGAAUUUCCUAACUAGAUAGAGAGUUACCGAUAAUAAGUGUAUGAGUUCUUCAGACUAAUGCGAGUAUUCGAUUGUUGGUACUUCCACCAUCCAUAUUUUGCUAGCCUCUUCGGUACCGUGCAUUGCCCUUUCUCAUCUUGAGAGGUUGUACAAACUUCGCCGGUGCAUUCAAACCCUUGGCAUGAUACGCUCUGUCAUCAUAAGCCUCAUUAUAUCUUUCCUCAAAACAGCCACCAUACCUACCUAUUAAGGCAUUUCCAUAUCCUUUCCGAGAUACAUUGACAUGCAACAUCCACCAUCUCAUGACUUGAUCUUCAUGUCAUACAUGCUUUUUCUUGAUCGAGGAGCCGCAUGAUAGUUGGGCCUUGCCCUUAUUAUUGCUACAUGACGCGCUAGUUUCAUCGCAUAUCCUACUACACUGGCAGAGGCAUACAUUUUCAUACAUCAUGAUAGUUUUCAUUUGUCUUUAUGUGAGUACUUCUUAUAAAGUUUGAAGAUCUUCUUUUUAUUCUUGUAAAACAUAGAGUGUUGCCCUUAAGUGAGGAAAAUAUCCCAAAGAGGACAAAUUAAAAGAUCCCAAAGAGGACAAAUGAAAAGAUCCCAAAGAGGACAAAUGAGAGAUAAAUAGAAAGAGCCAAAGAGGCCACAAAAAAAUAAAAAAGAAAGAUAAAAAAGAAAGAAAUAAAAAGAGAGAAUGUGGCAACACUACUAUUCCUUUUGGAAGAUCCACACUCGUACUCCAUUGUUAUAUUUGUACUCCAUAGAUAUUAUCAUUCAUGCAUAACUAUGUGGGAACCCUUACACUAUAGAACUUGGCUUGUAUAUUCCAAUGAUGAGCCUCCUCAAAUGAGCUCUAGGUCUUCAUGAGCAAGCAAGUUGGAUGCACCCCCACUAGUUCCAUUGGAGAGCUUACCUUAGCUCAUAUGUGCAUCCGUUGCAUGGCAAUCCCUACUCCUCACAUCAUAUCUAUCAUUUGGCUUUCUCUCGCCUAUGGUUGUCCUCAUUGAUGUGAGCCUUUCACACCCUUUAUGUCUUCCUUCCCCAUCAUUAUUCUCUUUGCCAUCCUAAGUGUCAACAUAUCUUGCUUGCGCUCAUCCAUUGCAUGAGUGCUGAAAGUCGAAAGGGAGAGGCUCAUUUUGACUUGUGCCUGACUAGUGGUCUGGGGAUGGGUCAAAAUAAGAUUCCGAAAUAGACCAAGUGUGAAGUUUAGUAGAUUGAGUUCUCAAUUAAAAAAAUAUUUUUACUCUCGACCCAUCUCCCAUUUCUUGCACGCAAACACCAUUUCGAGACAUUCGAGCCACGGACAGCGAGAGCUCUUGCACCUUUAUGUUCUUAUUUUCCUAAUUUUAAUAGUAGAUAUAGACUCUUGCUUGUUAUUGUCUUGACUUGAAUUGCAUAUCUUACUUGCUUUAGUUUGAAGUUCUUAUAUGUGUGUUAGCAUGCCAGCACAGAAAUUAUUGUGUUAUCAUUUACCUACUCGAGGAGGAGCACGAAUUAAGCUUGGCGAUGUUGAUACGUCCCAAACAUAUCUAUAAUUUCUACUUGUUUCAUGAUCUUUUGGGUGACAUUGUUAUAUGUUUUGCUACACUUUUAUAUCUUUUUACACAUAUUUGGACUAACCUACUAACUCAGUGCACCCAGUGCCAGUUUCUGUGUGCUGAUGUCUUUUUUGCAGGGGCUUCUACCCAAAUUUCGAGAGCCCCAAAAAUCCCGAGAAAAAUAUAUAAAAAUCAGUGUGACGGAAGCUUCCAGAUCACCGAAGAUGGGCCAGAGGGGAGCCAGGGUCUGCCUAGACAACCUCCUGGCGCGGCCUGGCCCCUGGCCGCGCCCACAGGCCGCCUGAGUGGGCCCCACCUAUUAUGACGCCCNNNNNNNNNNNNNNNNNNNNNNNNNNNNNNNNNNNNNNNNNNNNNNNNNNNNNNNNNNNNNNNNNNNNNNNNNNNNNNNNNNNNNNNNNNNNNNNNNNNNUUUGCGCGGUUCUAUAAAUUGCUCGACAGUAAUUCGUUCACCCACCGUAAUACUUGCUAUCAUGAGAGAAGCCUCUAUUGAACACUAUGGCCCUCGGGUCUACUUCACAUCAUAUUUUCAGCUCUACACUUUUACUUUGUUCCACUUUCCACCUUCAGAUCUCACCUUGCAAUUAAAUCGUGAAGGGAUUGGCAAUCCCUUUAGCGUUCGGUGCAAGUUUGUUUGUUUUUGCGCAGGUACUUUGGUGACUUGUGUUGAUACUCCUACUGGAUUGAUACCUUGGUUCUCAAACUGAGGGAAAUACUUACUGCUACUGUGCUGCAUCACCCUUUCCUCUUCAAGGGAAAAACCAACGCAAGCUCAAGAGGUAGCAACUAUCAAUUACAUCAUUCACAUUAACUCUAUAUCUAGAGUUAGUUCUGUUAGUGAGCCUUCCUAUAAAUUCUAUGCUUACUAACAAAUUUGUUCUUUAAAAUCUUCAUAGCCCUUAGUUUGGAAACCAAAACUCAUUUUUCAAUAAAUUCUUUUACAGGCAUCAUUAGGUCUAGAGCUAUAUAGGUUAUUAGUCUAUUUUCAUUCAUGUCCCCUUCUAAAAAUCCUAAUGCUGCUUUAUCUAGUGAUUCCCAUCUUCGGUCUAAUAGAGUUAUGAGCACCUUUGCUCCUAAUUUCUUUCUUGUCAUCCCUUUAACUCUUAUGAUAUACAUACCUUGAUGAAUAUAUUUGUAACCACAGUAUCUUAGUUCAUUUUCAAUAUUUUUGCUUACUAUUCUUAAAUCAACUCGGUGUGUUAACACACUUAUUUCUACUUCUCUCGAUAUUCAGUACAACCCGCUCUUACUCUCCAACAUACCCCUGUGAUAUACUUGUUGCAGUUUUAUUUUUCUUAGGGUAUCCUUUUGAUAUCUUUCGACGUCUCUUUGAAUAUCUAUAACUUCGUCAAUACUAUCAAUAUCAUCGGCUUUACAUGAUAAUCUAUGCUUCAUUGCAAGUGGUCUUGAGUCUUGCCUUACUAACUGGAGGGUUUUAUCUCUUCUAAGAAAGCCUUUAGAUAUGUCCAUUUUUCUGAAUUAAUAUUUCUUGAUGAUGUUAUGAGUCCAGAUGACGAUAGCAUAAUUUCUUUGUUGUUUUGAACACUUUUUAGCUUGUCUAGAACUUGGAUUAAUAGCUGCAGAAUUGUAUUAUUUUGUCUUAUUAUAAUUUUAGAGUCUUCUUUUGGUGAAUCGUGAUCAGAAAAUCUAAUAAGAGGUGACAAGUAUUUGGUUACUUCGUUUAAUGCUUGGCUAUAUUCAUUCAUAUAAUUAUGAGACAAUCAAAGUUUUAACUUCUUGCAACAACUUCUUUAUUUGAAGUAUAUCUUGUCUUGCUUCUAUGCGAGGCAGUGAGUCUUUGCCUUUACUUAGGUAAUGGCCAAUUGACAAUACUUCUUCUUUAAUAUAAUCGUUAUUCUUGCAAAGUACGUUCUAUCUGGCCUUUGCUUCUUCUAGCUUAUGUAAGGCCAGAUCAAUUUUAUUAUUUAGACCAAAAUAUUUAUCCGCAAGCUUUUGAUAUUCUUUGAAUAAACUCUCAAAUUUUUGGUCUAAAUUAUCUUGUCUUUUCCCCCAAGAUAGUGAAAUUUAUAUAUCAAAUCGACGACUGUAUUUAGCUGGCUAUGAGUUGUAUGCCACGUAUGUUCUUCAGACGGAUUUAUUCUGCACCUUAUAUUAAUAUUUUCUUUAGUAUUUAUUACUUUACUAGCGCUAACUUCUAAGUUUAAGUACUUUAACCUUUCAAUGUUUAAAAAGCUCGACAUGAUACCAAAUAUACAGGAUUAUUUAAAUUAUUUAUAAUUAAUGUAAACUAUAUUAGGUUAUAAAUUCAGAUUUUGAUCUUAAUAUAUGUGAUUACGCAUACGAGUUAUUAAAAUAAAUAUGAUUUUGUUUAUUUUAUUUUUAUAUUAUUUUUAGUAAGAAGUGUUUUAUAUUAUUUUGCUUAUUUUGCACGAUCUUUGAGGGGCUCUCGAGGCCAACAAGACGACUGGGGUGUACGCAGUGGUGUAAUAUCCUACUCAGUACUCACCAUAUUUAUUAUUAUGUUGUUUUAGAUGUAGCUAAGUUCGUUCACUUGAUGUUUUUAGUUGCAAAUUUAUGGAGUAAAUUCCUAUCGUCUUCCCAGGCAGUUCCACCCGAAGGAAACACUUCUGUACGGCCAUAAGGUUCUCUUUCAAAUGCCAUAAUAGGCUACACAGAGAACUACCGGUAGAGUUUUUUCCUAUAGGAUCCCUAGCAUAAGAACUCGUUCCAUAAAUCCAUAAAGAAAAAUACCAAGUGAAAACACGAAACUACAUCAUUUCCACAACAUAAUUUACAUAUGGUAUUCCCAUUCGGGAACCCCGAAAGGUUUACACAAGGGUAAAAUAAAUUACCUUCUAACUACCUUCGCGAGAUCACAAAUGCUCUCAAUAUUGUAGCUCUUAUUACACGAUGAAGAAGUACUACUACUACAUCGGGACCACGAUCCUAAGCCAUAGGAAUCCAGCCUGUAACACAUCGCAUCUCUUUGCGGUCUCACACACGGUUAUCCCCACGGCUGCAGCCUUACCUUAGCCGGGACCGUUUGCGCCUUUUGACUCAUGUAUGCAAUUGUGUCGCUAGCAAUCCAAUGUCAAAGAACCCGGAUCGACAUCUCUAGUCAUAAGCUAAAGCGGCAGUUCCGUACAGGGACAGGCAUACAAGACCCAGCAAAGCAGGUGUCGGUCAUCAACGAAUGUAGACGAGUCGUAGCAAGCUACAAGGACUCUAUUACAUACGCGUGACAUUUCCCAAAGGGACAUACACAACAGCUAAGAAGGACGCAUGCCGGUCAACCAAUGUGUCCGGAGCAGUAGCGAACUACCAUGGCUCGAUGGAAUCACAAAGGGGCAUUUCCCCGUAAGGAGUGCUACUAAGGCAUACGACUAGGCAUUCGAACCCCAUACAUAUCAAGUACAACACAUGGUGGGGUUAUAGUCCCAGGGUAGGGUCAUACGUCUUCCCUAUAGGUCCUACCCAAGGACUACCCUUCACAGAGGACAAGGGCCUUAGACAGUUCCGACUGAACUAAGGACUCCCCCAUCAUCCAGUCGGGACGAGCACUCGGAGCAUAUUUAACGCACCGAAUGGAAUCCACUCUGUACAUCGUAACCUCCCAGGAGGGCAACGGUCAUACGUUUACAUACACCAUUAUUAACAUUUAAGGCUUACGUUACCUGUAACGUAGGCAUUUACUCACCACUAUUCCACCCCUGUCCAUUGGUGCACUCUAUAUAAGCCGCCCUUCCCCACUCGUGCAGGGGUUGGCAUUUACUAUAAUCCCAUAAUCCACUCGACACUAAGCUCCCAAGAGCACUGAGACGUAGGGCUUUUACCUCCACCGUAGAUGGGCCUGAACUCAUACAUCCUCGCCGUAGCUAAGACUNNNNNNNNNNNNNNNNNNNNNNNNNNNNNNNNNNNNNNNNNNNNNNNNNNNNNNNNNNNNNNNNNNNNNNNNNNNNNNNNNNNNNNNNNNNNNNNNNNNNGCAAUAAGGAAGCUUGAGAAGAAGUUUGAAGGUCUAGAACUUCAUCAUGUUCCGAGACUGAAGAACUAAGCAGCUGAUGAGUUGGCAAAACUCGGAUCCACUCGGAGACCAGUCCCGAGUGACGUCUGCCUCGAGCACCUUCACCUUCCCUCAGUCAAAGAAGAUCCUUUCACGGAGGAACCAGUACAACCAAAGAGUUCCACAGAUCCGACUGAAGUCGAUGUACCUACUGUGGUUGAUCUGGUCAUGGAGAUUCUUGCUGUCAUCCCCGAUUGGACUGUGUCGAUCAUUGCAUAUAUCCUGAGGCAGGAACUACCAGAAGACGAAGUCCAGGCCAGGCAGAUAGUUCGCAGGUCGAAGUCAUUCACUGUCAUUGGCGGCCAAUUGUACAAGGAAAGCGUGUCAGACGUUCUUCAAUGAUGCAUCUCCCCAGAGGAGGGGCAGCUAAUCCUGGAAGAUAUUCACUCGGGGACCUGCGGUCAUCACGCCUCUUCGAGAGCAAUCGUCGCCAAGGCAUUCAGGGCUGGUUUCUUCUGGCUGCAGGCAAACGAGAUGGCUAAAGAUAUGGUCGACCGAUGUGAGGGCUGUCAGUUCUACUCCAACAAGUCCCACAAGCCGACAUAUGCGUUGAAGACAAUCCCUCUUGUGUGGCCGUUCGUGGUAUGGGGAUUAGAUACGGUCGGUCCAUUCAGGACAGGCCAAGGAGGAUACACACAUCUGUUGGUGGCAGUUGACAAGUUCACAAAAUGGAUUGAAGCCAAGCCCAUCAAGAAGCUCGACGCCCUAACAGCCAUCAAGUUUGUGAGGGACAUCAUCUCCAGAAUCGGUGUGCCUCACAGCAUAAUCACGGACAACGGAACAAAUUUCGACUCGGAUAGAUUCAAAGGUUUUUGUGCAAGCCAAGGUAUCCGAGAGGAUUUUGCUUCCGUAGCACAUCCUCAAUCCAAUGGACAACCAGAGCGGGCGAAUGGACUUAUUCUGCAAGGUUUGAAGCCCCGACUCCUGCGAUAGGUGGGUCAUGCCACUAGCGCAUGGGUCACCGAGUUACCUUCAGUGCUUUGGGGUCUCCGCACAACCCCGAACAGAUCUACAGGGCGAUCACCGUUCUUCCUUGUUUAUGGAGCAGAAGCGGUCCUUCCGAGUGACUUGCUUCACAANNNNNNNNNNNNNNNNNNNNNNNNNNNNNNNNNNNNNNNNNNNNNNNNNNNNNNNNNNNNNNNNNNNNNNNNNNNNNNNNNNNNNNNNNNNNNNNNNNNNGGGUUGUCAAUCCCUUCAAGAUUGUUUGCAAAGUGAGAUCUGAAGGCGAAAAGUGCAAUGAAGUAAAAAGUGUAAGGCUGAAAAUAUGGUGUGGAGUAGACCUUGGGGGCCAUAGUGUUCACUCGAGGCUUCUCUCAAAAUAGCAAGAAUCACGGUGGGUGAACAAAUUACUCUCGAGCAAUUGAUAGAACCGCACAAAGUCAUGACGAUAUCUAAGGCAAUGAUCUAGCAUAUAGGCAUCACGUCCGAGACAAGUAGACCGAUACUUUCUGCAUCUACUACUAUUACGCCACACAUCGACCGCUAUCCAGCAUGCGUCUAGUGUAUUGAGUUCAGGACGAACAGAGUAACGCUUUAAGCAAGAUGACAUGAUGUAGAGGGAUGAUCCCAAACCAAUGAUGAAAACCCCAUCUUUUUCCCUUGAUGGCAACAACACGAUGCGUGCCUCGCUACCCCUUCUGUCACUGGGUGAGGUCACUGAUACGUCUCCAUCGUAUCUACUUUUCCAAACUCUUUUGACCUUGUUUUGGACUCUAAUUUGCAUGAUUUGAAUGGAACUAACCUGGACUGACGUUGUUUUUAGCAGAAUUGCCUUGGUGUUGUUUUUGUGCAGAAAUUAAAGUUCUCGGAACGUCCUGAAAAUUUACGGAGAAUAUUUCUGGAAAAUAUGAAAAAUACCUGNNNNNNNNNNNNNNNNNNNNNNNNNNNNNNNNNNNNNNNNNNNNNNNNNNNNNNNNNNNNNNNNNNNNNNNNNNNNNNNNNNNNNNNNNNNNNNNNNNNNUUCUGCUGACAUCCCGCCCAACUUCCGAUUGGCGACGGGAAUCAGCAAGUUUACAGGAGAGUCCAAGCCAGAAACGUGGCUGGAUGACUACCGAGUGGCAGUCCAGAUCGGAGGAGGGGAUGAGCAUGUCGCCAUGAAGCACCUCCCUCUGAUGCUCGACGGCUCGGCUCGAGCGUGGCUGAAUCAGUUGGCCCCCUCAAGCAUCUACAGUUGGGCAGAUCUGGCCCGAGUGUUUAUCAAGACCUUCAAAGGGACGUGCAAGCGCCCUGCGGGCCUCGUGGAGCUCCAGCAUUGCGUCCAGAAGCAGAACGAGCCCCUGCGUGACUUCAUUCAGCGUUGGACAACUCUCUACCACACGGUAGAGAACGUCACCGAGCAUCAAGCAGUCUACGCCUUCAAGGCAGGCGUGCGGUACAGAGAUAUGUACCUAAAGUUCGGCCGAACAGGUGACAUCUCCAUGAGCAAGAUGAUGGAGAUAGCAGCUCGCUAUGCAAAUGGCGAAGAAGAGGACCGCAUCCGAAGCGGAAAACACAAGACAGUCAGUGAUGGAGACGGGAGUAACACUCGGAAGCAGAAGCAGAAAGCUCUGUCCACUCUGCAGGCAGAAGCUGCAGCCGUGACCAAUGCCAAGUUCAAAGGCAAAGGGAAGGCGCAGUUUACCACCAAGAAGAAGCAGUUCAAUAAUCCCAUCCUGGACCAGCCUUGCCCGGUUCAUACGAAGAUGGACGAAGAAGGCAACCCCAUAUAUCCAAAACAUACCACUCGACAGUGUCGCGUCCUGAUCCAGGGGUUCGGCGAAGGGCAACCGAGUGAAAAAGACAACGAACAUGAUGAGGAGGAUAAGGAGGAUUCGUUCCCCCAAAUCCAUGCAACACUCAUGAUUUUUGCUGACGUUGAGAGCAAGAGUCGACUGAAGCUGGUGAACAGGGAGGUGAACAUGGCCACGCCUACCAACCCCAAGUUCCUCAAAUGGUCUCAGAGUGUGAUCACCUUUGACCAGUCGGAUCAUCCAGCACACAUACCCACCUCGGGGAGACAGGCUCUGGUCGUCGACCCGGUGGUGUAAGGAGUCCGACUGCGCAAAGUCCUCAUGGACGGCGGCAGUGGCUUGAACAUCAUGUACACCGACACACUCAAGGGGAUGGGCAUUCCGAUGUCCAAACUCAGCGAGAGCAGCAUGCAGUUCCAUGGAGUCGUCCCUGGACGGAAGGCCAAGUCACUCGGCCAGAUCGCGUUGGACAUCAUUUUCGGCUCCGACAAGAACUUCCGCAAGGAAAAGCUGACGUUCGAAGUGGUGGACUUCCAGAGCGCUUACCACGCAAUUCUGGGCCGCCCAGCGUAUGCCCGUUUCAUGGCCCGUCCAUGUUACGUAUACUUGAAGCUGAAGAUGCUAGGCCCGAAAGGCGUGAUACCAUCACGGGCAAUCGACAACGAGCCGAAGAGUGUCUGCANNNNNNNNNNNNNNNNNNNNNNNNNNNNNNNNNNNNNNNNNNNNNNNNNNNNNNNNNNNNNNNNNNNNNNNNNNNNNNNNNNNNNNNNNNNNNNNNNNNNGCUUGAUAUUGAUUGCAAUCCGACAUGUCCCAUCAUUCUUGGUAGACCUUUCCUUAGGACUAUUGGUGCUAUCAUCGAUAUGAAGGAAGGGAAUAUUAGAUUUCAAUUUCCAUUAAAGAAGGGAAUGGAACACUUUCCUAGAAAGAUAAUAAAAUUGCCUUAUGAAUCCAUGAUGAGGGCUACUUAUGGUUUGAGCACGAAAGAUGAUGAUACUUGAUUCUAUCACCUGGUGCCUAGCUAAGGGCGUUAAACAAUAGCGCUUGUUGGGAGGCAACCCAAUGAAUUUAUCUUUGCUUUUUUGCUUUCUGUUUUGUUGUGUCCACACCAUCAUAAUUCUGUUAUGAUUGUGUUUUUCGUGUUUCUUUUUGUGUUUGAGCCAAGUAAAACCUUUAUGACUAGUUUUGGUGAUGGUUGUUUGAUCGUGCUGAAAAGGACAGAAACAUUGCGCUCACAAAAUUAUUUUUCAUUCCUAUCCAGAAAGAGCUUUUGAGAUUGAUUCUUUUUGCUGCUGGUUGAUAUGCCAAUUUCCCUAAUUGUCGUAAUUUUGCAGAAUUUUUGAGAUACCAGAAGUAUACGAAGUAUACAGAUUGCUACAGAGUGCUCUGUUUUUGACAGAUUCUGUUUUUUUGUGUUGAUUGCUUAUUUUGAUGAAACUAUGGAUAGUAUCGGGGGGUACUAGCUAUGGAAAAGUGAGAACACAGUGAUAUAACACCAAUAUAUAUAGAAAUCAAGUUUUCUACAGUACCUAAAGAGGUGGUGGUUUGUUUUCUUAUGCUAAUGAUAUCACGAGUUUCUGUUUAAGUUUUGUGUUGUGAAGUUUUCAAGUUUUGGGUGAUGUUCUCAUGGACAAUGAGAUAAAAAGUGGAACGAGCUCAAGCUUGGGGAUGCCCAAGGCAUCCCAAGCCAAAUUCAAGGACACCAAAAAGCCUAAGCUUGGGGAUNNNNNNNNNNGUUCUCCUGGACAAAGAGACAAGGAGUGGAAAUAGCUCAAGCUUGGGGAUGCCAACGCAUCCCAAGCCAAAUUCAAGGACACCAAAAAGCCUAAGCUUGGGGAUGCCCCGGGAAGGCAUCCCCUCUUUCAUCUUCAAUCCAUCGGUAACGUUACUUGGAGCUAUAUUUUUAUUCACCACAUGAUAUGUGUUUUGCUUGNNNNNNNNNNNNNNNNNNNNNNNNNNNNNNNNNNNNNNNNNNNNNNNNNNNNNNNNNNNNNNNNAUCACUUGGAGCUAUAUUUUUAUUCACCACACGAUAUGUGUUUUUCUUGGAGCGUCUUGUAUCUUAGGAGUCUUUUCUUUUUGUUGUGUCACAAUCAUCCUUUCUGCACACCUUUUUGAGAGAGGAGACAUGCACUCUUCGUGAUUUUGCUAGAAUGCUCAUAGUGCUUCACUUAUAUCUUUUGAGCUAGAUACUUUUGCUCUUGUGCUUCACUUAUAUCUUUAGAGCACGACAGUGCGUGAUUCGUUAGUUGGCUUAUGCUAUGAAAGUAGUCCCAUGUGCUAGGUACCCAAAGAGGAUGCAAAAACAUCCAUCUUCAUGUGCAUUGAGUAGAAAGAGAAGUUUCGAUUCCUCUCANNNNNNNNNNNNNNNNNNNNNNNNNNNNNNNNNNNNNNNNNNNNNNNNNNNNNNNNNNNNNNNNNNNNNNNNNNNNNNNNNNNNNNNNNNNNNNNNNNNNCCGCCGACGGGGACAAUGUAAAGAACAAGUAUCAUUGAAGUAAUACAAAGCAGAUUGAUUUCUUGCCGAUUCAAAUUUCUUCCGCGUUUGCAGACUCCGGUCUAAAAAACUCGCUCCGAGUGUGCACUGAAAGUCGCACUCGGGGACUUAGCUGCGACCCAGAGUCGCCUAAGUACAAACUCGCUCCGAGUGUGCACUAAAAGCCGCACUCGGAGACUUAGCUGCGAACCAGAGUCUCCUAAGUAAAAAACUCGCUCCAAGUGUGCACUGAAAGUCGCACUCGGGGACUUAACUGCGACCCAGAGUCGCCUAAGUACAUACUCGCUCCGAGUGUGCACUAAAAGCCGCACUCGGAGACUUAGCUGCGAACCAGAGUCGCCUAAGUACAAACUCUCUCUGAGUGUGCACUGAAAGUCGCACUCGGGGACUUAGCUGCGAACCAGAGUCGCCUAAGUACAAACUCUCUCCGAGUGUGCACUCAAACUCGCACUCGGGGACUUAGCUGCAACCCAGAGUCGCCUAAGUAAAAACUCUCUCCGAGUGUGCACUAAAGUCGCACUCGGGGACUUAGCUGCGACCCAGAGUCGCCUAAGUACANNNNNNNNNNNNNNNNNNNNNNNNNNNNNNNNNNNNNNNNNNNNNNNNNNNNNNNNNNNNNNNNNNNNNNNNNNNNNNNNNNNNNNNNNNNNNNNNNNNNCCCGUAUAUAUAGGGGGAAGAGGGGGGAGCCUUGCCUUGGGGUCCAAGGACCCCCAAGGAGUUCGCCGAGCCAAGGGGGGCAACCCUCCCCUUCCAAACCGAGUCCAACUAGGUUUGGAAGGAAGAGUCCUUCCCCCUUUUCCCACCUCCUCUUUUUUUUUCUUUUCUCUUUGAUUUUCUUCCUAUGGCGCAUAGGGCCUUCUUGGGCUGUCCCACAAGCCCACUAAGGGCUGGUGCGCCACCCCCAAGGCCUAUGGGCUUCCCCGGGGUGGGUUGCCCCCCCCGGUGAACACCCAGAACCCAUUCGUCAUUCCCGGUAACUCCGAAAACCUUCCGGUAAUCAAAUGAGGUCAUCCUAUAUAUCAAUNNNNNNNNNNCUUUCUCUUUGAUUUUCUUCCUAUGGCACAUAGGGCCUUCUUGGGCUGUCCCACCAGCCCACUAAGGGCUGGUGCGCCACCCCCAAGGCCUAUGGGCUUCCCCGGGGUGGGUUGCCCCCCUCCCCCCCGGUGAACACCCGGAACCCAUUCGUCAUUCCCGGUACAUUCCCGGUUACUCCGAAAACCUUCCGGUAAUCAAAUGAGGUCAUCCUAUAUAUCAAUNNNNNNNNNNCGUUUCCGGACCAUUCCGGAAACCCUCGUAACGUCCGUGAUCUCAUCCGGGACUCUGAACAACAUUCGUUAACCAACCAUAUAACUCAAAUACGCAUAAAACAACGUCGAACCUUAAGUGUGCAGACCCUGCGGGUUCGAGAACUAUGUAGACAUGACCUGAGAGACUCCUCGGUCAAUAUCCAAUAGCGGGACCUGGAUGCCCAUAUUGGAUCCUACAUAUUCUACGAAGAUCUUAUCGUUUGAACCUCAGUGCCAAGGAUUCAUAUAAUCCUAUAUGUCAUUCCCUUUGUCCUUCGGUAUGUUACUUGACCGAGUUUCGAUCGUCAGUAUCCGCAUACCUAUUUCAAUCUCGUUUACCGGCAAGUCUCUUUACUCGUUCCGUAAUACAAGAUCCCAUAACUUACACAAAUCACAUUGCUUGCAAGGCUUGUGUGUGAUGUUGUAUUACCGAGUGGGCCCCGAGAUACCUCUCCGUCACACGGAGUGACAAAUCCCAGUCUAGAUCGAUACUAACUCAACGAACACCUUCGGAGAUACCUGCAGAGCAUCUUUAUAGUCACCCAGUUACGUUGCGACGUUUGAUACACACAAAGUAUUCCUCCGGUGUCAGUGAGUUAUAUGAUCUCAUGGUCAUAGGAACAAAUACUUGACACGCAGAAAACAGUAGCAACAAAAUGACACGAUCAACAUGCUACGUCUAUUAGUUUGGGUCUAGUCCAUCACAUGAUUCUCNNNNNNNNNNNNNNNNNNNNNNNNNNNNNNNNNNNNNNNNNNNNNNNNNNNNNNNNNNNNNNNNNNNNNNNNNNNNNNNNNNNNNNNNNNNNNNNNNNNNCCCCCAAAAAACUUUUACGGACCGGGGCGGGAUGCGGGGUCUGGUCGGACAGGCUUUCCAGUCCGUACCCGCAUUUUGACGGUUAUUUUACGGAUCGAGGGCGGAUGCAGGAUCUGCUAGAGUUGCUCUUAGCACCCGUGCCAAACUUGUCUCCGGCCCCAUCAUGUUCGCUAGCUCGCUGCCAGAUCCACAUUGGCAACUCACGCAUGGAAAACAUGGACGCCUCUUCGUAUCUAAGAUCUUCAUGUGGCUGGCAUCCGAAUAAUGAUGUUGGUCUACUCGAUCGCGUGUCGCGGAUAGAUGCCCCUGUGCGAGUUGGUGGGGUCGACUCUGUGCGGCGAGGCAAUACAAGGACGACAGCAAUAAAAUUGUUAGAAAUUAAUUAAUAGAUUAAUUCAAGAAAUAUGUCCAACCCGAACAGUCGUGUCUCCUCUUUGUAUCUAUUGCCAACAGGCACCUGUUCUGCAGGGAUGUCUCCGAACAGACACCUUUUCUUCGCACCUCUUCCAGAUGUAUAUAUACUUGAGAAGCAAUAGAAAGAGGACUGCUGGUCCAUUCACUUCCAUUCAAUCUUGUUUUACUCUAACACGUUAUCAGCACGUAGUCUUUACCGACGAGCAAUCCGGUCUAAGACGAUGGCGGAUACACACAACCACGUCCAUGGCUUCUUGCUGUCGAUCCAUCACAGCUCCGACGUCCAUGACGAAGCACCAGAGGGCAUCGGCGGAGCAGCUCGUGUCCCUCUCCCUCGGCGCCGUCGCCAACCGCAGCAACAAGAGGACGCGCCGCGCCGCCGCCGCAGCCGCCGGUNNNNNNNNNNNNNNNNNNNNNNNNNNNNNNNNNNNNNNNNNNNNNNNNNNNNNNNNNNNNNNNNNNNNNNNNNNNNNNNNNNNNNNNNNNNNNNNNNNNNUCGACCGUUCGGGUACCAGACGGUCUCCGAUCGCGACGAAAUUCGACAGGCGGCCUUGCUAUAAAUAAAUAAUACCGCACGACAAAUUCCAGCUCAAUCGGAGAAAGUUUUACGCAAACUAUUAAAACAGGGUUUCGACGGUGCCUCGGACGCGUGCGUGUGCGGUCGGCUCAGAACGGACAACGACGCGAACCGGCAACUACUAACGGAUGCAAGUUUGAAAACUGGCCGCAAUGGAGAUGCCGAUGCAAUGCAGAUGAUGUGCACGAUGUGAUGAUGACGCGACAAAUAAAAAUAGACACACGACGGAAACGGAAAGAAAAAGGGGAAUCUUCUGGAACGUCGGCAUCGGGCUGUCACAACUCUCCUACACUACAAGAAGAUCUCGCCCCGAGAUCCAAGAAUGAAAGGGGGAGAGUAUGAGAAAAGCAGAAGGUAAAACUUAGUCGCUUCUUUUACAAAUGAGUGAAACCAACGAUCCUUGAAGGUUGCAAGGGGAUGAGGGAUGAUAUGAGAAAGAAGCAAGAAUUCACGGAAAAUAUCGGCAGCACUUCGGUAGGAAAAUGGGACAAAAAAUUCGAAAAGGUGGAAGAAAUAGACAAUAUUCACCACAAACAAGUAAAUAGAGCAAGAGAACACCAUGAUCUUGGUGGAACAACAUAAUAUACCCAAAAGAGCAACAACACAAAGCCUCCGGAACAAUAGAAUAGGAACUAACUCAAAUGGAAGAAGAGAAUGAAGAGAGAAUGACAACCACUAACUCCAAUGAACUUGACAAGCACCCUUGCGAGAAGAAUUGAACGGAGUUGUUGGAAAAACAAAAACGAAAAGAACAAGAUAGUAGUGGGCUUAUGAAAAUCAUCUCAACAUAUAUGAGGUGAUAACCAACCACUAAAAGAAACAAGGAUUGAUUGGGACAAAGAAGAUAUGAACAAUUCUUACACCAAGAGGAUACAUUGAGAACUUGGAUGAAUGACAAGCACCAUGAUAGCAACAAUCCAUAAGAAAAAGCUUUAGGUGAAAUCCAAACCAAGAUAGGUCAAUGAAGAAAUCAUGGGUUGAAAAUAUCUCAUGACCAAAGAAUCAAUGGAUUUAAUUAUCUCAUUCCUGAGAGGAAAACUCUACGAGGCUCCUACACUAACAAGAAUGCUAUAAUACCACCUCAACGGAUAAAGGAAGAACAAUUGCACUGAAAUGCAAGGGAAAGAAUGCUUGAGGUUCUCCAACGAGAAUCUUGAAGAACACUUUGAGAAUGAAUUGAAAUCUUGAUGAAUCACCAUGAAGGACCUCCACAUACAUAUGAAUGAUGCAAAGAUAUGAAGGUAGACAAGAAUAAGAUUAUGACCUUGCCAAGAUUUAGUUGAAGCCUCACAACGAGAUACUGAUAUACUUGGAACUCCGGAAAAGAAAGAUAAGCACUUGAGAAAAGAAUUGAUAUCAUGAGCCACUCCGGAAGAAGGAUUUAGAUUACUAUGAACAAGAAUAAGAAUUAUGUUAAGCUAAUCCUUCAUCAAGUUAAAUUGACGACAAUCAACGGAUUUAGCAUACAACUUAUUCUUCUUGAAAUAAUCUUGAAGAGACAGAGAGAUAAUCACCACUUGAAGCAUAAUUGAAGGAAGCACCGGUAAGAAUUCACAAUUGAAUGGGAACACCACGAAUUAAUGGAUAUACAUGAGAAUGAAGAGAUCAUAAGCCACCUCAGAGAAAACUAGAACAAGGCACCGGAUAAACAAGAGAUGAAUGAAGAGACAACAAUGGAGAAGAAUUAGAGAACGAAAGCUGAAAGCUGAGAACGAAGAAUCUUCUAAAAUGAUGGCCUUUGGAGGAUCGAGAAUGAAAACAACUCAAAAAUGCACCGGAUAGCAAGAAAGGGAUACUCAUGAUAGAAACAAUUGAAGAUGAUAGCACCAAGCUGAAAUGAUAAUAUCCACAAGAAUGAACCAAGAUUUGAGAGAAACACCUCUUCGGUCUUCAAAGGAGAGAAUGAUGAGAAGAACACCACCAAGAAUAACUAAGACACUCCGGAAUAAUGAAGAAUGAAAGGUUGAGCNNNNNNNNNNNNNNNNNNNNNNNNNNNNNNNNNNNNNNNNNNNNNNNNNNNNNNNNNNNNNNNNNNNNNNNNNNNNNNNNNNNNNNNNNNNNNNNNNNNNCGUUUUUUUUUUUGCGAGAGAACGAUUUUGCUUUUGUGAGAGGCACGCUCGGAAAAAGGAAAAACGUGUUUUCUUUUCUCUUUCUGUGACACACACUGUUUUGCUUUCGUGAGUGGCACGGCGAAAACGGAAAAAAUGCGUUUUCUGGUUUUUUUAUGGGAGACAUAGAUUUGCUAUUAACACCACCAUAUUUCAUUGUUGAGGGUAUCAAACGAUCUCCAAAUCCAAUAGGACUUUAUAUGUAGCCUUUCCAUAAUAUAACAAGGCCACAUAUAAAUAAUCACCUCAUUUGAAAAACAUUGUUUUCCAUCUAUCAGAAUAGUCCAAGUUAAUUAAUAAAUUGAUGCUCAUGCAAUGGAAAUGAUGUACAAUCAAUACAAUAGGGAAAAUAUAUUUAGAUUAUUAUUCCCCGAAUGUUAUAGAGACAUGGGUUGUUUAUGAUACAAUGAACAUACGCUGCAAUGGCAAAGCAAAGUGGCAUGAAUAUUCAGUUCAUACAUGGCAUGUGAAGAAUGGAGGCUCCUCAUCUUCUUGUAGCAUCUAACAAGACGGAAGUGGAAUUAUGCUCUCUUGGAGGCAAUACCCACUAAGAUUCAUAUGAUAUUGUAUCUUUCCAAUGUUUACCAUUCCUAAGAACUUGCCAUCAAUACCGCAGCGUAACACAUUUUUAUCAUUAAACUGGACCAAAAUCUCAUGCUCACUGAGCACAGCCAUUUUAGGCUGCCCAUAGUGGGAGUAACUAAGGUAGUAUCAUGUACUUGGGACUAGCAAACAUGCUGAUGUGGUAGACAAUGAAGGAAGAGAGAGAGGGUUAAAGUAACAUAGGUAGAUACCGUAACAUGUUAAAUGUCAUGCUACUAUGUGUCAUGCAUGUCAAUAAAUGUGAUCAUAUAUGAUACUAUGCACUAUGAAGGUAGUAUCAUACAAGAGUAUUAUAUGCAUGAUACUACUAUAUGAUACUCCCCACUAUGACCAGCCUUAUGGAACCGUAUCACCACUGAAUCAGGUGGUGACUUCCUCUUCCUUUUGAGAGAAGUUAAUUUCAGUUUUUGUGACGCCUCCCCAUUCGUUAGGUCAAUCCGGUACAUGAAGGCCCAAAUUUUGGUCUCAUGACCCUGCAUCAUCCAGACAUCCAAACUCGGGUUUUGUUUGAGCAAAAAGCCUGAGAAAGCAAUCUCCCCGUUCAUGUCAAACAACUAUCCCCCAUGGUACCUAUCAGAAUGAUCAUUCAGUUGGGCCGGACUAUGCAUCCACCGGAACGAUUCAACUUCUGUGUCAAAUACAACAACGUCUUCACCGUCUCCUGGUGCUGUACUGGUGGCAAACCGGGCAGCACCCGGAGUAAAUCCCAUUCCAUGGAAGCCGAGGAGACUGUUGGCAUUCUGACUCUGAUGGGCCUCGGCUUGUCAGAUCCAACCGUGAGGACGUAUAAAUUGGAUUCAAAAUAGUUGUUUGAGACCCAGAGCACUGCUAUCCCAUAGACAACAGCGCUAGAAAUUGACACGUUGACAGAGGCUGGGCUUGCGUUGGUUCUUCCCUUGAAGAGGAAAGGGUGAUGCAGCACAGGAGCAGUAAGUAUUUCCCUNNNNNNNNNNNNNNNNNNNNNNNNNNNNNNNNNNNNNNNNNNNNNNNNNNNNNNNNNNNNNNNNNNNNNNNNNNNNNNNNNNNNNNNNNNNNNNNNNNNNUUCCACCACCGGGUCGACGACCAGAGCUUGCCUCCCUGGGGUGGGUACAUGCGCUGGAUGAUCUGACUGAUCAAAGGUGAUCGCAGUCUGUGACUAUUUGAGGAACAUGGGGGUGGUUGGGGUUGCCAUGUUCACCUCCCUAUUAACCAGCUUCGGUUGACUCUUGCUUUCCACAUCAGCAAAAAUCAUCAGCGUUGCAUGCACUUGGGGGAACGGAUCCUCCUUGUCCUCAUCAUCCCGCUCGGCGUCCUUUUCACUCGGCUGUCCUUCACCGAAUCCUUGGAUCAGGAGGCGGCACUGCCGAGUGGUAUGCUUCGGGAAUAUGGCGUUGCCUUCUUCGUCCAUCUUCGUGUGGAUUGGACACGACUGAUCCAGGAUGGAAUUUCCUGACUGCCUCUUCUUGGGGGUGUACUUAGCUUUCCCCUUACCUUUGAACUUGGCAUUUGUAACGGCUGCUGCCUCUGCCUGCGGAGUGGAUUGAGCCUUCUACUUCUGCUUCCGACUGUUGUUCCCAUCUCCAUCGGCGACUGACUUAUGUUUGCCGCUAUGUAUGCGGUCCUCCUCUUCACCAUUUGCAUAGCGUGCGGCUAUCUCCAUCAUCUUGCUCAUGGAGAUGUCGCCUGUCCGACCGAAAUUCAGGUACAGAUCCCUGUACCGCACGCCUGCCUUGAAGGCGCAAACUGCUUGAUGCUCCGUGACGUUCUCCACCGUGUGGUAGAGGGCUCGUUCUGCUUCUGGACGCAGUGCUGGAGCUCCACGAGACCAGCUGGGCGUUUGCACGUGCCCUCGAAGGUCCUGAUAAAGACUCAGGACAGAUCUGCCCAGCUAUAGAUGCUUGACGGAGCCAACUGGUUCAGCCAAGCUCGCGCCGAGCCGUCGAGCAUCAGGGGGAGAUGUUUCAUGGCGACCUGGUCAUCUCCGCCACCGAUCUGGACCGCCACUCUGUAGUCGUCCAACCACGUUUCUGGCUUGGACUCUCCUGUGAACUUGCUGAUUCCCGUUGGCAAUCGGAAGUUGGGAGGGAUAUCAGCUGAACGGAUGGCCCGACUGAAGCACUCGGGGCCAGAGAUGACGGUCCUGCUUCCACUCGGACGGUCUCUAUCAUGACCAUCAUGGUGGGCUCGACUCCUGUCGACCUUCUUCUNNNNNNNNNNNNNNNNNNNNNNNNNNNNNNNNNNNNNNNNNNNNNNNNNNNNNNNNNNNNNNNNNNNNNNNNNNNNNNNNNNNNNNNNNNNNNNNNNNNNNNNNNNNNNNNNNNNNNNNNNNNNNNNNNNNNGCGUCGGGCCUUGGAUCAUGCGCGUCGCCGACUGAACGACGAUCAUUGUGAUGCCGAAGGCCGUAAGGCCCACCUCGCGGAGGGGUGCGCGAACGGCGACGAUCUUCGGGAUUCCUGGAACGGCUGCCUCCUCUACGUCGUUGAUGAGAGUCGGGGCUGAAAACCGACCGAUGCGUGUUCGCUUGAACAGCACUGUUGUGGAUCCUGUUGUGCGACUGGGAGACCGCCGAAUUUUGCUGCUACUCCAUAUGCAACAGGGCACGGAUCUUCUCGAUCCCUCUACCAGCCUCUGAAUCAGUCGGCUAGAGAGAAUCGGAUAUCCUGGCAGCCGCAACCAGGUUGAGAAUGGGUGUGCGGAAUACCUCGACGUCGCUCUGGCGAGUGCGUCAACUNNNNNNNNNNNNNNNNNNNNNNNNNNNNNNNNNNNNNNNNNNNNNNNNNNNNNNNNNNNNNNNNNNNNNNNNNNNNNNNNNNNNNNNNNNNNNNNNNNNNGUGAGCGCACGCACGACCCAACUGACAGAAACGGACAUGGGCGAACCCAUUGCCGUCCCAAACGGACAAAAUCCGGCCAAACCGGACGUCCGUUUGGGGUCGUGCGGUGGAGUUGGCCUUAGACACAGAGAGACGACUGUGGGCCUAGCGGGCCAUGCGGGUGGAGGUUGCAUCGGGAUGCUCGGCGUCCGUCCUAUCUCGAACCAUAGCCCAGAUCUGGCACCUGAUCUAUUGUCAACUAGCGGUGGUUGGGUAGCCGACGUGAAAUGGAGGAGGAGGGGAUAAGGCGGAACCUGAGAAAUUCUAAGGAGGUGGUUUUAGGGUUUUCCCAAAUAAGGAAGUGAUGGGAAGUGGGUGAUUGUAUUUUAUAGGAGGGUCCGUUUUUUUGAGAGAAAAUAUAGAAGGGUAGGUGGGGGUGGAUUCACUAGUAGAAAAUGGGUCUUUCGGCAAGAGCAAAAAACACAUUAGCCCCGAUUCAAACAAAAACCGGGACCAAUGCCAGGCAUUGGUCCCGGUUCAGUUUGCCAGGGCAUUGGUCCCGGUUCGGCUCACCUCUUUAGUCCCGGUUCGGGGCAUCCAGCGACUGCACGUGGCAUGCCGCAGAGCAUUAGUCUCGGUUUGUGGCAAGAACCGGGACUAAAGGGUAGUCUAUUAGUCCUGGUUUUAGAUAAGAACCGAGACUAUAGUGUUGCCUAUAUAAACCUUCCCCCUGCCCACCCUCUCCUCUGUUUUUUGGCUAUUGAAGUGUGCCCAUGCCAUGCUCUUGUCACCCUUCUAGUUCAUGCACAUGAGGUGUUCGAUGAAAUGUGUGAGGCACACUACUUAAGCUUUCUCCUCUCCAAGCUCGACUGUUGUUGUGGGGGUCGCUUCUCCUUCUUCUUCUUACGCUAGAUAUUUGUUAUGCACUAGGGGAAGUAGGAGUAGCGACCAUCAUNNNNNNNNNNUGAAAAAUCGGUGAGGGAGUGUCCACCAUAUAUGAGAGAAGAAGCAUGUCGACUGUUGUUGUGGGGGUUGUUUCUCCUUCUUCUCCUUGUACUAGAUAUUUGUUAUGCACUAGGGGAAGUAGGAGUAGCGACCAUCAUCGACGGUCGAAAAAUCGGUGAGGGAGUGUCCACCAUAUAUGAAAGAAGAAGAAUGCCGACUGUUGUUGUGGGGGUCGCUUCUCCCUCUUCUCCUUGUGCUAGAUAUUUGUUAUGCACUAGGGGAAGUAGGAGUAGUGACCAUCAUCGACGGUCGAACAAUCGGUGAGGGAGUGUCCACCAUAUAUGAGAGAAGAAGAAUGCCAACUGUUGUUGUGGGGGUCGCUUCUCCUUCUUCUCCUUGUGCUAGAUAUUUGUUAUGCACUAGGGGAAGUAGGAGUAGCGACCAUCAUCGAUGGUCGAAAAAUCGGUGAGGGAGUGUCCAGCAUAUAUAAGAGAAGAAGAAUGCUGACUGUUGCUGUGGGGGUCAUUUCUCCUUCUUCUCCUUGUGCUAGAUAUUUGUCAUGCACUAGGGGAAGUAGGAGUAGAAACCAUCAUCGACGGUCGAAAAAUUGGUGAGGGAGUGUCCACCAUAUAUGAGAGAAGAAGAAUGACGACUAUUGUUGUGGGGGUUUCUUCUCCUUGUGCUAGAUAUUUGUUAUGCACUAGGGGAAGUAGGAGNNNNNNNNNNAAAAAAUCGGUGUGGGAGUGUCCACCAUAUAUGAGAGAAGAAAAAUACCGACUAUUGUUGUGGGGGUCGCUUCUCCUUCUUCUCCCUGUGCUAGAUAUUUGUUAUGCACUAGGGGAAGUAGGAGUAGCGACCAUCAUCGACGGUCGAAAAAUUGGUGAGGGAGUGUCCACCAUAUAUGAGACAAGAAGAAUGCCGACUGUUGUUGUGGGGGUCUCUUCUCCUUCUUCUAUGUCGGCACAGCAGCCAAAGAAAACCUUUGGAGAAAGCUCAUGCUUCAUUUCACCCUGCCGGCGCCAGAGGUGGAUCCAGAUGAGGAGGAGCCAAAUGAGGAGGAAAUGAAGAGGCAAAAAGAGGCCCUAGAGAAAAAAGUCAAGGAGUGGGCUCUUAAGAAGAUGGCCGAUCUAUUCAGGGGCUGAAAAAAAGAUUGCACCAGGAUUUUAUCUUGAAAGAUAAGACUUCAGAUUUCGAUCAAGACUAUGAGAAGAUUAAAGACUACUGGCCCGAAUUUGUGGCGUACAAGAAAUCGAAGGACGCCUUGAAAAUAUCUGCAACAAAUAGGUUGAAUGCAGGUAGAAGAAGUACCACCAUAUUAUGGGGCCUGGUGGCUACGGAAGUAAUAUGGCUAAGUGGGAAGCACUUGAGGCAUCAUUUCUGGAAAAAAAUAUCACUCCAGAGCCCUUAAGAUGGCUCGAAUGGGGAAGAAACUGGUUUUAUGGGCAUGGGGGCUUGUUGGACGAAGAAGGGAAGGCAAUAUAUAACCAAAAAUACAAAGAUAAUCGUCUACCCAUUAAGGACAUUAGACAUGCAGUACAGGAUGUUGAAGAGGGAUGGUUCGUUCCCGAUAGAGAGAACGACAAGAUCACACGCGGCCUUGGUAAUAAGGAACACAAAGCGUGGGCACGAGGCUUACCAAGCUCCCCAUCGUGGAUGCUUGCGUUUUCCGAGGAAAGGAAGAGAUUUCCCGAUAUAAGCCAUCAGAGGAGAAAGGAAAAGGAGGCAUGUGAUAAAGCGGCUGAGGCUGACCGGCUGCAUAAUCUAGAAGAAGUAGUAAAGCGGCUGCAUCAGGAUCAAAUCGACAGACAGCAAGGUAGCGGCCAAUCUCAGCGGGUCAUGAUAGAAGGUGCAUCGAAUCGGAAAAGCAGUGUUGCUUCCAUGCAGCUCCAGGAUGAUGGUGAUGACGCACUGACGACGGAUCCUCGUCGUCGCUACCCAGUGGAUGAUAUCACAAAGAGCACACCUUGUGAGCUAAAGGUGAAAGUUGCUAACUUAAGGUUGACGGUGGCAGUCAUCAUGGCCAUACCAAUUGGACAUAAUCCAACUUGGCAUUGCUCUCCGGUUCUAGAAGGGUACGUUGUCGUCGCGGUGGAUGAAGUGAUGAAAGAUUAUGAGGAGCUGAAACUCGACCUCCCUCCAAGUGAAGAUAGGGAUUUGACUCAACUUGGAGAAGUCAAGAAACAAACCCUUGUAUGGCCAAAGGAGGACAUCUUGCUUCCAAAUUGGACACAAAGGCCACCGACUCCUCAUAGCAGCAAUCCUUCUUCGCCUCCACCUCACUAGUCUCCAGCGCAACCGUCGUCUUCGCCGCCUCACCAGUCUCUAGCGCAACCGUCUCCACCGCCGCAUCAGUCGUCUCCACCACCCCGUUAGCCGUCUCCGUCCACUGAGGAUCAGAGCAAAAAGCGGAAACGUACCACCGCUAAUAGUGGCGGCAGAAAGGGGUUCCGAUAACCGAAACGUAAGAUGUCUCCCCUCCCAACAGUACCUCACAAGAAUAUGGAGAAGAGACCUUUGGACUAUACUGGAGAGGAGAAUAUUAAGAGGGGAGACGCCCGGCAUCAAUAGUGGAAGGCUGAAGUGGCUAACAAGAAGAAGCCAAAAGAGCCAGAGUUCCCGAACACCCCAGAAGAUCACGCCGCGACUGUGAAAAUGCCGAAAAACCUUGAAGAUCCCCCUCCACCGUUGAUAACAGACUAUGAACGCUCUAUUCUCAAGUCGAGUCAAGCAAAAAAGCAGCAGUCGAAGAGUAGUAGCGGGAAAUCAGUUGCCCAGCUCGGACAAUAGAAAAACCAAUCGUGCCCCCCGCUCAAAGUGUAUUCUGAUACAAAGGUGUGCUCGAGCAGAGCUGGUAUCGAUUCUGAUUUUGUUGCAAUAUACGGAGAAGCGGCCAAGGCUCAAGGCAUGACUAUUGAUGAGUACUUAAACCAUAUCCAGGAAUUCGCUGACCUAACAUACGUGUACCGGUACGGGUCUCCUCUCGUCAAACCUGAGUUGGUCAACGAGCUACCAACCAAAAUGCGAAGAUUGCAUGACUGGUACAUGCAAGCAUGUAAAGAUCAGCAAAACUGGAUCUAUGUUGCAUAUGAAGACGAGCAUUUCGGGACUGGACGAGGCGUGCUAAUGAUUGAAUUCGAGGAAUUAUUUUAGUUAUACAAACAAGACGCCCUGGACAAAUCUAUCAUCAGUGCCUAUUGUUUGUAAGUAUUAUUAACUUAUGUCAUUAAGUCUUACUCAACUCGUUCUUGCAUGUAUAAUCUUACUCAUCACUAUAUUAAUUUUGCAGAAUGAAGAUUCUCGAAUGCAAAAGAGGACAGAUCUAUGACAUUGGGUUCAUUGACCCAUAUUACAAUCAUCACCAAAGUCUCACAACGAAUCCCCGCGAGACAGAGAAUAACUUGGUACAAGGAUUAAGGUUUUGCAGUACCAAAAGGGAAAUACUAUUUCCUUACAACUUCAAGUGUGUGUUACUACACGCAUUCUAUUUUCGCUUACUCGAUGUUAUUAUAAGUGUAUAAUUGACUCGUUAUGCGUGCGCAGGUUCCAAUUUAUUUUGUUAAUCAUUGUACCUGACGAGGGACAAGUAAUAGUCAUGGACCCAAAACGCACACCCCUCGCUGAAUGGGCGAACAUGCAGGAAUGCCUCCAGAAGUAAUUCCAAUCAUUAUGACACUAUAUCAGCAACUUCUCGUUCAUUUCCUGAUAGCAAGGAAUUAAUAUGGAAGUCCUUUAUUCAUUUAAUUUUUCUUGGCAGGGCUUGAAAACGGUUCACCACCAAGGCUCGGGUUGAUUGGAAGUCAGAGCUUACAUUUAAACAAAUAGAUGUAAGUAACUACUAGCUAGAUCCGCGCAUCUCUUUAUUCUAGUUUCAAUAUCAUUAUAAUUCUUGAUUAUGUUUUUGAUUGAACUCUGUUCUUGUAAAGUGCUUGAGGCUGGAACAAGGGAACAAUUUAUGUGGUUAUUAUGUUUGCGAGUUCAUUCGCUAGACGACCCAUCAGACAGGCAAAAACCGAGACAUAAAAAAAUCGAAGUACGAUAAACAAUACGCACAGCUUUAUUUUAUUACCGUGAAUUGUCUUUGUUUUCCUUCAUAUAUAUAUAUUGACCACUUCUUUAAAUUAGAUCGAACGGUUACAGGACGGUCUUCUACCACAGGAACGUGUACGAGCAAUUCAAGAGGAAAUUGCCGGAUUCUUAGAUGCAGAGGUCCUAGAUGUCAAGGGAGAAUACUAUUGCCCGUCGAUGCAAUUGAUAUGAAAUUAAUGAUAUAGUGUACCAAAGAUGCAUAUAUGUGCAUGUAACUCGUGUCUACAUUUUGUAAAUAUGUUCGACAAAAACGACGGAUGAGAUGGUGUAAUAUAUUCGUGAUUUUGUGCAAUAUAGUUGUUCCUUUAUUGUUGUGUAUGUACCAUCCAAUUUAGUGCAAAACAAGAAUUAAAAAAAUCCCAAAACAAAUAAAUGAGAAAAUAUAGGGCAGCAAAAUAGCCCCAUUCANNNNNNNNNNNNNNNNNNNNNNNNNNNNNNNNNNNNNNNNNNNNNNNNNNNNNNNNNNNNNNNNNNNNNNNNNNNNNNNNNNNNNNNNNNNNNNNNNNNNGGACCGAGCCAGCGCCGGUCGUCGGUACAGUGCUUUGUCUCCGGCCGGCCGGGUGAUCGAUGCGGCCCCGAGAGGCCGGAACGGAAGCUUCCCGCUCCCGUGUACAUUUGCAGGGACGGCGACGUGUCCGGCCAGCUUGCACCGAGGUCCCUGCGGAGGAUAGGCACGAGAAUUCUUAUCCUACCGUCGAUGUCUGAUUGUUGCCCGAACCAGGGAAGGCUGAGGAUUCAAGAUGCAUACAUGGCGUGCUCAAGGGACAUGAUGAACGCUGGUUUAGUACAAGAGAAGAGAAGAAGGGCUGUUAUACGUACCAUCAAAUUUCGUACGAAUUUUGUACGAUCGAACUGAUAUUUUGUGUUGUGAGCCCAGACAAGAGGAAGUGGACCUCUCUUGUCGUAUGCAAAACCAUCGCACACAAAGUUGUUUCAUUAAUACAAUAUGUAGAUAUGUUUUUUUGUAAAUUUGGUCAAAGUUAUUAUUAAUACUAAGUGUUUUAUAUUAUUUUACUUGUUUUCCAGGAUCUUUAAGGGGCUGUCGAGGCCAACAAGACGAUUGAGGUGUACGCAAUGGUGUAAUAUACUAUUCAGUACUCACCAUAUUUAUCAUUAUGUUGUUUUAGAUGUAGCUAAGUUUGUUCACUUGAUGUUUUUAGUUGCAAAUUUAUGGAGUAAAUUUCUAUCGUCUUUCCAAACAGUUCCGUCCGAAGGGAACACUUCUCUACGGUCAUAAGGUUCUCAUCCAAAUGCCAUAAUAGGCUACACAGAGAAUUACCGGCAGCGUUUUCUUCUAUAGGAUCCCUAGCAUAAGAACUCGUCCCAUAAAUUCAUAAAUAAAAAUACCAAGUGAAAACACCAAACUACAUCAUUUCCACAACAUAAUUUACAUAUGGUUUUCCCUUUCGGGAACCCCGAAAGGUUUACACAAGGGUAAAAGAAAUUACCUUCUAACUACCUUCGCGAGCUUACAAAUGCUCUCAAUAUUGUAGCUUUUAUUACACGAUGAAGAAGUACUACUACUACUACUAUUGGUGAGCAACGAGCUUGCUAGCUGAGUUGCAGCUCUCUGCUCUAUCUGUGGCUGGUUCUUCUCCGUCUGGUGUCUCUCUUCACAACAAGACUACUCCUUUUAUAGGCAAGAGAGCACCUCUUGGAUGGUUUCCGGGAGAAGGCUUCUCUAUUAUUUCCUCCUUCUUUCUCGUUGUCCAUCAUGCACCUAGUUUUUAUGCUUUAUAGGCUUUGUAGCCAUUAUAGCCCUUAUUUUUUGGGUAUUGAGUGCAUGUUGGAGGGGUUUGCACACCGUGUGUUGGCUGUCAAUGGAGGUGGCAUUGUCUUCUUUUUUGAUUUUCUUCUUCGUCAUGAUUUUGUCUUGAACUUUAAUCGUCAGAAAUAUUACAAUCUUUGGGUAUGCAUGUGCCCGUACACUGCCUGCUGAUAUGUGUACGGGGGCAUACUUGGCUACAAACAUGCACAUAUGUGUGCAUUGGCUAUUGAUAUGCGUACGCAUACAUGCUGCAAUUGUUUUUGAGGGGGGUCUUCCCUGCCCAUAUAAUUGAUAUUUCAUAUCAAUAUACACUAAGAUUCUAGAUUCCCAUCAGUAUUUUGUCGGGGUAUAGGUCCUCCGCGCCCGAAUAAUUGAUAGUAAUAUCAAUUCAAAUUCAGUGAUAUUUGCAGUUGGGCUUUACUCAUGCUUGCCCAUGCCCUGCGAUAUCCAUAUGAUCCUCAUCUAAGAGAUGGUAAUCAUACUUCGUAUCACAUUCUUUCUUUAUAUCUUCAAAUCUUAUUUUCAUUUCAAUCCUUAUUUCAUAUAAUAUCUCUUCCUUUAAUUCCUUCUUCAUUAUUUUUGACAAUUCCUCAAAUCUUUUGUCCAUUUGUUGAUCUAUAUGUUCGUUAUCCAAAGGGUCUUGGCCCUUCAUAAGGCAUUCUUUAUAUGUAUAUUUUUUUGGAGAAUCUUCUUCCUUUAUAUUCUUUCCUGAUGAUUCUCUCUUUGUAGUUUUAAAUAUUGGCAUAUUAGAUGUAUUGUUAUAUGUAUUCUUUCUCUUCUGGAUAUAAUCUUUAGCAUUGGGGCCAAUAUAAUAGUUUUCCCCCAUCAUUUUUCUUGCCCAAAACAAGGCAUUAUCAAUACUUUCAUAUUUUUUGAAUGUUAAGUGUUGUCCCAUUCGUUUUGCAUCUAGUUUCUCUAUCAUGAUGUCUUCCCAUGUUAAAUAUAUUCCAGGUUUAUUUCCGUCAAACAAAACAUAUAAUGUUUCUCCUUUUUGUAUUUCAACCCUUUCUGGCUUUGCCAACUUCCUAUUCAUUUGGUUAAAAUAUUCUGCCAAGCUAUUUAGAAUUGAUAGCAUAUAUCCUUUUUCAUCUCUCUUAUUGGUAUAUUGGUACGAGAAAUUGUCCAAUAUGCACCUCUGAAUUUCAUCAAGUUUCAUAUGGGCCUUUGGCUUGAAAUUGAAGGUAUUUGGCUGAAAUAUCUUCAACAUGUUCUCCUAUCCAAAGAAGAAGCAUUCGUCCUUGGUGGGAAAUAAUCCUUUCUUCAUUUUUGUAAAUUUGAUGCACGAGAAAAUAUGUCAGGUAAGGUAUUAUAUUUUCCCUUAAUAUGCUCAAAAAUAACUUUAUAACCAUUCCCAGCUAUGGUGCCUUCAAAUAAGACCCAUCUUCUGGUUGAACUUUUCUUACUAUUAAUUUUAUUGUAAUAUCAACAUAUGGCUUCACAAUCAGUUCACACUAUAAAUUCUUUCAAUCCUAGAUAUAACCUAAAAGCAUUUAUUGCAUUUACAACUGCGAGGAUUUCUCUGUCAAUAUUAUUUACCGUUUUUAACUUGUAACUUCCUGAAGCAUAUCUACAUAUUUUUUUCAUCUGCCUUUGGGGAAUAUUUAUUAGGUUUUUGUUUUAAUAUAGCAUCCCAUCCUACAUUAGAUGCAUCUGUUUCAAUUAUCAAAUAAUUGUCUUUUAGAGGGAAUUCUAGGGGUUUUAAAUUCUUAACUAUUUUUUCUUUGAUGGCCUUUACUAAUUUUAUAUCUUUAGAAUUAAAAUAUCUCUGACUAUUCUUUCUUAAUUUAGCAUAUAAAGGUCUGGCUAGCUUUGCUAGGUUAUCUAUGUAAUUUCUUGCAUAAUUUACAAUUCCUAAGAAUUGUUGUAGAACGUAUUUAUCACUCAUAUUAUCACGAAACUCCAAAAUUUUCUUUGCAAUAUGUUCUUGCAAAUAUAUCUUUCCUUCUCCUAUUUCAUAGGCAAGGAAAUUUAUUCUUUCUUUACAAAUUUCCAUCUUCUUUUUUCAUAAUAUGAGCCCAUUUUGUUCUACCUUACGAAAGAACACUUCGAGAUGUGAUAUAUGCUCUUUGUAUGAUUUUGAGAAUACUAACAAAUCGUCUACGUAUACUAAUAUAAACGCUUGGUUCUCAUUAAAUAUAUUUUGCAUUUUCCUUUGACAUAGUGCGGGUGCAUUCUUUAGACCUAAUGGCAUUACUAGCCAUUCAUAAUGGCCUUGUGGACAAGUAAAGGCAGUCCAUGGAAUAGAUUCUUCGACCAGUUUUACUUGCCAAAACCCCGCUUUUAAGUCAAAUUUAGAGAAAUAUUUGCUUCCUUGUAUUCUGUUGAUCAUUCAUGUUUAUUAGGUAUAUUAUAUGCAUCAUCUACUGUAUUAUCAUUAAGCCUGUUGAAGUUAAUUACCAUUCUGGAUUUACCUCUCACCUCUUCAGUAUGAUUUCUAACUAUAAAAGCAGCAGCCCGAUGAGGACUUCUACUUUCUCUAAUUGCUUUUAAUUUCAGUAACUCCUCAAUAAGCAUUUUGAGUUCUUUAAUAUCUUUAGGAGUAGCUUCUAUUGGAUCUGACUUAAUGAUACAGUCUGGAUUUAUAAUAUUUAUUUUGCAAACUAUAGAGUUCCUUUCCCAAUGUUUCAUCCGUAUUUCCCCUAUAAUUUGUAUGUUUUCUAAUCUUUGCACAAUCUUAUCUAUAUCAUUUUUGUAUUCUAUAUCUCUAUACCAAUUUGGUAAAAAUGAUUGUAACGCUAUGCAUUCUGUACUUGUAUUUUCAAUAUGAUAUUCUUCUAUGGUCUCACUAAGUUCUUCAUCUUUACACAAAUCAAGGGUCUGUGGAGUUGUACUAUAUUCGCCAUCCAAAUUAUAUAUUUCUACAUUUUGCAAUAUGUAUGGAGAUUAUCUUGAUAAGGGAUAAAUGUAACCCCUUCUUCAUGUAUAAUUGUAGUUUGUAAAGACUGUUGUAAAAACCUUAACCCUAUUAUCAUGUCAUCAUUUAUUACUGAUAAAUCCCUUAUUGUAAUUUCAUCUAUUAUAUGUUUCGUGCCAUUUAUGUAUGCUUCAAUAUUAUAUGCUAACUGGUUAUGGAUUUUCUUUAUACCUGACAUAUCAAUACAUACUUCAGCUUUAUUAUCAUCUAUAGUUUCAACUAUUUCUGGGCAUCUUAUGAAAUAUUUAUCAUGUAAGAUGUUCUUUGUGCAACCCGUAUCUAAUAACACUAAUACUUUAUAAGAAAUGUUUGGCUUUAGAACUAUUUUAACUGGGAUCCUUAUCCCUAACACUUCUUUGAAUGGUAAUCGGAAGAUAUAUUUGUUUCCAAAACUAGUUAUUACAUCUUUUAAUUGUAUUAAUUUAUCUCCUUUUUUAUCCCUUACCGUUACCAUUUGUUCCUUCAUCUCUGUGAUUUUUGCAACCUUAUUAUCUUGCUCUUUACUAUACUCUAAUUCAUCCUUUAGCCUUUCUAGCUCUACUUCUAGUUUAUUUAUUCUAUUUUCUAAGUUUCUAACCCUACUGGAUAAUAUUCUUUCUUCCGGUUCCAAUUCUAUUUCUUGUCUCCAUUUUUGAUUAUUGACUUUUAGACAGGAGGUACAUGCUUGCUUUAAGCAUAAACUACAUGUGAACCUAUUAUCUUGGCUAGGAUAAUAUAUACAGAAAGCACAUUUUAUGUUAUAAUCCCCUUUUCCUUUAAUCCAGUCAUGUUCACAAUCUACUUGGUUCACCAUGUCGAUCUUUAAACCAACUAGUUCAUCAAUUAGGUUUAUUUCAUCAUCACUGGAUUCAUAUUCUGGAGUCUCAUUUUUCUACUUCAUAUGUCUCUGUGAUUGAAUAUAUUGACUUGUCGUCUUUUAUUUCAUCAUCACAUACUAAUAUAUUCUCAUUAACACUAUCUAUUAUUAAUACUCUCUCUUGCUCUUCAUAUUUGCUAGAGUACCUUUUGUGGUCUUUAUUAGGACAAGUCCUACUUAGGUGAUCAGGAGAGUUACAUAUGAAACACCUGCAUGUUUUAUCAUAUGAUUUCUUAGGAUUAUAUCUUCUUACAUUUCUUUUAUGUAAGAAUGGGGCUCUAUUAUCUGGCCUUCUUAAGAAAUAUCUUUUCUUUGUUCUAAAAUUUCUGUUAUCUCUCCUUUGUGGUUUAUAAUAUAUUUUUUCCUAUACCUUUCUUCUCCAUAUGUAAACAGUAUUUGGACAAUGUUAUUGCAGAAAUUGUAAUCUGACUUGUUCAUAGACCUUGGGCUUGGAUGCCUGUACAUACCUUUUUUAAUUGUUUAAAAACAAAUGUUAUGGCUUGGGAUAUAUUGACCACGUUUCCGGCCGGUUCUUUUUUAUAUUCUUCAAAUAUUAUGGAUCCUAAAGGGUCCAACAACUUAUUAAAAUAUCUUUCUACUACACCUACAUUAAACCCUUGCUUUGAAGUGGUAGCAUUAUGUAAAUAAUGCUGAGAGAAUUCUUUUAUUCCUUUCCAGCUAGUUAAUGUUAGUUUUUCUAUUUCUCUCAACCUUUCGUUUUGCAGUUAGGUAUGUCCUAAUUCUGGAUCUUCUGCGAUGAUCAUAAUUGAAAUAACAUUUGCAAAGUUAUUAGGGUUACUUCCGGCCCUUUUUAAUUCUUCAUAUUGAUUAGGAUAUGUCUCUACCAAUUGUUCCCAUAGAACUUUUACAGAUUCUCCUAAAAAUGUAUCAAGAUAUGUUAACAUAUCUUCUACCUUAGUACCUAUAUUAUACUGGUUUUGUAUAUUUUUUUGAACUAUUAAACCUUUCCAUAUGUUGAUUAUAUUCGGCAAAUCUAUCGGGUCAUGAGCUGCUAGGUUUAAAAUAGCGCCAUCAUUCUUAUAAUUUUGAAAUUGCAUUGGCUUUUCAAAAUCUCUUCUUUUAGCACCCAUAUAUCAAUACUGUCCAGGGAUAUAGGUAGGUUGAUAAUCAUCUUUUUCUGGAGGCCAUUGUCCAGCAGAUCUGGUAGGCCUCUCUCUCUCUCUCUCUCCUUCUCUUUUUACCGAAGACUCGCCAUAUCCCUUUCUUCUUUUAUUACUACUUUAUACUUCCAUAGCUUCCAUUGCAUUAUCUAAAUUUUGUAGCCCCACAUCAUCUAGCGAGUUAUAAAAAUCACUACUUUGCUCCGAAUCAUUAUAAUUUUCAUCUUCUAACCAAAUUUCCUUUAUUAAUUCUUCUUCCUCCUCAUAACUUUCUAGUAGUAACUUAUUAUUUGUAUCCCAUUGCUCUUCUUCAGUAACAACUUCUUCUUUUUGAGCAAUAUUCUUAUCUCUAUUACUAUUAUUAAUGAUAGAAUUAUUAUUAAUACUGGCAUGUUCUCCACUUUCAAUUGAUGAUAUAUUUGUAUUUGGCAUAGUUGAACUACUAGUUGCUAAACUUUUCUCAUUUUUUAGUUUUUUUAACCUUGCAAUUUCUCUAAUUAUAAACAAUUCUCUUUCUCUUAUCUUAGGACAAUCCUUUGUCAUAGAAUUUUUAUAUUCCCAAUCUAUAUGCUUUAACUUAUUUUCCCAGUGAAUUAUUUCAUCAUCUAAAUUAGUUUUUUCCAUGUAUUCGGUUACACCUUUAUUUUUAUCAUCACUAGGUUCUGAUUAUGACAUAAAAGAUUCCGCGUCUUCUAUUGAUGCAGAUUUAUAGUUCAUAAAUAUAAUGCUACUACUUCCUUCACAAUUUUGAUAACUUAUGUAAUCUUCAGGUUGCUUUAAUUCUUUCUUCUCUAUUAAGUCUCAAAUCUUCCAUUCUUCUCCCGCUCUUUCUUCAGAAGCAAUUUUAAGUGGAUUCAUAAAUUUAAUACCCUGUGAUUGCAUACCAUUGAUACGUCUCCAACGUAUCUAUAAUUUUUUAUGGUUCCAUGAUAUUAUCUUGUCAUCUUUGGAUGUUGUGUAUGCAUGAAUAUGAUGUUUUAUAUCUUUUUGGGACUAACCUAUUACCUCAGUGCCAGGUGCCAGUUCCUAUUUUUUUCCGUGUUUUUGAACCUUUUCAGAGAAGAAUACUAAACGGAGUCCAAACAGAAUAAAACCUUCGGAAAGAUUUUCUCCGUAAUAGAAGAUACACACGAAACUUGAGAACCAAGGAAAAGGACUCCGGGUGAGGCCACAAGCCCCCUAGCCGCGUCCUGGGGGGCGCGCCUACCAGGCUUGUGGGCCCCCCGUGGCUCCUUUACCCUACUUCUUCCGCCUAUAAAUUCCCUAAAAAUCCAAAACUGCCCCAGAGAGCCACGAAAAUACUUUUCCGCCGCCGCAAGCUUCUGUCUCCCCAAGAUCCCAUCUGGGGCACGUUCUGGUGCCCUGCCGGAGGGGGGAUUCCGACACGAAGGGCUUCUCCAUCAACACCAUUACCUCUCCGAUGAUGCAUGAGUAGUUCACCACAGACCUUCGGGUCCAUAGCUAGUAGCUAGAUGGCUUCUUCUCUCUUGGAUCUUCAAUACAAAGUUCUCCAUGAUCUUCAUGGAGAUCUAUCCGAUGUAAUCUUCUUUUGCGGUGUGUUUGUCGAGAUCCGAUGAAUUGUGGAUUUAUGACCAGAUUAUCUAUGUAUGUUAUUUGAGUUUCCUCUGAUCUCUUAUAUGCAUGAUUUCGUAUCCUUGUAAUUCUCUUCGAGUUGUGNNNNNNNNNNGCCUAUAAAUUCCCUAAAAUCCAAAACUGGCAGAGAGAGCCACGAAAAUACUUUUCCGCUGCCGCAAGCUUCUGUUUCCGCAAGAUACCAUCUGGGGCACAUUCUGGUGCCCUGCCGGAGGGGGAAUUCAUACACGGAGGGCUUCUUUAUCAACACCAUUGCCUCUCUGAUGAUGCGUGAGUAGUUCACCACAGACCUUCGGGUCCAUAGCUAGUAGCUAGAUGGAUUCUUCUCUCUCUUGGAUCUUCAAUACAAAGUUCUCCAUGAUCUUCAUGGAGAUCUAUCCGAUGUAACCUUCUUUUGCUGUGUGUUUGUCGAGAUCCGAUGAAUUGUGUAUUUAUGAUCAGAUUAUCUAUGAAUGUUAUUUGAGUUUCCUCUGGUCUCUUAUAUGCAUGAUUUCGUAUCCUUGUAAUUCUCUUCGAGUUGUGGGUUUCGUUUGGCCACCUUGAUCUAUAAUUCUUGCAAUGGGAGAAGUCCUUGGUUUGGGGUUCAUACCGUGCGGUGUCCUCACCCAGUGACAUAAGGGGUAGCGAGGCAUGCAUCAUGUUGUUUCCAUCAAGGGUAAAAAGAUGGGGUUUAUAUCUGUUGCAUGAAUUUAUCCCUCUACAUCAUNNNNNNNNNNNNNNNNNNNNNNNNNNNNNNNNNNNNNNNNNNNNNNNNNNNNNNNNNNNNNNNNNNNNNNNNNNNNNNNNNNNNNNNNNNNNNNNNNNNNUUAUUCACCACAUGAUAUGUGUUUUGCUUGGAGCGUCGUGUAUUAUAGGAGUCUUUUCUUUUUGUUGUGUCACAAUCAUCCUAGCUGCACACCUUUUGAGAGAGACAUGCACUCAUCGUGAAUUUGCUAGAAUACUCAUUGAGCUUCACUUAUAUAUUUUGAGUUAGGCAAUUUAGCUCGCAUGUGCUUCACUUGUAUCUUUUGAGCUAGAUAACUUUGCUCUAGUGCUUCACUUAGCUCUUUUUAGAGCACGGCGGUGUCAUAUUUUGGAGAAAUAAAAACUCUUGAUCUUCACUUGUAUAUUUUUGAGAGUGCUCUCUCUAAGUAACUUGGUAAUUGGCGUGUGCUAUGAAAUUAGUCCUAAAUAUGAUAGGCAUCCAAAGAGGAUAUGAUAAAAACUUCCAUAUUCAUGUGCAUUGAUUAGUAAAGAGAAGUUUGAUUUCUCUCAGUUAGUUUUGACAUAUGGAUUUGGUGAUAUUAUAGUUAUGUUUGUAGGGUGUCGUGAAUCUAGAAAUACUUGUGUUGAAGUUAGUGAUUCCCGUAGCAUGCACGUAUGGUGAACCGCUAUGUUAGGAAGUCGGAGCACAAUUGAUUUGUUGAUUGUCAUCCUUUGUGUGGAGGUCCGGAUCUCGCGAUGGUUAACACCUACCAACCCUUCCCCUAGGAGUAUGCGUUUAGCACUUUGUUUCGAUUACUAAUAAAACUUCCGCAAUAAGUAUAUGAGUUCUUCAUGACUAAUGUGAGUCCAUGGUAUAGAUGCACUUUCACCUUCCAUCAUUGCUAGCUUCUCUAGUGCCGCGCAACUUUCGCCGGUGCACAAACCCACCAUAUACCUUCCUCAAAACAGCCACCAUACCUACCUAUUAUGGCCUUUUCAUAGCCAUUCCGAGAUAUAUUGCCAUGCAACUCCCACCGUUCCAUCUCAUGACUUGUGCCGUCACCUUCAUAUUGCCAUUGCAUGAUCAUAAGAUAGCUAGCGAGAUGUUUCAACGUCAUAUGCUAAGCUAGAUCGUUGCACAUCCCGGUACACUGCCGGAGGCAUUUCCUAUAGAGUCAUCAUUGCUAUAAGUGUUGAGUUGUAAGUAAAUAAAAGUGUGAUGAUCAUCACUAUUAGAGCAUUGUCCCAUGUGAGGAAAAAAAGGCCAAAGAUGCUCACAAAAAAUGAAAAGAGGACGAAGAGCCCAAACAAUAACAUAAAAUAAAAAAAAGAGAGAGGAAAAGAGAGAAGGGACAAUGCUACUAUCUUUUUCCACACUUGUGCUUCAAAAUAGUACCAUGUUCUUCAUGAUUGAGAGUCUCUUGUUUUGACACUUCCAUAUACUAGUGGGAAUUUUCAUUAUAUAACUUGGCUUGUAUAUUCCAAUGAUGGGCUUCCUCAAAAUUUCCCUAGAUCUUCGUGAGCAAGCAAGUUGGGUGCACACCCACUAGUUCUUCUUUUGAGCUUUCACACACUUAUAGCUCUAAGUGCAUCUGUUGCAUGGUAAUCCCUACUCAUUCACAUUGAUAUCUAUUGAUGGGCAUCUCCAUAGCCCAUUGAUACGCCGAGUCGAUGUGACCAUCUCCUCCUUUUUGCCUCACAACCUCCACCACACUCUAUUCCACCUAUNNNNNNNNNNNNNNNNNNNNNNNNNNNNNNNNNNNNNNNNNNNNNNNNNNNNNNNNNNNNNNNNNNNNNNNNNNNNNNNNNNNNNNNNNNNNNNNNNNNNCCAGGUCGCCUGCUUGGAACGUGCGGCUCCUGACGUGCCGCUCGUGAAAUCGUCGCAGAUCUUGUUGAUAAAUCGUUGAACAAAUCAGUGCCAUCUCGCGCUCUUCUUCUAGAAGAUCUGCUCCGUCUUGCCUGGCUUGCUCUGCUUCGGCUUCGGAGAAGAGUUCGACUCGUGGGGAGUUGUGAAGCAAGUCGCUCUGAAGGACUGCCUCUGCUCCAUAAACGAGGAAGAACGGGGAUCGCCCUGUAGAUCUAUUCGGAGUUGUGCGGAGGCCCCACAGCACCGAAGGCAGCUCGGUGACCCAUGCGCCGGCGGCAUGUCCAACUUCUCGCAGGAGUCAAGGUUUCAACCCUUGAAGGAUAAGUCCAUUCGCCCGCUCUGCUUGCCCGUUUGUUUGGGGGUGCGCCACGGAUGCAAAAUCCACUCGGAUACCUUGGCCUGUGCAAAAACAUUUGAAUCUAUCCGAGUCAAAGUUUGUGCCAUUGUCGGUGAUUAUGCUGUGCGGAACCCCGAAUCUGGCGAUGAUGUCUCUGAUAAAUUUGAUGGCUGUAAGGGCGUCGAGCUUCUUGAUGGGCUUGGCUUCAAUCCACUUGGUAAACUUGUCGACUGCUACCAGCAGAUGAGUGAAUCCUCCUUGGCCUGUUCUGAAUGGUCUGACUGUAUCUAAUCCCCACACGGCGAAUGGCCAAACAAGAGGAAUUGUCUUCAGCGCAGACGUUGGCUUGUGGGACUUGUUCGAAUAGAACUGACAGCCUUCGCAUCGGUCGACCAUAUCUUUUGCCAUUUCAUUCACCUAUAACCAGAACAAACCAGCUCUGAAUGCUUUGGCGACGAUUGCUCUUGAGGAGGCAUGAUGACCGCAGGUCCCCGAGUGAAUUUCUUCCAAGAUUAGCUGUCCCUCCUCAGGGGAGAUACACCGCUGGAGGACGCCUGAAAUACUUUCCCUGUACAACUGGCCAUCAAUGACGGUGAAGGACUUCGACCUGCGGACGAUCUGCCUAGCUUGGACUUCGUCUUCUGGUAACUCUUGUCUCAUGAUGUACGCAAUGAACAACACAGUCCACUCGGGGAUGACAGCAAGAAUCUCCAUGAUCAAAUCCACCACAGCGGGGACCUCGACUUCAGUCGGAUCUGUAGAGAUCUUUGGUUGUACUGGCUCCUCUGUAAAAGGAUCUUCCUUCACCGAGGGGAGGUGUAGGUGCUCGAGGCAGACAUCACUCGGGACUGGUCUCCGAGUGGAUCCAAGUUUUGCUAAUUCAUCUGCUGCUUGGUUUUUCAGUCGGGGAACAUGGUGAAGUUCCAGACCUUCAAACUUCUUCUCAAGAUUCCUUACUGCGUUGCAGUAUGCAAUCAUGGUGGGCUUCCUUACAUCCCAUUCCUUCAUCACUUGAUUAACCACCAGAUCUGAGUUGCCAUAGACCAUUAGGCGACGGACGCCGAGUAUGACGGCCAUGCGCAACCCGUAAAGGAGAUCUUCGUACUCUGCUUCGUUGUUGGAAGAAUCAAAAUGUAUCUGCAACACAUACUUGAGUUUAUCGCCUUUUGGGGAUAUGAUCACUACGCCGGCGCCGGAGCCAUUCAACAUCUUGGACCCAUCGAAGAACAUGGUCCAAUGGGCCGAGUAGAUGUGAGUCGGUUGCUGUUGUUCUACCCAUUCUGCUAUGAAGUCAGCCAGAGCUUGAGACUUUAUAGCUUUCUUGGCUUCGAACUUGAUGACACAGUAUAGCAUCUCCAUCGCCCACUUUGCCACUCGGCCUGAUGCGUCCCGAUUGUGGAGAAUUUCCGACAACGGAGCAUCAGAUAUGACAGACACCGAGUGGUCUUGGAAAUAAUGAGCCACCUUCUUUGCAGUCAUGUAGAUCCCAUAAAUAAGCUUCUGAUAAUGGGGAUACCUCUGCUUGGAAGGAGUCAGGACUUCAGACACAUAAUAUACUGGCCGUUGAACCUUGUACGCUUUGCCUUCUUCGCGUUCGACUGUCAGAACGGUGCUGACGACUUGAUUUGUAGCCGCGAUGUACAGAAGAAGGGGUUCUUUACUGAGCGGGGCAGUAAGAACCGGCUGGGUGGAAAGCAGGGCUUUGAGGUCGUCGAAUGCAAUUUGGGCUUCGUCUGUCCACUCGAAAGUAUCUGAUUUCUUCAUGAGUCGNNNNNNNNNNNNNNNNNNNNNNNNNNNNNNNNNNNNNNNNNNNNNNNNNNNNNNNNNNNNNNNNNNNNNNNNNNNNNNNNNNNNNNNNNNNNNNNNNNNNACUAGAUCUAUGAUUCUUGCAAUGGGAGAAGUGCUUGGUUUUGGGUUCUGCCAUGUGGUGACCUUUCCCAGUGACAGUAGGGGCAGCAAGGCACACAUCAAGCAAUUGCCAUCAAGGGUAAAAAGAUGGGGUUUUAUCAUUGGUUUGAGAUUAUCCCUCUACAUCAUGUCAUCUUGCUUAAGGCGUUACUCUGUUCUUAUGGACUUAAUCACUAGAUGCAUGCUGGAUAGCGGUCGACGUGUGGAGUAAUAGUAGUAGAUGCAGACAGUAUCGGUCUACUUGUUUUGGACGUGAUGCCUAUAGAAAUAAUCAUUGCAUAGAUAUCGUCACGACUCUGCACAGUUCUAUCAAUUGCUCGACAGUAAUUUGUUCACCCACCGUCUACUUGCUUUCAUGAGAGAAGCCACUAGUAAACAGUAUGGCCCCCGGGUCUAUUAACAUCCAUCGUUUACAACUUUGCUUUUACUUUGCUUUGUUACUUUGUUGCUUUCAGUUCUCACUUGGCGAACAAUCUAUAAGGGAUUGACAACCCCUUCAUAGUGUUGGGUGCAAGCUUUUUGUGUUUGUGCAGGAUCUUGAGAUACUCUUCCGCCGGAUUGAUACCUUGGUUCUCAAACUGAGUGAAAUACUUACCACCGCUACGCCACAUCACCCUUCCCGCUUCGAGGGAACACCAACGCAAGGCUCCAAGGCCACGGGGGAAAUCCUUUGCAUACUUGCCUAGGAAGUCCCUUAAGGAGUAGCCGCAGUAGAAAUAUCAAGCCAAGUAUUCUCCCGUCGACGUGCCUAUUUCUGGCGCCAUUUCCAGGGAUAAACAGCAAACAUCAGAAGUAUUUAUGGCACCGUUGGAAGGUCUUUUGUUGCAGUAGCAACGCCCUCCUUCGACCUAUAUUUACCCCUCCGAUCGGAAACCCUUCCAUCAUAUCCAAAAUCGUGAAUUUCCCCAUCGCUCCGUUGCCGCAGUGCUACCGAGAUCGGGAGCGUAGGAGACCACUUCCCGGCACCCUGUCGGAGGGAGGAUUGACCUCCCGGAGCUUCUCCACCUCCAUGCAUGCUUCCCGGACGUGCCGUGAGUAGUCCUCCUUGGACCAUGAGUCCAUGACUAGUAGCUAUGUGAUGUCUUCUCUCCAAUCUUGUGCUUCCAUGAUUAGCCCUUGUGAGCUGCCCUACAUGAUCAAGGCAUCUAUGUAAUUUUCUUGCUAUUGCAAUGAUCGGUUUGCUGGGAUCCGAUGGAUUAUGAGAUUAUGUUCAGAUUGUUAUGAGUUAUAUAUUUAACNNNNNNNNNNCAUUAUGUUCUUUAGUGAUUCAUGCAUGUUCUCCAUUGCCUUUUAUUUCUUUGGCCGAGUAGUAGAUUGUAACUCCAAGAGGAAGCGUUAUGCAUGAUUGUGGGUUCAUGCCCCCUGAUGUCUAGCUUGAGUGACAGAAACAUGAGACUAGGAGAUGUGCUGUUGCCACCAGGGAUAAAACAAUGGUGCUUGUGACCAUGGUUGCAAGGAUUGUUUACCUUACGCAUAGUUCGUUAAUGUAGUUAUCCGUUGCUUUGAGUUUACAUUUUGGAUGGGGCUCGCAACUUAAUACCAGCGAGAUGUUCUGGAUAGAUAACUCAAGGUCGAUGAUUAGUAAGUAGAUGCUGUUGGAUAAACGGUCUACUUGUCUUGGCGUACUGCCCAUUACUAUUGAGCCUCUAACUUUUAAGUAGCAUAAUUAGCAUUGCGGUGCGUUCAUAAUUCUGUCAAUUGUCCAACUGUAAUUUGUUUACCCAAGCAUAGUUGUUUAUCGUCUUUUGGGAGAGAGACAUCACUAGUGAACAUCAUGUGACUCAGGUCCAUAUCACCACCAUUGCUUACACCUCCAUCAUUUUCUGCUUCCAUUUACUUGUCCGUUGCAAUCACUAUCACUAUUCCCACUUGUGUUUUGAUACUUUGCAAACUACAAGGCCGGAGAGAUUGACAACCUCUCUGUACUCGUUGGGAGCAAAAUUAUUUGUUGUGUGUGUAGGUCCAUGUCUUCUGCUAGCGCCAGAGCAGUGGACACCUUCUUGUUGAUCCUCGGAGUCCUCCUGGUNNNNNNNNNNUUCCGUUGCAAUCACUAUCACUAUUCUCGCUUGUGUUUUGAUCCUUUGCAAAUACAAGACCGAAGAGAUUGACAAUAUCUCUGUACUCAUCUGGAGCAAAGUUAUUUGUUGUGUGUGUAGGUCCACGUCUUCUGCUAGCGCCAGAGCAGCGAACACCUUUUUUUUGAUCCUCGGUGUCCUCCUAGUUCGAUAAACCUUGCAGUCUCCGUGUAAGGGAAACUUGCUGCUGACUACAUCUCCACCUGCCACUUGGGGUAACCAAUGAGGGGCGAGAAGUAUAUCCAUCAACUCGUCAUCACCACGCCCUCGUGUUGCCGGAGAAUUCAGCUACCUCUUCGUCUCUCUUGCUGGAUCAAGAAGGCGGAGAUAGUCAUCGAGUUGUACGUGUGCUGAACGCGGAUGUGUCGUCCGUUCAGUACUUCAUUGGGACGGAGUUCGUGGGAUGGAUCGUGAUUGGAUCGCAAAGACGUUCGACUACAUCAAUUGUGUUUCUUAAUGCUUCCCGCUUAGCUAUCUACAAGGGUAUGUGGAUCCGAUCUCCCCUCUUGUAGAAGAUCAUCACCAUGGUAGGUCUUUCGUGUGUGUGGAUUUUUUUGUUUCCCAUGCAACGUUUCCUAGCAUCAGGUUCUUGCCGGAUCGGAGCAAUAGUCCGGGCCGUGUUACAAACCGGGACUAAUGAGAGCAUUAGUCCCAAUUCGAGCGACGGGGACGCCGGACGGGGCUCGGCAGACAUCAGUCCCGAUUCGGAUGGGACAUUUAAUCCCGGUUGGAGACACCAAACGGGACUAAAGUAGUUUGGCAGGUCCCACACCCUUUAGUCCUGGUUGGUGUCUCCAACUGGGACUAAAUGUCCGUCUUGAGUCCCGGUUUUAUAUCCCAACCAGGACUAAAAGUUUUCCUAUAUAUACCCUCGCUCAUGCGUGCCCUCUCCUCUGUUUUUUCCUCAAAGAAGGUGGGAGAUGUGUACUAGUUUGUUUUCCUUCCCUAUGCACAAGAGGUGUUCGAUGAAAUACUUGAGAGCAUGAUGGCAUUCAUGUGAGAUGCUCGAGCCACACUUAAGCCUUCUCCUCUUUCUUAUCCUUUGUUCUUCCUCCAAGCUCUCGUCCCCGUCGUCACCGCCAUCGUUCGCCUGUGCCGAUCUCGUCACCGACACCACCGUGGUGAGCCUCUUGUUGUUAUAUCUUCUUUAAAAAAAAUCUUACUUGUAUGAUUUAGAUAUAGUUACUUGUAUAAUUUUUUACUUGUAUUAUUGCUUGUUAUUAUAUAGUGCAACGGUUUUGAUAUUCGCCCCCGUCGGUUCUUGUCUGGUCUAUGAUUCGGAUGUGGUAUAUUAUAUUUCAUAACUAUUUGUUUCAUUUAAUUUUUAUAACAAUUAUGCCGACCAACUUGACAUGGAUAUUUUUACAUAGGGGUUAUGUGAACCGGAAAUUCCAACCGACCCUCUUGUCGAGAUGUUAAAUUUAGUUGAAAAACAAAACAAUUAUUUAAAAGAAAAAAUUGAAAAGAACUGAAGAAGAGAAGAUGAAAUUGGAGUUGCAUGUUGUCGAUGUCGUCGAUCUACACAAGAUCCAGAUGGAUGCAAUGCGCUUGAAGAUUAGAAAGAUUAGAAAAUAUGUCAUUGAUAAAUAGGCUUGGUAUCAUUAUGUUGUUGGAUCAAUUGUUAUCUUAGUUGCGAUUUUGCUUGCAUUCGUUGUUGCAUUUUGAUAUUUUACAUAGUUGUAUGUUAGUUUUAAUGUAUGUUUUAGAUUCUCUAGAUAGUUGUAUGUUGUUUUAUGAAAACCAUGUAUGAAAUUUAUGUAUGUAUUUUUGCAGUAAUAACAUUUGAUCACUACUGUACUUUGGUUUUAGUGUGAUCAACUUGUAUUAGUUUGUUCAUUUCUCUGUUCAUGAUGUUUUGGAAUGGUUGCCUAUGUAACUCUAUCAAACCCUAGAGAUGGGCAGAAUUGGUUUUGGCAUACUUUGACCAAGCUAAUUUGUUCUCCUUGAUGCACCACUUGGCCUAGAUUAAUAUUUAGACCAUGUUAGCAGGUGUAUCAAGUUUGAGCUCAUUUGGAUAUGUUUAGCAAUGUAAAGUUUCUGAAACUAGAAAAUGGACAUAGGUGGUUUUGAGGGAAUUUGAUGGUGUUAUCUUGUCCUCCAACACAUUAGACUUGGCAAGAUCAUCAAAUAUGGCAUUUGUGAUAUGCUAGAAUUUUCUUGGAAUUUAUGGUCAAUAUUUCCUUUGUAAAUAUUUCAAAAGCUUGACAUGUCCAGAAAUGGUAAUUGAGUGUUUUGACCAAUAUUUUGAGCUAUGUAAGAGAGAGAGUUACUGGAGGUAGAACUAAUAUGACUAGGGUGAGCUCUGAUAAAAAAUUGAGCUAAACACUACACCACAACAUUGAUGUGAGGACAAUAAAACUGCUGGGAGAAGUCUCUUUAAAGGGCAGAUAUACUAUAGGGGUAGUGGUUCUCCCGAUAGGUAGAACUGCCACGAGAAUGGCUAUCGGGGAUUACUUCUCCCGGCAGAUAGAUUUCUCCUCGCAGUUUUCCUAACGGGACCUACAUAUUUGCUCGCAUAUAGUUUUCUCUUGGAAGAUUCGUUGGGGCAAAGGAAUUUCAAUUACUGGUAGUGCAACUGCCGGUACAAAUAUGUUGACAUGGCAGUUUAUAUGCCAUCACAUUGAUUUCACCAGAAAUUUGGACAACAUAUAUGUAUAAUUUAAUAACAAUUCACAAUGUCUAAUUUAAUAUCCGUUCACAAUAUUUUAGGCAAUCAGGACAUAUCACACAAUUUAUGCAUACACUUUAAUGAGAGUUACAUAUAUGCCUCAUGGAAAACCUUAAUCUGCAUCCGAUAAACGUAACUAGCAAAUAUAACAAGUACAUAUAUAUGUUUAUGGAUGUGCCACAUAACCAAAAUGAAGUUGUGCCACAAAAGGGGAAGCGGUCAUACAGUGGAUGUUACAAAAUGGGCAAAGCUAGUCUCCAGGUUCAAAAACAAACAUAUUACAUUAUCAUGCCAGCACUGAAAAUUGAAGGUUGUCCACAUCUUCGAAAUCUCCAACUUGUUGUGUAUCUUUGGGAAACCUGCAACGGACCGAAAACUGAAAAUGAAGCUCUUGUUUCAGAUUUGAAAUGAACACAUUAAAUAUUAUGACAUAGCAAGGAAUACUACAUAAUUAUAUCAAACAAGAAUUAGUUCACCCGCACAUUCAAAAAUCUUCCAUGGGCAAAUAUAUACGGCUGUCGUGGGUAUAAGCCUGACAGUAGAUGUGUAGGGUACGAAAAGGAUGGGCAGAGCCUUAGCUACGGUGAGGUUGUAUGAGUUCAGGCCCCUUAGCUACGGCGAAUAAAUGCCUACAUUAUAGGUAACGUACGUCUUAAAUGCUAAUAAAGAUGUGUGGAAACGUAUGAACGUUUCCCCCCAGGGGGGUUACGAUGCACAUAGUGGAAUCCAGUCGGUUAGUUUGAUACGCUCCGAAUCCUCGUCUCCGACUGGAUGAUUGAAGAUCUAUCACCGACUGGAUGAUGGGAACAUCUUAGUUCAGUCGGAACUGACUAAGGGCCUUGUCCCUUAUGAAGGGUAGUCCUUGGGUAGGACCUACAGGGCACGCCUAUGACCCUACCUAUGACAGCCCGAUGCCGACGUUCCAGAAGAUUUCCCUUUUUCUUUCCGUUUCCGUCGUGUGUCUAUUUUUAUUUGUCGCGUCAUCAUCGCAUCAUGCACAUCAUCUGCAUUGCAUCGGCAUCUCCGUUGCCGCCAGUUUUCAAACUUGCAUCCGUUAGUAGUUGCCGGUUCGCGUCAUUGUCCGUUCUGAGCCGACCGCACACGCACGCGUCUGCGGCACAAUCGAAACCCUGUUUUAAAAGUUUGCGUAAAACUUUCUUCGAUUGAGCUGGAAUUUGUCGUGCGGUAUUAUUUAUUUAUAGCUAGGCAGCGUGUCGAAUUUCGUCGCGAUCGGAGACCGUCUGGUACCCGAACGGUCGANNNNNNNNNNNNNNNNNNNNNNNNNNNNNNNNNNNNNNNNNNNNNNNNNNNNNNNNNNNNNNNNNNNNNNNNNNNNNNNNNNNNNNNNNNNNNNNNNNNNACAGCUCCAAAGACGCUGUAAAACAGUGUGUGCGUUAAAAACUUUUGAGCACACGCUUAAAAACGCUAUCGCGCGCAGCAUAUUUGAUGCGUUGGCUUGCGCACACAGCAAACUCUGAGCUGCUACAGGUGGAGCCGCUGGACCGGGCUGGAUUGGGCGCCGCAGUAGCGCUCGUAUGUUGGAGAUGCUCUGGUUCUCACGCUUUAAAAGUACUACAGUGGCGCGCUAAAAAAAAAAUUGUGCGCAGAUUUUUUGCGCUGCGGUUGGAGAUGCUCUAAAGGAGUAUAUUGUAUGUGUGAGCAAGCAUCAUAGUUCGAUGUGAUGAACCAUGGCUGAAGGGCCUAGGGCACUAUGGAUGUCUUGGAUCCAAGCUCGGAGAUGUAGCCCAUCAUGGACAGUGCGUAUAUUGCGGCGUCGAUGAAAGACCGCCAUCGCGUAGAUAAGAGCAAUCCCCAACAGAUGCGCAACGGCACGACACGCUAAAAUACUUUUACAAUGCUGAAAUUGUUUUUUUAGCACGUGGUAUGGCGCCUGCUCCAGCAGACGCUGCAAAAAAAAACACGGCGAAAUCGCUGGAGCAAGGAGUGCGAAAAGCGGCACGCGCAAGCAACAAGAUGCCUAUCUGCCGGCGCGCGUGAACCGCAGGACACUAUGAUUUUUUCAAACACUAAAAAGUUUGCAUUCGAGCAACAUAGCUUAGUUCAAUUGCAUGACAUAGUUCAAAAUCAUCCAACACCCAUAGUUGACACCCCUCACCAUCCUCAUCCACCUCAUACUCAUAAUCAUCUCCAUGCAGUUCAUUGGUUUGGGACCAAUGAGAAGCCAACACCCAUAAUUGACAUAUAUAUGUCAUUACCGAAACUAAAAAGUAUGUAGAGGAAAACUUAGCUAUCCAUAUGUAUCCAUUUAUGUUAAAAACAACAACAAAAAAGGAGGGCGAAAUCACACCUUGUGAGCAUUUCAUCAAACACCUUGUCCGCGGCAGGAGCCGGCACAACAAAUGACGAGCUCUCCGGUGCUCACGGGGUCGAACGCCCAGCAAGUUUCUUCUUCGGCCACCUAGUAGCGCAGUUCGUUGCAUUCUUUUUUCAAGAGGGAGGCGGCGCGACGCCUCCCAGCACUGUCGUCCUUGGCGCCAUGAACAAGCCGCGCACAAGGCCGCUGCUAGGAGAAGGGGCACCGACGGAGAGGUCACAGCUCAACCCCGCGCUAGGGUUAGCANNNNNNNNNNNNNNNNNNNNNNNNNNNNNNNNNNNNNNNNNNNNNNNNNNNNNNNNNNNNNNNNNNNNNNNNNNNNNNNNNNNNNNNNNNNNNNNNNNNNUGAGCAAGCCGCGGAGCCUGUUCUUGAGGCUGCCCCGCCAGUCACUGCUCUCGCCGUAGACGUGCUGCCGACUGAGGCAAUGCCGCCGACUGAAAUGGCGCUGGUGGCUGAUGAACCGACUAGAGCGGGUCUUGGGAUGCCCCAGGAACUUCCAACGAUGCCAGGCUCGUCGAAUGUUGAGUUCAACAUCUAGCGUCUCCCGGAGGAGCUGGUGGGAGCGGCCAAGGGGGCCAUGGUGCAGGCGGAGCUGAUGGCGGGAGAAGCCAAGAAGGCAUACGACUCCAUCGCAUCCCUGUACCAGCGGAGCUUGGAGCUACGGGAUGAUAUCCGAGUAAGUGGGCUAGUAAGUAUUUACUUUUCUCUUGUAACCCACUGGGUGUUCUCGGAUACCGUAUGACGUUUGCAAUGGGUUCACUCUGAGUGAACCCAGUGGGUGUAGUCACCGAGACUUCUGUCGAGUGCUUGCACCGGCAGUUGUCUUUAUACAUAUUGCUUUGGUCAGAUCUAUAAAUAAUAUGGUCGACUGCGAACAGUUGUGGCAGUCGGGGUGCACUUACCGUAAGAGUCCCCGAGAGUAACUUUACUCAGGUCGGGUAGUAUUAGCCUCGUAGGCGUAGGUGGUAACAUGUAUCUCAAUAGGGCGGGCCUGCUUGAGUUGUAUGCCAGUGGGGUCACUCUCAGUGAACCCACUGGGUGUAGUCCCCGAGACCGGUGUCGACUGCUUGCGUCGGCAGGGGUCUGAAGAACUUAGACUUUUAUUGUUGAAUUGUCUGAUUAUCUCUUGGUGCUGGCUGGCAGAAAACUUGUGAAAUGGGGACAUCAUAUGAGACUCUCAGGGCGGAGAAGAAUCAUUUUGCUGGUGAGCUUGAUGCGGCGCUGCUUGCAAUGGCUGGUAUGAAGGAGGUUCUGGCGGAACGAGAGAAGUCAUUGGAGCAGGCUCGUGAAGCGAACAAAGUGCUGACUGAGGAAGUUGAGAAGAUGGGGAUACAGAGGACUGCUCUGAUGGGACAAAUGGACGUGCUGAACAAAUGGUGCAUAGCUCAGGNNNNNNNNNNNNNNNNNNNNNNNNNNNNNNNNNNNNNNNNNNNNNNNNNNNNNNNNNNNNNNNNNNNNNNNNNNNNNNNNNNNNNNNNNNNNNNNNNNNNGGAGAAGGAGGAGGAGGAGAAGGACUAGAAGGUCCUUGGCCUUCUCCUUCUCCUCCUCCUCCUCCUCCUUCUCCUUCUUCUCUUCUUCUUAUUCUUCUUCUUCUUUCUUUUCAUUUUUCCUAUUUCUUCUCCUCUUCUCCUCUUGUUGGAGCUAAAUUACCUAAUUAUGUCUUUUUGGAGCUAAAUGGGUUAAUUAUCCCAUUUUAGAGGAAAACAAGCUAAGUAUAUAUAAUAUUCAUGAGCUAACCAAGGUUCCUAUGCCAUUUUGAGCUUAUUAUGGUAUUUGGGAGCUAAAUGGGCUAAUUAUGUCAUUUUUGGGGAAAUUAAAGCAAGGAUAAUAUGAAAGAGGAGAAGAAAGAGGGGGGGAGAAGAAGAAGAAGAAAUCAAGAAGAAGGAGGAGAAGGAGGAGGAGGAGAAGGACUAGAAGGUCCUUGGCCUUCUCCUUCUCCUCCUCCUCCUCCUCCUCCUUCUCCUUCUUCUCUUCUUCUUCUUCUUCUUCUUCUUUCUUUUCAUUUUUNNNNNNNNNNNNNNNNNNNNNNNNNNNNNNNNNNNNNNNNNNNNNNNNNNNNNNNNNNNNNNNNNNNNNNNNNNNNNNNNNNNNNNNNNNNNNNNNNNNNGUUCACCCACCGUCUACUUGCUUUCAUGAGAGAAGCCACUAGUAAACACUACGGCCCCCGGGUCUAUUCACACCUAUCAUUUCCACUUUUGCUUUUACUUUGCUUUGUUACUUUGUUGCUUUCAGUGAUCACUUGGCUAACAAUCUAUAAGGGAUUGACAACCCCUUCAUUGCGUUGGGAGCAAGCUUUUUGUGUGUGUGCAGGCUCUUGUGAUACUCCUUCACUGGAUCGAUACCUUGGUUCUCAAAACUGAGGAAAAUACUUACCACCGCUGCGCUACAUCACCCUUUCCACUUCGAGGGAACACCAACGCAAGGCUCCAAGGCCACGGGGGAAAUCCUUUGCAUAUUUGCCUAGGAAGUCCCUUAAGGCGUAGCCGUAGCAGAAGGAUUCCUGGCGCCGUCAACACACCUAUUUCUGGCGCCGUUGGAAGCUCUUUUGUUGCAGUAGCAAUACCGCAAAUAGGUAGGUAUGGUGGACUCUCAUGGAAAAACUUUUGGGUUNNNNNNNNNNNNNNNNNNNNNNNNNNNNNNNNNNNNNNNNNNNNNNNNNNNNNNNNNNNNNNNNNNNNNNNNNNNNNNNNNNNNNNNNNNNNNNNNNNNNCCGCGCCAGCGCCGAUGUGGCCCAGCUCCCCGUGUCAUGCCCCAGGCCGAGGCGCGCCCCCGGCCCAGCAGCGUCGAGGCCCAGUUCCUCCUCCCCUCCAGGCCGGCCGCAAGGCCCAAGGUGAGCAGCCCAAGUCUAUCCCCCGCCCUAGGCGCGUCUUAGCUAAGUUGCGCCCCAAUUCGGCCCGGUAGUAUUUUCUAUUUAGGUUUUUUUUCGAAUUGGUUGUAUUUCAGGAAAAUAGACGAAUAUUGUUUCGCCCGUAACUUUUAAUCUGUAUGUCGGAUCGCGAUGAUUUUUAUAUGCUUUUCGUGUAGAUUUUUGCGUAGAAUCCGAUUAUCCAACUUGCAUAAUUGUUUGACGUCGUUUGGCAUGCCGGAUGCCUAGAGUAACGUGCUGUUUUAAUAGGAUGCGCCCCGUAUUUCAUUUUCGCGCAUGUCCGGAUUGUUCGUAUGGCGUAUUAGAAAUGCCUAUGUUUUUAGGACCAUUAUUCCAGGUAUUUUAGAGUAGCCAUUGGUAUUUUUGCGCGUAGUGUUUUGCGGUAGUUUAUUUUCCCGUGUAUAGGUUAUUUUUUCCCGCAUUUACAUGUGGUAUUAUUUUGUUGUGCAACCCCACAUAUUUUAUAUGAUUCCGGGCUAGGAAAAUCCAUGGGAUUUUUCUGUGCAAUUAGUUUUAGCUUUUGAGUAAGUUAGUUCGCGAGAUAUUUUGCUAUGCUGCCCUUUCGAUUAAUUCGUAGGAUUUAUUCCGUGCGUCGUUUGAAGGAGUUGUCAACUAGAGAGUUGAUCUUGGAUGUUUUGUUUAGCCCCUGGAAUUUUUGGUUGCAAUAGAAAUGCAUGUUUAGGUAUGUUUUGCUUGCUCUCAAGUUGCUAGAAAUAGUGCUGUUUUAGACGUGCUGAAAUAUUUCUAAGUCUGGAAUCUGUUAUAUUUUGUUGCUGUCUUGUCUUGCUUGCAUCUUGUGAUCUGUAGCUCUUUUAAGGUUGGUCCAAUGGAGUUAGUUGAACCCUUGUGUUUCUCUAGUAUGCUGUUAAGUUUAUGCCAUUUGGAGACAUGUAGCUUAGGUUUUUGCUGCUGUCAAUAUUGCUUCAGAUCGAAAACUGCACUUUCAUAAGGUGUAAUUUUCACUAAGUCUGAAAUAGUGUGUGGGAAGCCAUUUUGUGACUUCUUUCCCUAANNNNNNNNNNGAGGUUGGUCCAAUGGAGUUAGUUGAACCCCUUGUGUUUCUCUAGCAUGCUGUUAAGUUUCAUGCCAUUUGGAGACAGGUAGCUUAGGUUUUUUCUGCUGUCAAUAUUGCUUCAGAUCGAGAACUGCACUUUCAUGAGGUGUAAUUUUCACCAAGUCUGAAAUAGUGUGUGGGAAGCCAUUUUGUGACUUCUUUCCCUAAUGUUCCUUGCUUCCGUGCUAGUUGUUGUUACUUGUUCGUAGUAGUGCUUCUUUCCCUCUUCCAUGCCAUGCCUUGCUUGAGCAUAUCGGAGUUGUGUAGCCGUAGUUGUGGGGCGUAGAAAAUGCUAUGUGGCUGAUUUUGGCAGAUGUUAGUGAUUUCUUGUUUUGCGCAUAGUUUUCGAACCGUAGCUCCGUUUUGAACAUGUCUUACAUGAAACUUGCUUAGAAUCUCGUGUAGUUUCAUUUUCUCUNNNNNNNNNNACAGAUGUUAGUGAUUUCUUGUUUUGCUCGUAGUUUUCGAACCGUAGCUCCGUUUUGAACGUGUCUUACAUGAAACUUGCUUAGAAUCUCGUGUAGUUUCAUUUUCUCUUGCUGUUAGUAUGUUUUGAAGUGCUCGUAGCCAUCGUUGCACACAUAUUAUAUUCAUGCCAUCAUAUCUUGCGGUGCUUGUAUCUUUUGAACCGUAGCUCCGUUGGAGAUGUUCUUUAUGUGUAGAUUGCUUGCCUUGACGCGUAGAAUCACCUGAACCUAUUUGUUUUGCUGUUUAACAACUAAUUAAAGGUGUUAAUUCAGAUCUGGACAGAAUUGUAAAUUAACACGUGAGGUCGUUUCGGAGGUGCUAUAUGUCAUUUCCGACCUCAUUUAAAAUGCCUAGAUAGGUAGAUUAAUUAUGUUUCACCUCUUGCCAUGUUUAACCAUAUUUAAUAUUGCCGUGUAACUAUUCGGGAUAGAACUAAAUAAUUAACGUGGAGUUUCGUCAAUAUGCAACUCGUUGCAUAUUGAACUUCACUUAAUGUGUAGUGUUUGAUUGUGUGAACUGUCAUGUCGGGACUUGCAUGUUUUCAGCUGCUCAUGCAUCAUUUGUUUUGUGCAUCAUGUGGUGAACUCCGUGUGUUGAUUUGUGUUUCCGGUUUGCUUCGUCCCGAUAGAGUUCCGCAAGCGUGUCGGAUGUGAGGACCCGUUCGACUACGUCGGUUCGUCUGCUUCACGGGGGCAUUCUACUUCCAAGCGGGAUCUCAGGAAAGAUGACCAUUUCCCCAGAUACCAUUACUAUCAUUGCCAUGCUAGUUNNNNNNNNNNGUUAAGCUUCACCUCUUGCCAUGUUUAACCAUAUUUAAUAUUCCCGUGUAACUAAUCGGGAUAGAACUAAAUAAUUGACGUGGAGUUUCGUCAAUAUGCAACUCGUUGCAUAUUGAACUUCACUUAAUGUGUAGUGUUUGAUUGUGUGAACUGUCAUGCCGUGACUUGCAUGUUUUCAGCUGCUCAUGCAUCAUUUGUGUUGUGCAUCGUGUGGUGAACUCCGUGUGUUGAUUUGUGUUUCCGGUUUGCUUCGUUUCGAGAGAGUUCCGCAAGCGUGUCGGAUGUGAGGACCCGUUCGACUACGUCGGUUCGUCUGCUUCACGGGGGCAUUCUUCUUCCAAGCGGGAUCUCAGGCAAGAUGACCAUUUCCCCAGAUACCAUUACUAUCAUUGCCAUGCUAGUUUACCGUUUCUAUCGAUUAUGUCUCGUUACCUACCACUUGUUAAAUAUCAACCUCUCAACAAUGCCAUGAUAACCUUCAACCUGUUCGACCUAGCAAACCACUGAUUGGCUAUGUUACUGCUUGCUUACCAUGUUGUUAGCGUUGCUAGUUGCAGGUGUAGAUGCUUCCAUGUGAAAACAUGGGUUCCUUGUCAUAUCACCAUAUUUAAUGCUAUUUAAUUUAAUGCACCUAUAUACCUGGUAAAAGAUGGAAGGCUCGACCUUUCUAGCCUGGUGUUUUGUUCCACCUUUGCCCCCUUAGUUUCGGCUACCGGNNNNNNNNNNNNNNNNNNNNNNNNNNNNNNNNNNNNNNNNNNNNNNNNNNNNNNNNNNNNNNNNNNNNNNNNNNNNNNNNNNNNNNNNNNNNNNNNNNNNUAACGCGUUUGCUGGAACGUUUAAAUUGGGUCUGCGCGACCAAAAAAUAAUAUUUUUAACACGUCAUUCAAAUGACGCGCCUGUUGAAGUUGCUUCAAAAGGGGCAAGCUUUGUAAUGCAGCGGCCAGACAUCCAGUUGUUCGUCCAAAAGAGUUAGGAUCGUCCAUCGCCGAGAUGUCAGGAAGUAGACGCAGAAACAAUGGCCUCAAGGAAAACCCUAUUAGCCGCUCUGGCGAAGCAGUGUUCAGGCUUCGCACAGAGCAGAAGGGAGAUCGGGCUGGCUCGGUAGCGAGGCCGCAGUGCUCGGUUUUGGAACUUUCUAGAGGUUUCCAGUCAGUUUUUUUUGGUUGUGGGAAACUUCUAGAAGGUUCCUUGAGCUGGGUUUUUUUCUUUUUCUCUUUUUUUUCUUUUUUUUGAAUCUGUUUCAAAAAAUGUUCUAGAUUUUCCAAAAAUGUUUUUGAUUUUAAAACAAUGUUCUGUAUUUACUAAAAAUUGUUCUCGGUGUUAAAACUUGUUCUUAAGAUUCAAAAAUGUUCUCAGUUUCAAAAAACAUUCUUAAGAUUCAAAAAAUGUUCGUGCUUUAAAAAAUUAUUUGCACUUCCAAAUUUGUUCAGGAUUUUUCAAAACUCUUCUCGGUUUCAAAACUUGUUCUAAAAAUUCAAAAAAAAAUCGUGUUUUAAAACUUUGUUCGUGUUCCCAAAAAUUUGUUUGCAGUAUUGAAUUUUGUUCUCAGUUUCAAAAUGUGUUCUCAAGAUUCAAAAAAUGUUCGUUCUUUAAAAAAUUGUUCGUGCUUCCAAAUUCGUUCAUCAUUUUUCAAAAUUGUUCUCGGUUUCGAAAUUCGUUCUUAAAAUUCAAAAAAUGUUCGUGCAUUGAAAAUUUCUUCGCGCUUUCAACUUUUUCGUUUUUUUUCAACAUUGUUCUCCUUUUAAAAUUUUGUUCUCAACAUUCAAAAAAAAUCUGUGUUUCAAAAAUUGUUCGUGCUUCCAAAUUUAUUAACGUUUUCAAGAUUGUUCUCGGUUUCAAAAAUAAUUAUCCAAAUUAAAAAAAUGGCCGUGCUUUAAAACAUGUUCACGCUUUCAAAAUUGUUCUCCUUCAAAGCUUUGUUCUUAAGAUUCAAAAAAUUUGCGUGCUUUAAAUGAAAUCGUGCUUCCAAAUUUGUUCACGUUAUUUUAAAUUUGUUCUCCGUUUCAAAAUUAGUUCCCAAAAUUCAAAAAAUGUUUGUGCUUUAAAAUUUUCUUUGCACUUUCAAUUUUGUUCGGAUUUUUUCAAAAUUGUUCUCCGUUUCAAAAUUUUGUUAUCAAAAUUCAAAAAAUUGUUCGCGCUUCCAAAUUUAUUCAUGGUUUUUUUUAAAUGUUUCUCAGUUUCAAAAUUUGUUAUCAAAUUUAUAAAAUGUUCGUUCUUUAAAAAUUUCUUUGCGCUUUCAAAUUUUUUUGGGGGUUUUCAAAAUGGUUCUCCUUUUCAAAAUUUUGUUACCAAGAUUCAAAAAAUGCUCAUACUUCCAAAUGUGUUCACGUUUUUUUAAAUAUUGUUCUUGGUUUCAAAAUUUGUUCUCAAAAUUGAAAAAUGUUUGUGUUUAGAAAAUUUGUUCGCGCUUUCAAAUUUGUNNNNNNNNNNNNNNNNNNNNNNNNNNNNNNNNNNNNNNNNNNNNNNNNNNNNNNNNNNNNNNNNNNNNNNNNNNNNNNNNNNNNNNNNNNNNNNNNNNNNNNNNNNNNNNNNNNNUUAGUUUUUCAAAAUUGUUCUCUACUUUUCAAAAUUUUGUUCUCAAGAUUUAAAAAAUUAUUCACGCUUUCAAAUUUAUUUACGUUUUUGUAAAAUUAUUUUUUAAAUUCAGAAAAAGUUUUUGUUUCAAAUAAAAAACGAACCAAAAAAUAAAAAUAAACAGAGAAGAAAAAAAGUAACAAAAAAAAGAAACUAAAGUGGGCUAACCCAGUCGGAGCGCCCCCUGUGCGGCGCAGGGGCUCCCUGGCGCUAUGAGCGACAGGUAGGAGCUCCCUGGCCUCAAGCCCUCAAACUUGGUACGGUUUGGGUCGGUGCGUUAAAGCUAAAUCCAUCAGGCACGCAGGGCCAGGUCGGCACGAUGGAAGCCCCCAAGAUUCAUGGGCCGGCAAACGCGAGGCCGGUUUAUCUUACUUGCAAAUCUUGAAAAGGAAAGGGUUAACCUCUCAAUCGUCGUGCAAUUUGAUUCAAUGGGUGCUCGUGAUGAUUCACCAGCUAAAUCUACCUACUCUAUGGUAAUUUGAUGAGGGAAAUUAUGACACUGAUUGAAAAAAAAGGUAGUUUACUACUACACUGAAGAUAGCAAGAUCACAAAAUAUGGUUUUUCGCUGUGUCGCUAAUCAUAUGCUCGGACAGAGCAUAGCAUAGUGGGUUGGUUACACCGUGCUUCUUCGUCCUUUUUAGUCAUCUUGUACUCCCUCUGUCCGGAAAUACUUGUCCUAAAAGUACAUGUAUCAAGACUUAUUUUAGUUAUAGGUACAUCCAUUUUAUUCAUUUCUAGGACAAAUAUUUCCAGACGGAGGAAGUAUAUAUUAGCAGACUGCAAACCUAUUGACAUAAAAUAAAACUCUUUCUUUUACUGUAAAAAAAAAAAAACUUACUUGCCAAGUGCGUGUACGCUCGCGGCUGGGNNNNNNNNNNNNNNNNNNNNNNNNNNNNNNNNNNNNNNNNNNNNNNNNNNNNNNNNNNNNNNNNNNNNNNNNNNNNNNNNNNNNNNNNNNNNNNNNNNNNGGAUGACUCAAUAGGAAAAUAAAUAGACAGGCCCUUCGCAGAGGGAAGCAUUGAUUUGCAGAGGUGCCAGAGCUCAAGCUUUGAAAACAGAGAUAAUAAUUUUGGCUGGCAUGCUUUCAUUGUCAACGCAAUGACCAAGAGUUCUCAAUAUCUUCCAUGCGACUCAUGCUAUAGGCGGUUCCCAAACAGAAAAGUAAAGUUUUAACUCCCUCACCACCAAUCAAUCACACUCCACAGCUAGCCAAAUCCUCGGGUACCAUUCAUACUAACAUCAAUCCGGCGGGAGUCUUGCUUUAUAGUUAUGUUUUCGAUUUAAGCGUGGAACUGGGCAUUCCAAUUACCGGCCCCUUUCUGGUGAAUGACAGUGAAUAAACACAUGUCGAGGAUAACACGCCUAACAUGGAAGAUAUCAAUAGCCCCCUGUCACCACAUGAGCGGUUCGGGCAUGCAAAACAAAUUAUUUCUUGAAGGUUUACAGAAUGGCACAUGCAAAUUUACUUGGAACGGCAGGUAGAUACGUGAUACGUCUCAAACGUAUCUAUAAUUUUUGAUGGUUUCAUGUUGUUAUCUUGUCAUCUUUGGAUGUUUUAUGUACCUUUUUUUAUCUUUUUUGGGACUAACUUAUCAAUUCAGUGCCAAGUGCCAGUUCCUGUUUUUCUCUGUUUUUCGCUCUUUUNNNNNNNNNNNNNNNNNNNNNNNNNNNNNNNNNNNNNNNNNNNNNNNNNNNNNNNNNNNNNNNNNNNNNNNNNNNNNNNNNNNNNNNNNNNNNNNNNNNNAUUUGGGAAUUUAUAGGCGCAAGAUCUAGGUCAGGGGACCUCCAGGGGGCCCACAAGCCUGCAUGGCACGGCCCCCCUGGCCGCAGGGUGGGGGCUUGUGGGGCCCGUGGAGCUCUUCCGACUUGCCCCCUAGCUCUCCGAUCUUCUUCCGUUCCAGAAAAAAUCUUUUCGGGGAUUUUCUUCCGUUUGGACUCCGUUUCAAAAUCUCCUCUGAAAGGGCUCAAAAACAUGGGAAAAAAUAGAGGAGCUGGCACUUGGCACUGAGGUAAUAGGUUAGUCCCAGAAAAUAAAUAAAAGGCAUGCAAAACAUCCAAAGUUUGACAAGAUAAUAACAUGAAACCAUCAAAAAUUAUAGAUACGUUGGAGUCGUAUCAAGCAUCCCCAAGCUUAACUCCUGCUCGUCCUCGAGUAGGGAAGUGAUAAAGAACGAAUUUUUGAUGUGGAAUGCUACCUAGCAUAGUUGUCCUUUGCAACUUCUUUCAUGUGACAUGAAUGUUCAGAUCAGUAAGAUUCAAAACAACAGUUUGCUAUUGACAUGAAAACAGUAAUACUUCAAGCAAACUAGCAAAGUAAUCAUGAACUUUCAAAAUAACAAGGCCAAAGAAAGGUAUCCCUACAAAAUCAUAUAGUCUGGCUAUGCUCCAUCAUCCUCACACAACUAAUGUAAAUCAUGAACAGCCCCAGAAUUGGCCAAGUAAUUGUUUUCGCACUCUUACUUUCUCAAACUUUUUNNNNNNNNNNCGUGGCAUGAAUAUUCAGAUCCGUACGAUUCAAAACAAUAGUUUGCUAUUGACAUGAAAACAGUAAUACUUUAAGCAAACUAGCAAAGUAAUCAUGAAGUUUCAAAAUAACAAGGCCAAAGAAAGUUAUCCCUCCAAAAUCAUAUAGUCUAGCUAUGCUCCAUCAUCCUCACACAACUAAUGUAAAUCAUGCACAACCCCGGAAUUGGCCAAGUAAUUGUUUUCGCACUCUUACUUUCUCAAACUUUUUAUAACUAUCACGCAAUACAUGAGCGCGAGCCAUGGAUAUAGCACUAUAAGUGGAAUAGAAUGUGGUGGUGGUUGUGAGACAAAAAGGAGGAGAUGGUCACAUUGACUCGGCGAAUCAAUAGGCUAUGGUAUGCCCAUUAAUAGAUAUCAAUGUGAAUGAGUAGGGAUUGCCAUACAAGAGAUGCACUAGAGCUAUAAGUAUGUGAAAGCUCAAGAGUAAAACUAGUGUGUGUGCAUCCAACUUGCUUGCUCAUGAAGACCUAGGGCAAUUUUGAGGAAGCCCAUCAUUGGAAUAUACAAGCCAAGUUAUAAAACGAAGAUUCCCACUAGCAUAAGGUACUGACAAAGCAAGAAGCUCUCAAUCAUGAAGAACAUGGUGCUAUUAUGAAGCACAAGUUUGGAAAAAGAUAGUAGCAUUGUCCCUUCUCUCUUUUUCUCUCAUUUCCUUUUUUUAUUUGGGCUCUUAGGCCUCUCUUUUUUUCUUUUCUUUUCUUUUCUCUUUUUUUUGUUGUUGGGUUCUUUGGCCUCUUUUUUUUUAUUUCCUCACAUGGGACAAUGCUCUAAUAAUGAUGAUCAUCACACUUUUUAGUUACUCAAAGCUCAAAGAUCACAAUGAUGAUGACUCCAUAGGAAAUGCCUUCGGCAGUGUACCGGGAUGUGCAACGAUCUAGUAUGAUCAUGCAAUGGCAAUAUGAGAGUGACAACACAAGUCAUUAGACGGAACGGUGGUAGUUACAUGGCAAUAUAUCUCGGAAUGGCUAUGAAAAUGCCAUAGUAGGUAGGUAUGGUGGCUGUUUUGAGGAAGGAAUUUGGUGGGUUUGAGUACCGGCGAGAAUUGCACGGCACUAGAGAGGCUAGCAAAGGUGGAAGGUGAAAGUGCAUCUAUACCAUGGACUCAACAUUAGUCAUAAAGAACUCACAUACUUGUUGCAAAAGUUUUUGUUAGUAAUCGAAACAAAGUGCUAAACGCAUACUCUGAGGGGAAGGGUUGGUAGGUGUAAACCAUCGCGCGAUUCCGACCUCAACACAAAGGAUUACAAUCAAUAGAUCAAUUAUGCUCCGACUUCCUAACAUAGCGGUUCACCAUACGUGCAUGCUACGGGAAUCACUAACUCCAACACAAGUAUUUCUAGAUUCACAACACCCUACUAACAUAACUCUCAAUAUUACCGAAUCUGUGUCUCAAAACUAAUUGAGAGGAAUCGAAACUUCUCUUUCUACUCAAUGCACAUGAAGAUGGAGGUUUUUGCAUCCUCUUUGGGUACCUAGAAUUUUUGGGACUACUUUCAUAGCAUAAGCCAACUACCAAAUGACGCACCACCGUGCUCUAAAGAUAUAAGUGAAGCACAAGAGCAAAAGUAUCUAGCUCAAAAGAUAUAAGUGAAGCACAAGAGUAAAAGUAUCUAGCUCAAAAGAUAUAAGUGAAGCACAAUGAGCAUUCUAGCAAAAUCACGAUGAGUGCAUGUCUCUGUCUCUAAAAAAAGGUGUGCAGCAAGGAUGAUUGUGACACAACAAAAAGAAAAGACUCCUAUGAUACAAGACGCUCCAAGCAAAACACAUAUCAUGUGGUGAAUAAAAAUAUAGCUCCAAGUAAUGUUACUGAUGGAUUGAAGACGAAAGAGGGGAUGCCUACCCGGGGCAUCCCCAAGCUUAGGCUUUUUGGUGUCCUUGAAUUUGGUUUGGGGUGCCUUGGGCAUCCCCAAGCUUGAGAUCUUUCCACUCCUUAUCUCUUUGUCCAUGAGAACGUCACCCAAAACUUGAAAACUUCACAACACAAAACUUAAACAGAAACUUGUGAUAACAUUAGUACAAGAAAACAAACUACCAGUUCUUUUGGUACUGUAGCAAACUUGAAUUCCAUCUAUAUUGAUGAUGGGCUACUGUAUUCUCACUUCUCCAUGGCUAGUACCCCCCGAUACUAACCAUAUUUUCAUCAAAACAAGCAACCAACUCAACAAAAACAGAAUCUGUCAAAAACAGACUAGUCUGUAGCAAUGUGUAUACUUCGUAUACUUCUGGUACCUCAAAAAAUCUGAAAAAUUAUGACGACCUGGGGAAUCAACAUAUCAAUCAACAGCAACAAUAAUCAACUCAAAAGCUCUUUCUGAAUAAAAAUGAAAAAUCAUCUCGUGAGCGAAAAGUUUCUGUCUUUUUCCAACAGGAUCAAACAACCAUUACCAAGACUAGUCAUAAAGGCUUUGCUUGGCUCAAACACAAAAGAAACACAAAAAUCACAAUCACAAAAGAAUUAUGAAAGUGUGGACGCAACAAAACAGAAAUAAAAAGAUAAAUUCAUUGGGUUGCCUCCCAACAAGCGCUAUUGUUUAACGCCCUUAGCUAGGCAUUGAUAAAUCAAUGAUGCUCACACAAAAGACAAGAAUUGAAGCACAACGAGAGCAUCAUAAAGCAUGUGAAAAUCACAUCUAAGUCUAACAUACUUCCUAUGCAUAGGCAUUUUAUAGGGGAACAAAUUGGCAAGACAACCAAUAGUUACCAAAUGCAAGGAAGAAGAAAGAGACAAGAGCAAUCUCAACAUAACGAGAGGUGAUUUAGUGAUAUGAAAGUUUCUACCACCAUAUUUUCCUCUCUCAUAAUAAUUACAUGUGGGAUCAUAUUCGAAUUCAACAAUGUAACUUUCACAUAGGAUAUUAUUUUCAUGAUCCACAUGCAUGCAAAGUUGACGCUCUUCAAAAAUAGUGGGAUUAUCAUCAACUAAAGUCAUGACUUCUCCAAACCCACUUUCAGUAUUAUUGCAAAUAUCAUUGCAACAAGUAGCGGACAUAGCAAAACUAGCAUCCCCAAGCUUAGGGUUUUGCAUAUUUUUAGCAUGAUUGUCACUAAUAGAAUUUAUAGUGAAACCAUUGCAAUNNNNNNNNNNNNNNNNNNNNNNNNNNNNNNNNNNNNNNNNNNNNNNNNNNNNNNNNNNNNNNNNNNNNNNNNNNNNNNNNNNNNNNNNNNNNNNNNNNNNACCAUAGUUUGAGGAGUUCAUGUGUUCACCAAGUGCUAAUGCGUUGUUUCGGUUUUUUUUAUUAAAAUGAGAACCUUAAUAUCCUGUAGUAUCCUUUUGGACCGCGCUGCCACGGGAGGGAUGGAAAAUAGAUGUCAUGCAAGUUCUUUUCCCUAAGCACGUAUGACGACACACGGAAUGCAUGCCUACAUCACAUUGACGAACGGGAGCUAGCCACAUAUCUCUCCGUGUUAUAACUGUUGCAUGAUGAAUGUCAUCCAAACAAAUCACCGACCCAUUGCCUACGAUUUUGUCCCACUGCUGUUGUUAGUUGUUUUGCUCUGCUGUUGUUACUUGUUUUGCUCUGCUGUUGUUACUACUGUUGCUGCUGCUGUUACUUGCUUUGCUCUGCUGUUACUUGCUAUUGUUGCUACUUGACUGUUGUCACUACUUCUGUUCCUUGCCACUGCUGUUACUCGUUACACUGCUGCUACCUGCUACAAUACUUUUUCUUGCACCGUUGCCGGGAAAUAAUAUUUCCCGUCCACGGGCAACUUCUGGCGCCAUUGAUACAACCGUUAGGAAUAGUCUGCCGUCAAUAGAUCGUUUCUGGCACCGUUGCUAUCAUACUACUUUGCUACUGAUACUUUGCUUGCAGACACUAAUCUUUCAGGUGUGGUUGAAUCUGACAUAUUCAGCUGCUAAUACAUAAGAAUAUCCUUUCACUUCUUGUCGGGCGAACCAACAAAUUUGGGUUGAAUACUCUACCCUCGAAAAUUGUCGCGAACCCACGCGCUGGUGGGCCAUUGCAAGACAAUUGCUAAUUGUUGAGCAACUGGGAGCAGUUCUGGCUCCGUUUCCGUGGAGGCAUCAAGUCAGGAACACGUCAACAACAUUUUUCUAGUGUCGUUGCUGGGGACUGCUAGCAGCAUUUUUCUGGCGCCGUUUCCGGGGAAGGGAUUGCUAUAUUCUCUGAGUCACUUGGGAUUUAUAUCUGCUGAUCACUAUGAAGAAUCUGAAAGAUCCAAAAACCAAAGUUUUGCCCUCAACUACGAGGGGAGGUAAGGAACUGCCAUGUAGCUCUGCACUUGAUUCACCUUCAGUUAUGAGUAAGUUUGCGACACCACCUCCUGCUAGAAAUCUUGAUAUGUCGCUUGUGCCUGAUACUGCUAGAGAUGCUAUGCCUGAUACUGCUAGAGAUGAUAUGCCUGAUACUGCUAUGCCUGAUACUGCUAUGCCUGAUAAUGCUAGAGAUGCUAUUUUGCCUGAUGAUGCUAUGCUUGAUACUGCUAGAGAUACUACUUUGCCUGAUAUGCCACUAGGGGUAUUCCUUGAUGCUCAUAUUGCUAGAGUUACUGCCAAUGCUCGUGAUGCUUCUGAAACUGCCGAUACUAUUGAGAUAGAACCUGCUUUUGCUCCUGCUAGAUCUAGCUCUCCUAGAUAUGAAUUGCCUGAUAUACCCGAGGGUUAUGUUAUGGAGGGAGAGAUAGCUGAGGAUUUUCUUGCAUGUAAGGAUGCCUAUGACGCUGAGAAAUUACUUCUCAAGUGGAAGGAAAAAUCUAUGAAAGCUAGGAUGAAAUACGACCCGAAGUUCGCCACUUCACCUAUCUUUAUCACCGAUACGGAUUAUGAAUUCUUUGUCAACCCUGAGAUAAUUUCUCUAGUCGAAUCUGAUCCUUUCCACGGUUAUGAUUCUGAGACAGUCGUAGCCCAUCUUACCAAACUACACGAUAUAGCCACCAUUUUCACUAGUGAGGAGAAGAUCCGCUACUACUAUAUCCUUAAGUUGUUUCCUUUCUCUCUAAAGGAUGACGCUAAAGCCUGGUUCGCUUCUCUUGCUCCUGGAUGUGUGAGUAGUCCCCAGGAUAUGGUCCAUUACUUCUGUGAGAAAUAUUUCCCUGCCGAUAAGAAGCAAGCUGCCUUGUAGGAAAUAUACAACUUUGUUCAACUCAAAGAAGAGAGUCUCCCACAAGCUUGGGGGAGGCUCAUCCAGCUACAGGAUGCUUUGCCUGAUCACCCUCUUAAGAAGAACGAGAUACUUGAUAUCUUCUAUAACGGACUUACCGAUGCUUCUAGAGACCACCUAGAUAGUUGUGCCGGUUGUGUUUUUAGGGAACAAACUGUAGAACAAGCUGAGAUUCUACUGAAUAACAUCUCUAUGAACGAUAAUGCUUGGACUAUUCCCGAACCACCUCCUAAGUCAACUCCUAAGAAAAUAGGUAUUCUAUUCCUCAGCCCCCAAGAUAUGCAAGAAGCCAAGAAAUCUAUGCAAGAGAAAGGCAUUAGAUCUGAAGAUGUCAAAAAUCUACCACUUAUCGAAGAGAUCUAUGGUCUCGAUAACCCGAUACAGGUAGUAGAAGUAAAUUCACUGCGUAGGUUUGAUGAGAGUGAUAUUCCUUUUGACAAACCUGCUAGCCUAUGCUUUGAUGAAUUUGACAACUUUGUUGCCAAACAACAGAGUUUCAAUGAUUAUGUUAGCAGACAUUUGGAACAAAGUACUCGUAUGCUUAGUCAUUUAAGUGCUUGUGUAGACAAAAAUGUCAAUGAUAUGAAGCUUCUGAGUAAACAUGCCUCUAUGAUUACUACUCAGGUAGAACAAGUACUUAAAUCUCAGAAUGACUUGCUCCAUGAAUUAAAUGACAACUCUGUCAGAGUCAUUACUAGAGGAGGCAAAAUGACUCAGGAACCUUUGUAUCUUGAAGGCCAUCCUAAGAGAAUUGAUCAAGAUUCUCAAGGAAUUAAUGCCGAUGCACCCAGUCAUCCUAAGAAGAAGAAGGAUGAUAGAAACCUACAUGUCAAUUCACCAAAUACUGUCACACCUGAAGAACCAAAUGAUAUUUCCGCGUCUGGUGCAGAAACACAAUCUAGUGAUGAACAUGAACCUGGUGACAAUAUGGACAACGAUGUUCAUAAUGAGGCUCAACCUAGCAAUGAUAAGGAUGUGGAGAUUGAACUACGGUUAAUCCUGAUAACCCACAACCUAAGAGAUACGAUAAGAAUGACUUCACUGCUAGGAAGCAAUGGUAAAGAAAGGGAGCCAUGGGUUCAGAGACCCAUGCCCUUUCCUCCUAAGCCAUCCAAGAAAAAGGAUGAUGAGGAUUUUGAGCGCUUCAUUGAGAUGAUAAGCCCGUCUUUCUGCAGAUGCGGUUAAUUGAUAUGCUCAAAAUGUCUCCAUAUGCCAAGUACAUGAAAGAUAUCGUGACUAAUAGAAGGAAGAUACCAGAUCUUGAGAUCUCCACCAUGCUUGCCAAUUACACUUUCAAAGGUGGAACUCCUAAAAAACUUGGUGAUCCCGGAGUGCCCACUAUACCUUGCUCCAUUAAAGGAAACUACGUAAGAACUGCCUUGUGUGACCUUGGAGUCGGUGUUAGUGUUAUGCCGCUCUCUCUUUAUCGUAGACUUGAACUAGAUAAGUUGACACCCACUGAAAUUUCUCUGCAAAUGGCCGACAAAUCAACUGCUUUCCCUAUCGGCAUUUGCGAGGAUGUGCCUGUUGUGGUUGCUAACACCACUAUCCUAACAGACUUUGUUAUCUUGGAUAUUCCCGAGGACGAUGUCAUGGCUAUCAUCCUCACAAGACCCUUUUUAAACACUGUAGGGGCUGUUAUAAAUUGCAAAAAAGGCAAUGUCACUUUCCACGUCAACGGUAAUGAGCAUACAGUGCACUUUCCGAAGAAACGAUAUCAAGUACAUUGCAUCAAUGCUAUCGAAAAAACUUCAUCGAUUCUUAUUGGGAGCUUUGAAUGCCCUAUUCAUCGUGUCAAGAUGAAGUAUGAUUUGCUUGUUGGGGAGAUACAUAUCCCCAUUGAGGUGACUUAGUGGCUAUUCUACAAUUCUCCUUUUCCUCUUGUGAUUCGAAAAGGCUUUGUCAUGAGGAUUUGAUCAACCCCAUUUACGGAUUUCUUUCGAUGACCAUGAAAUGGAUGAAUCAAAGAGUCACAUACCUCUGUUUUAAGCUUUCACUUCCUGUUGCUUAGAAGAAAAAUGAUAGAUUCAGUUUACUUUUUCCUGUUUUCUGUUUUAGCGUCCCGGAGAAAAAUACCCCGAAAAUAAAAGUUCUCCGAUGGUCCUGAAAAUCUAGUAUGAUUUUUUCUGGAAUUUUUGAAAAAUACGGGGACUAAGAGCUGGCCUGGGAGCCACACCAGUGGGCCACAAGCCCUGUAGCCGCCCCCUGGUGGCGGCUACCAAGCUUGUGGGGCCCACAGGGACCCCCUCCACUCAUUCCAGCUCCCAUCCUCUUCUCCUACCUCCAGAAAAAAUCGUUUCGCAGCUCAAACCCGUGUUCUUGCUCAUUUUGCUGAGAUUUACGAUCUCCUUGCUCAAAGCACCAUUCUCCAAACCGUUUUUGGGAAAUUACUCCUUGGUAAGUGACUCCUCCAUUGGUCCAAUUAGUUUUUGCUCUAGUGUUUUAUCCUUCGCGUAUUCUUGCUACCUUGGUGACCCUGUUCUUGAGCUUGAAAUGUUGAUUUUAGCUGGUCCCAAGUAGUUUUAGCACGUGAUACGGUCUUUAGGCACUAGUAGGAGUAAUUGCUACAAGGUGUGGUUGGUCUUCAUUCACUUUUCUCUUGAACUUCAAAAAUUUCAGCAACAUGAAAUUAUGUUCAGGAGGAAGUUUCUUGGUGGUUCCUCAAGUAAGAAGGGUCCCCGUCUUUCUUUUCGGGAGCCCGAACCUUAUCAACUAAGGGACGCACCGGUACAACCAUGUGAAUGGCCUUCCGAUGAGUUCAUGAUCGAAGCAGGCUUCAAGGAUGAGUUUGAUACACUUGUCCGCAAUGCCGGGUUAGAAAAAUUCCUCUCAAAAAAAUGUGAACAGUAUGCUAUGCUCACUGCCUCUUUCGCGCGUAGAUUUAAAUUUUCAGUUGGUCGUGACUCAUCCGUACUGUUUGAUGUGUAUGAUAAAUCCUACACCAUGGAUUUGGAGGAUUUCAAUAGGAUUUUCAAGAUACCCGAUGGGGGUAGUCUUAAUGAUCCUGCUAAGUCUUCGGUUAGAGAUUUUGUCUCUAGUAUAACUGUUGGAGAAACUAGAGACAUCACGCAAGCUACCAUAGGAAGCAUUCAUUUCCCUGUCUUGCACUACUUUGCCCUCUUCAUAGGUAGGUGCAUUAACGGCAAGGGUGCACAUUGUCACCUAUGCGCAUCCGACCUUAGUAUCCUUAAGAUCGCAGUAACAGGUGACAGUAGCUUCAACAUGGGAGCAAUAAUAGCAAGGAGGCUGAAUAAUAAUGCCAUUGAUGGGGAUUUCUUUGGUGGAAUUUAUGCUACGCGCUUAGCAAAUUUUCUUGGAGUACCCAUCCGCUCGGGAGACCCCCCCUCUCCGUACAGCCUACCUUGAUCGUGUCGCUCUAACACGCUACCAGUUCCUUGAGAGGGAUGAUGAAUCCCUCCUAUACCGUUUGAUAUUUAACCGGCAGUGUGUUUUCCAUGUUACCCUUCCUGCUCCUGCUUUCUUUGACUUUUAGGUAAAAUGGAGAUACUACAUAACCAUAGGAGAGGUAGAGGAGUAUGGGAGGGAGGCGACGGCUGCUCGUCUUCGUGAGGCAGUUAUUCAGGCAGUGGCUGCAGCACUCCCGUAUAACACCCAUUAUGAUUUUGGGUUUUGCCAGGACCUUACAUGGGAGUAGACCAAGCUAGGCCAAAAGCCUAAGCUUUGGGGAGUACGUGUUCUCACCAACCUUACAUUCAUGCUUAUGCUUUCACUUUGUUAGCCGGUGUUUACACUUUGCCACUGUAUUAUCCAUGCUAGUUUAUUUUCGUUUUCUUGUUUUCUUGUUUUGUGUCCUUUUGAGAAAACCCAAAAAGAUUUUCCUUUCUUCUUUUGCUUGUUUGGAUUUUUCCCAUGUAAAUAGUUUUCUUUUUCUUUGGGUCAAGGUAGAAGACCAUGGUUACAAUGUUUAGUGGCUCUUGCAUGCAUACCUGUUUAGCUUUCAAAGAGCCAUAUUACUUUGUCUUCUCCUUUGUGUUUGCCUGCAGAUUCAGCUUAGUCCAAUGCACGAGCACUCUUAUUAUUGUUCACAUCGUUCGNNNNNNNNNNNNNNNNNNNNNNNNNNNNNNNNNNNNNNNNNNNNNNNNNNNNNNNNNNNNNNNNNNNNNNNNNNNNNNNNNNNNNNNNNNNNNNNNNNNNAUAAUCUUCCAACAAAAUGCAUGAUGUUAGGUUGGGGUUCGACAUCUAGUGGAUUCGUUUGUUCACGGUCGACUUACAGCGGUACACGCUGUGUCUUAAAGAGUCCUUGUAGCUUGCUACGACUCGGGGACGCUUCGUAUGUCGGGUGCACUGCCUUGCACUUGAUGGCUACUGUAAAAUCGAGCCCGUGCGAUCUUGUCCACGAAAGUAUCGAACUGAAAUCUUUCUCAUGAGUUUGUUCUGGCUUCUUUCAUAAGCCUCAUCCUUUGUUUUGUUGAAUAUGGUAAUUAAAGUUGCUUCGAUGUCAAGUGGUGAUUUCCGAUCUUUCUAGUGGUGUUCUCAUAUUUUUAUGUGAAUGCUAAUUCUUUUGCUCAAAUCAGUUGUCUUAUCAAUUUUGUCAACCGGAGUCGCCAUAUCAAUUCUUUUUCAACCAGUGUGUUUCUCUCCAAGUGGAUUCAAUCCUCUCCAAUUUUUGCAAGAUCAUUCUCUCAUCUUAUUCCGGAGUUCAUCUCAUCCGUCACAAGUUGUCUUUGUUUUUCCCCGCCCUCCCGCCUUUUUUCUUCAAUGUUUGGAUUUCAUCCAAGCGUCUUCUUAUUCAGUGAUGCUUCCGCUAUCUCGUCUUCCUUUCAUAGCCGGUGAUUCAUUCUGAAGAUUCUCAGGAGCUUCGUGUUCAUCUUUGUUCAUUCUUGUCAUCCUUACCGGUGAAAUUAAUUCAGUUCUCCGUGUUCAUCAUAUUCCUUUCGUCCUUGUAAUUCUUUCCUGUGUUGGAAAUUCUUAUCUAGUAUUCUGUUGUCAUUUAUCUCUAUUCUUUCCGGAGCGUUGAAGAUAUCCCAGUAGUUUCUUGUUUUCAGAUCUUUCAUUAUUUCGAGGUGCCAACCUCAUCUAGUUCUCGUUAUACCGGUGCAANNNNNNNNNNNNNNNNNNNNNNNNNNNNNNNNNNNNNNNNNNNNNNNNNNNNNNNNNNNNNNNNNNNNNNNNNNNNNNNNNNNNNNNNNNNNNNNNNNNNUAUGACUAAUGUUGAGUCCAUGGUAUAGAUGCACUUUCACCUUCCACCAUUGCUAGCCUCUCUAGUGCCGCACAAUUCUCGCCGGUGCACAAACCCACCAAAUUCCUUCCUCAAAACAGCCACCAUAUCUACCUACUAUGGCAUUUUCAUAGCCAUUCCGAGAUAUAUUGCCAUGCAACUCCCACCGUUCCAUGAUUUUCAUGACUUGUGUCGUCACUCUCAUAUUGCCAUUGCAUGAUCGUAAGAUAGCUAGCAAGAUGUUUCAACGUCAUACGCCAUCCUAGAUCGUUGCACAUCCCGGUACACUGCCGGAGGCAUUUCUUAUGGAGUCAUCAUCAUUGUGAUCUUUGAGCUGUGAGUAAAUAAAAAGUGUGAUGAUCAUCAUUAUUAGAGCAUUGUCCCAUGUGAGGAAAUAAAAAAAAGGAAAAAAAGGUCAAAGAUCCCAAAAACAAAAGAAGAGAAAAAAGAGGCCUAAGAGCCCAAAUGAAAAAAAGAGAGAAAAGAGAGAAGGGACAAUGCUACUAUCCUUUUCCACACUUGUGCUUCAUGAUAGCACCAUGUUCUUCAUGAUUGAGAGCUUCUUGCUUUGUCACUACCAUAUGCUAGUGGGAAUCUUCAUUAUAUAACUUGGCUUGUAUAUUCCAAUGAUGCGCUUCCUCAAAAUUGCCUAGGUCUUCGUGAGCAAGCAAGUUGGAUGCACACCCACUAGUUUUCCUUUUGAGCUUUCACAUACUUAUAGCUCUAGUGCAUCUCUUGUAUGGCAAUCCCUACUCAUUCACAUUGAUAUCUAUUAAUGGGCAUCUCCAUAGCCUAUUGAAACGCUGAGUCGGUGUGACCAUCUCCUCCUUUUUGUCUCACAACCACCACCACACUCUAUUCCACCUAUAGUGCUAUAUCCAUGGCUCGCACUCAUGUAUUGCGUGAUAGUUAUAAAAAGUUUGAGAAAGUAAGAGUGCGAAAACAAUUACUUGGCCAAUUCNNNNNNNNNNNNNNNNNNNNNNNNNNNNNNNNNNNNNNNNNNNNNNNNNNNNNNNNNNNNNNNNNNNNNNNNNNNNNNNNNNNNNNNNNNNNNNNNNNNNAAGAUGCAAAUUAAGAGAGCACUCAUCAAUCUCGUUGAAGCCUAGAACAUCACAUAAAGACUUUGGAAUGGCGGAAACACUAGCACCCAAAUCACACAAAGCAUUGCAUUCAUAGUUUUUAAUCUUGAUUUUGAUAGUAGGUUCCCACUCAUCAUGAAGUUUUCUAGGAAUAGAUAUCUUCAACUCAAGUUUCUCUUCAAGAGAUAUCAUCAUAGCAUCAACGAUAUGAUCGGUAAAUGCCUUAUUUUGGCUAUAAGCGUGUGGAGAGUUUAGCAUGGAUUGCAUCAAGGAAAUACAUUCAAUCAAAGAGCAACUAUCAUAAUUGAAUUCCUUGAAAUCCAAAGUAGUAAUUUCAUCACGACUCAAAGUUUUGAUAUCCUCUACUCCACUUUCAGUGCUUUUAGCAUCAAGACAAAUAGACUCCGAAUCAUUGGGGCGUUUCUCAACCAAAGUGUAUGCAUAUCCAGACCCAUCACCAUUAGGUUUGACAUUAGAAAACAAGGAUUCAAUGGGAGUCACACCAAGCACUUUAAGAUCUUCGUGAUUCUCAUCACGAGAACAUGCCUUUUUAAGCCAUUCAUGUCUAGCACGAAUUUGGGCGGUUCUUUCUUUACUCUCAUUCAUGGAAACACGCAUAGCUUUCAAAGUUUCAUCCAUAUUAAUCUUGGGAGGAGCACAUCUCAAUUUCAAAGCAUCAAUAUCAAGAGACAUUCUAUCAAUGGUCCUAGCCAAGUCAUCAAUUUUGAGCAGUUUUUCUUCUACGGAUGCAUUGAAAAUCUUUUGCGAGUUGAUAAACUCUCUAAUAUUACUCUCAAGAUCAGAGGGUAAUUUAUUGUAAUUUCCAUGAGCAUUGUUGUAGGAAUUGCCAAAGUGAUUAGAGGGAUUACUAGGAAAAGGCCUAGGAAUAAAGUUACCUCUAUAAGCAUUUUUGUUGCCAAAAUUAUUCCUACCAACAAAAUUAACAUCCAAGAUCUCAUUGCUAUUCUCAAUCAAGGAAGACAAAGGCAUACCAUUUGGACCUAGAGGAGCACCUUUACUAGCAAACAAUUUCAUUAACUCAUCCAUCUUAGCACUGAACGAGUUAAUUUCUUCUAUAGCAUGCACUUUUUUACUAGUAGGUGACCUUUCAGUGUGCCAUUGAUAGUAGUUUGUCAUGAUAUUGUCUAGGAGUUUUGUGGCUUCUCCUAGUGUGAUUUCCAUGAAAGUUCCACCGGAGGCGGAAUCCAAGAUAUUUCUAGAAGCAAAAUUCAAACCAGCAUAUAAGAUUUGUAUAAUCAUUCAAAGACUCUNNNNNNNNNNNNNNNNNNNNNNNNNNNNNNNNNNNNNNNNNNNNNNNNNNNNNNNNNNNNNNNNNNNNNNNNNNNNNNNNNNNNNNNNNNNNNNNNNNNNGGCCUUGUUAUUUUGAAAGUUCAUGAUUACUUUGCUAGUUUGCUUGAAUUAUUAUUGUUUCCACGUCAAUAGCAAACUAUUGUUUUGAAUCUAAUGGAUCUGAACAUUCACGUCACAUAAGAGGAAUUACAAAGGACACCUAUGCUAGGUAGCAUGAAAGCAUCAAAAAUUCAUUCUUAUCACUUCCCUACUCGAGGACGAGCAGGAGUUAAGCUUGGGGAUGCUUGAUACGUCUCAAAUGUAUCUAUUAUUUUUGAUGAUUUCAUGCUGUUAUCUUGCCUUCUUUGUAUGUUUUAUGUACCUUUUUAUAUCUUUUUCGGGACUAACUUAUUGAUUCAGUGCCAAGUGCCAGUUCCUGUUUUUCCGUGUUUUUGACUCUUUUCAGAUCUGAUUUUGGAACGGAGUCCAAACGGAAGAAAAACACCGAAAUGAUUUUUUUCCCGAACGGAAGAAGUCCAGGGAGCCUUUGGGCCAGGCCAAGUGGGCUCCAGGGAGCCCACAAGCCCCCACUCNNNNNNNNNNNNNNNNNNNNNNNNNNNNNNNNNNNNNNNNNNNNNNNNNNNNNNNNNNNNNNNNNNNNNNNNNNNNNNNNNNNNNNNNNNNNNNNNNNNNAAUCGCCUAAGUAUUAACUUUCUCCGAGUGUGCACUAAACGUCGCACUUGGGGACUUACCUGCGAUCAAGAAUCGCCUAAGUAUUAACUUUCUCCGAGUGUGCACUAAACGUCGCACUCGGGGACUUAGAUGCGAUCACGAGUCGCCUAAGUAUUAACUUUCUUCGAGUGUGCACUUAACGUCGCACUCGGGGACUUAGCUGCGACCAAGAAUCGCCUAAGUACUAACUUCCUUCGAGUGUGCACUAAACGUCACACUCGGGGACUUAGAUGCGAUCAAGAGUCGCCUAAGUAUCAACUUUCUCCGAGCGUGCACUCGGGGGCUUAGCUGCGAUCCGGAAUCGCCUAAAUACAUGAGUAAUAGACCCUCAUUGAAGCUCAUGUGGAUGUCAAAACAACUGACAACUACAUGAGUAGCAGACCCUCAUUGAGGCUCAUGUGGAUGUCAAAACAACUGACAACUACAUGACUAACAAAUCGCACCGAGUGUGACCUCAUAGUCGCACUCGACAACAUAGCUGCGAUCCCGUAUCGCCCAAGUAUUUUUAGACCUUCGAGUGUGUCCUUCAGAUCCACUCGGACACUCACCGGACCCUCAUUGAGGCUCAUGUGGAUGUCAAGACCACUGACAAUUACAUGAGUACCAACUCGCUUCGAGUGAGGCCUGUCCGACGCACUCGACGACUUCGCUGCGAUCAUGAAUCGCCUAAGUACUAUAUUGCCCUCGAGUGUACCCUACAGAUCCACUCGGAGACCCCGCAAGACCCUCACAGAGGUUCAUGCAGAUGUCAAGACAACUGACACGUACAUGCUAUGCAUGUUUGCCAUUGGCUUCACCAAGAAACGCCAAGCAAAAACUCGAGGCAAAAUUGCAACACAAGAGCAAACGAUUUGAUUCAGAUUCAAAAGGUCAAACAAAGAUAGUACACUCGGUGCGGAUCAACCUUACCCGCACCGAUUCAAGAAUGUGACGGCCAACAGCAGUGGCCAAAGUUUCUUACAAAUCAACACUCGGCAUACCGAGGAUAAAUUUUUCUUACGCAUCAUCAGGAUUAGCGCCAGGGCUGGAGGGCUCUACGAACGUGUCCAGAUCGAUACCGUCGGUGAUGCGGGUGGCACUCUCAAGGAAGGUUUCCAUGAAGUCUUCGAAUCGAAGUUUCUUCGUGUUGGCGACCUUCAAUGCUUUCAGCUUCUCCUCGCGCACCUCCUUGCAAUGAACACGGACCAGGGACAGAGCAACAUCUGCACCACAACGAGCCACAGAUUUCUUCCAUGACUGCACUCGGUUCGAGAUCUCCUCCAGUCGAGUCAUCAAGUUUUCCAUCUCCUGCCGUGACUCAUCUUCAGGCCAAAGCUCCUUGUCGAUUCGGCCGACGACUUCUCUCAGUCGACCGAUGAAAGGGCCAACUUUGCCCACGCGGAUGUGCGCUCGGAGCAGAUCUCGAUUGGCGUCCUCGCCGAGUGGAAUGUUCUCGCGAAUCGGCCGCUCCACGUCAGCUGCUUCAGCUUCAGCGUCAAUGCAAAAAUCUGCAAUAACAGGACAAGCAAACAAUAAGCGCCGAGUGUGACGCACAUACCACAGGCACUCGGAAAAAACAAGACUUAUCAGCCAGACGCGUCAUCAUCUGCCGAGCCCAGUCGCUGNNNNNNNNNNNNNNNNNNNNNNNNNNNNNNNNNNNNNNNNNNNNNNNNNNNNNNNNNNNNNNNNNNNNNNNNNNNNNNNNNNNNNNNNNNNNNNNNNNNNGAUGUUCACUAGUGAUGUCUCUCUCCCAAAAGACGAUAAACAACUAUGAUUGGGUAAACAAAUUACAGCCGGGCAAUUGACAUAAUUAUGAACGCACCGCAAUGCUAAUUAUGCUACUUGAAAGUUAGAUGCUCAAUAGUAAUGGGCAGUACACUAAGACAAGUAGACCGUUUAUUCAUCAACAUCUACUCACUAAUCAUCCACCUUGAGAUAUCUAUCCAGAACAUCUCGCUGGUAUUAAGUUGCGAGCCCCACCCAAAGUGUAAACUCAAAGCAACGGACAAUUGCAUUAACGAACUAUGCGUAAGGUAAACAAUCCUUGCAACCGUGGUCACAAGCACCGUCGUUUUCUCCCAGCCGGCAACAGCACAUCCCCUAGUAUCAUGUUUCUGUCACUCAAGCUAGACAUCAGGGGGCAUGAACCCACAAUCAUGCAUAACGCUCGCUCUCGUAGUUACAAUCUACUACUCGUCCAAAGCAAUAAAAAGGCAACAAAGAACAUGCAUGAAUCACUAAAGAACAUAAUAUAAAAGGAUAGUUAAAUAUAUAACUCAUAACAAUCUGAACAUAAUCUCAUAAUCCAUCAGAUCCCAGCAAACCGAGCAUAGCAAUAGCAAGAAAAUCACAUAGAUGCCUUGAUCAUUUAGGGCAGCUCACAAGGGCUAAUCAUAGAAGCACAAGAUUGGAGAGAAGACAUCACAUAGCUACUGGUCAUGGACUCAUGGUCCAAGGAGGACUACUCACGGCACGUCCAAGAAGCGUCCAUGGCAGUGGAGAAACUCCCGGAGGUCAAUCCCCCUCCGGUAGGGUGCCGGUAAGAGGUCUCCUGACGCUCCCGAUCUCGGAAGCGNNNNNNNNNNNNNNNNNNNNNNNNNNNNNNNNNNNNNNNNNNNNNNNNNNNNNNNNNNNNNNNNNNNNNNNNNNNNNNNNNNNNNNNNNNNNNNNNNNNNUUGGUCAUGGCGGAAGCUGCGGAUCCGCGGGGAGGAAGGAUAAGGAAGGAGUGUAGGUGCGCUGGAGGUGGCGAGAAGGACGGAGCAAGCGAAGGCAAGAGAUUCGGCGAGCGUAACGAAAAACCCUCGCCGCUGAGAUUUAAGUAAGGUUCCGACUGGGUCGCUGGCAGGUGGCCCCGAAACCUUAUCCCCCGACCAACCGCAGAGAUAUUAGUGGAGAGGUUGAAGGCGCGAGAAUCGAGACGUCAGGCGCUACUCGAGCGCGAUGGCGUCAUCCCCGCUGAGGGCGCGGUAACCGAAAUUUGAGGAUCCCAGAAAAUUCGCCGCUGUCAGUUGACCGGUCACGUCAGAAGAUACCGCGGAAGCACUCGGUUUCCGACAGUUUGUUUCACAAAUACUUCCACUCGGAUCGUUGAUUACAAAAGAUAAAAUGGAUCGAGGGAAGCAACGCCAAAGUCACAUCCGUACCAGUCGGAUCCAAACUUCAAGCAUCGCUUCGUCGUUCCAACCCCAAUCCAUUCGGNNNNNNNNNNNNNNNNNNNNNNNNNNNNNNNNNNNNNNNNNNNNNNNNNNNNNNNNNNNNNNNNNNNNNNNNNNNNNNNNNNNNNNNNNNNNNNNNNNNNGGGCCGGCCCACACCCUCCCGCGCCACCGCCCCUUUGGAUCCGGCGAGAAGAGCCACCCUCCGUCAUCACCGCCGCCGAGGAUCGACCACCUCGAGCGCACCCCCUCGUCACUGCCCAGGAUCACCCUCCACCGGUUAGUCCCUUUUUUGUGAUUUUUGCGAGCUGUGUAGUAGAUUGACGCGCCGGUGUGUGUGUAGAUGGAGUUGACCCCGUGCGAGAAGUUCUUACUAUCCGAUUCGUCCGAUUCGGAUGACUCGGAUUUUGAGACCAUGCUUGCGAACUUUCGGCAAUAAACAUUAGUCAUGGCGCUUGCCGUGAAGGAGCAUGAAGACGAGCACCGGAAGAGGAGGCGAGGAUCGACUGUCGGGCGUUUGUCCAUUCCUCGGAAUCGCCAUCUUAGGAACGAGAUGUUGAUGCAAGACUAUUUCACAGAGAAUCCUACAUAUCCUCUGCACCUCUUCCGGAGAAGGUACCGAAUGCGCCGAUCCCUCUUUGUGAAACUUGUUCAAGCUAGCGAGGCAAAUUGUCGGUAUUUUACUCAAAGAAGGAAGGUCACGGGCUUAAAGGGAUUAAGUGCAUAUCAAAAAAUCUCCGCAGCUAUGCGGGUGAUUGCAUAUGGCGUUUCGGCUGACUAUGCCGAUGAGUAUCUUCGCAUUGGUGAAGAUAGCACAACUGAGUCUGUGCGUAGAUUUGCCAAAGUGAUCACCCGUGUCUUCGGUCCUGGGUAUCUUCGGGCACCCAAUGAAGAUGACACAAAGAAAUUGAUGGCAGCUAAUGAGAGUUGAGGUUGGCCUGGCAUGCUAGGUAGCAUUGAUUGUAUGCAUUAGAAUUGGAAAAUUUUCCCCAAGGCUUGGCAAGGAAUGUAUUGUGGCAAGUCUCGUGAUGCAACAAUUAUGCUAGAGGCCGUAGCAUACGAGGAUUUAUGGAUUUGGCAUUGCUUUUUUGGUAUGCCGGGCACUUUCAAUGAUAUCAAGGUGUUGCAACGGUCUCAUUUGUUUGCUAGGCUUGCUAGUGGUGAUGCUCCUGCUUGCAACUACACUAUCAAUGGGCAUGAAUACACAAAGGGAUACUAUCUUGCAGAUGGUAUAUAUCCUCCUUGAUGCAUAUUUAUCAAGAGCAUCAAAGAACCCAAAACAAAAAAACAAUGUGAAUUUGCAAGGAUGCAAGAGGCAGCCCGCAAAGACAUUGAAAGAGCAUUGUUUUGCAAUCUAGGUUUGCCAUUGUCCGUGGUCCUGCUCGUUUUUUUGGAUAAGAAAACAUUGAAGAACAUCAUGACAUGCUGUGUAAUCCUGCACAAUAUGAUUCUUGAAGAUGAGAGAUGAUUGAACUUAGAAUUCUUCUACGACAAUGUGGGUAGCCGUGUUCAACCAGCUAGAGACCCAAACCGCGUUAGAGCUUUUCUUCAGACGUACAAGGAGAUUGAAAAUGCAGACACCCACUUUCAAUUUCAAAAAGAUCUCAUUGAGCACCAUUGGCAAAGGGCUGGACAGUGACUUAUUUUUGUAUUCAUUUGUAUUUGUAUUCAUGACAAGUUUUGUAUUGCAUUAUUUAAGUUUGCUACGGUUAUUUGAAUAAUUAUUUGUAAUGCGGAUGAUUAUUGUAUUAAGUUUGAUUCGAAUAAUUCAGUUUGUUUUCGAUUGUUGAAUUAUGUUGUAUUUGAUAUUUGUGGGCUGAUGAUAUGCGGGAUGCAGCGGCGCAAAGAGAAGACCCCGCAAAGCCGACCCGUAAAAAAGUAUGUUCCGUGAAUAUACCUUUUUACNNNNNNNNNNNNNNNNNNNNNNNNNNNNNNNNNNNNNNNNNNNNNNNNNNNNNNNNNNNNNNNNNNNNNNNNNNNNNNNNNNNNNNNNNNNNNNNNNNNNNNNNNNNNNNNNNNNNNNNNNNNNNNNNNUGGGGGAUCUGCAUCUGUGCCAGCCCGGGCCAGCUCGCAAAAGCUGUUUUGCGCGAACUGCAAACGCGUUUGCGGGCCGGCGCGAUGCGGGGUCUGCUAUAGUUGCUCUAAGACCAUCUCCAACAGGCCCCCAAAAGCUACUCCGCGCGCUAAAAGAUCUUUUUUUUGGGCGCCGGACAGCUCCAAAGNNNNNNNNNNNNNNNNNNNNNNNNNNNNNNNNNNNNNNNNNNNNNNNNNNNNNNNNNNNNNNNNNNNNNNNNNNNNNNNNNNNNNNNNNNNNNNNNNNNNCCUCCAGCAAGUCUAUGUCGGUGACCCCCCUUCUGACGACAUCUACGAGUGCGUCGACCAGAGGCUUGAUGUCGUUCUUCUCCGCCUUCGUGAGCGCAAGCUGCUUAGGCAGAGCGGGCCGAUCUAAGCUAAAGGGAGGCAACCCUGUCGUGGCAUUCGGGCAGGCAACGUCCUGGCAGUAGAACCACGUCGACUGCCAGUUCCUGACCGACUCACUCAGCUGAAGGGCAGGAUAACUACUCCGACUCUUUUUCUGGAAACCUAAGCCUCCGCAGAGCUGGAGAAGAUGUGUCUUAUCGUCCGACUGGCUGAGUUGUUUGAUGGUUUGAGAUCUAGAAGAGAAUAUGUGCUUGAACAGCCCCCAAUGGGGAGGACAGCCAAUGAAGCACUCGCACAGAACUAUGAAAGCAGAAAGAUAGGCAAUAGCGUUCGGGGGAAAGUGGUGAAGCUAUGCCCCGAAGUGAUUCAUAAUGCCCUUGAAGAAAGGAUGCGGGGGCAAGGAGAAACCUCGAUAGACAUGGCUGAGCAGCAGGACGCGCUCCCCCUCCCGGGGCGCCGGCUCGACCUCAUUCUCCGUCGGCAGCCUCCAAGAUUUGUGCACGAUCAUCCCGUGCUCCACCAGCUGCAGCAGAUCCCCCUCCGUCACCGUGGAGGGGAGGAAGUCGCCUUGAAUACACCCCGCCAGCAGCGGUCGCUGCCGCCGCUGAGCAGGAGCCGCCGCCUUCCCCUUCUUCUUCCUUGCCUCCAUCUUGCUGGUCUGACCCUUGGUCAUGGCGGAAGCUGCGGAUCCGCGGGGAGGAAGGNNNNNNNNNNNNNNNNNNNNNNNNNNNNNNNNNNNNNNNNNNNNNNNNNNNNNNNNNNNNNNNNNNNNNNNNNNNNNNNNNNNNNNNNNNNNNNNNNNNNACCAUAGUUUGAGGAGUUCAUGUGUUCACCAAGUGCUAAUGCGUUGUUCCGGUUCUUUAUUAAAAGGAGAACCUUAAUAUCUCGUAGUAUCCUUUUGGACCCCUCUGCCACGGGAGGGAUGGACAAUAGAUGUCAUGUAAUUUCUUUUCCCUAAGCACGUAUGACGACACACGGAAUGCAUGCCUACAUAACAUUGACGAACGGGAGCUAGCCACAUAUCUCUUCGUGUUAUAACUGUUGCAUGAUGAAUGUCAUCCAAACAAAUCACCGACCCAUUGCCUACGAGUUUGUCCCACUGCUGUUGUUAGUUGUUUUGCUUUGUUGCUGUUACUUGUUUUGCUCUGCUGCUGUUACUACUGUUGUUGCUGCUGUUACUUGCUUUGCUCUGAUGUUACUUGCUACUGUUGCUACUUGCUACUGCUGUCACUACUAUUGUUCCUUCCCACUAUUGUUACUCGUUACACUGCUGCUACCUGCUACAAUACUUUUUCUCGCACCGUUGCCGGGAAAGAAUAUUUCCCGUCCACAGGCAACUUCUGGCGCCAUUGAUACAACCGUUAGGAAUAGUCUGCCGUUAACAUAUCAUUUCUGGCACCGUUGCUAUCAUACUACUUUGCUACUGAUACUUUGCUUGCACACACUAAUCUUUCAGGUGUGGUUGAAUCUGACACAUUCAGCUGCUAAUACUUGAGAAUAUCCUUUCACUUCCUGUCGGGCGAACCAACAAAUUUGGGUUGAAUACUCUACCCUCGAAAACUGCCGUGAACCCACGCACUGGUGGGCCAUUGCAAGACAAUUGCUAAUUGUUGAGCAACUGGGAGCAGUCACCGCACGGUAUGAACCCAAAACCAAGCACUUCUCCCAUUGCAAGAAUCAUAUAUCUAGUUGUCCAAACAAAACCCACAACUCGAAGAGAAUUAUAAGGAUAUGAAAUCAUGCAUAAGAGAGAUCAGAAGAAACUCAAAUAUGAUUCGUAGAUAAUCUGAUAAUAAAUCCACAAUUCAUCAGAUCUCGACAAACACAACGCAAAAGAAGAUUACAUCGGAUAGAUCUCCAUGAAGAUCAUGGAGAACUUUGUAUUGAAGAUCCAAGAGAGAGAAGAAGCCAUCUAGCUACUAGCUAUGGACCCGUAGGUCUAUGGUGAACUACUCACGCAUCAUCAGAGAGGUCAUGGUGUUGAUGAAGAAGCCCUCCGUGUCCGAAUCCCCCCUUCGGCAGGGCACUAGGACGUGCCCCAGAUGUGAUCUUGCGGAGACAGAAGCUUGCGGCGGCGGAAAAGCGAUUGCGAUGUUCUCCUGCUUUUUCUGGAAUAUAUGGGAAUAUAUAGGCGAAAGACAUAGGGCAAAGGGCGUCCAGGGGGCCCACAAGCCUGGAUGGNNNNNNNNNNNNNNNNNNNNNNNNNNNNNNNNNNNNNNNNNNNNNNNNNNNNNNNNNNNNNNNNNNNNNNNNNNNNNNNNNNNNNNNNNNNNNNNNNNNNUGUUAUGGGGACCCCCUUGAUAAUUCGUUUUAGAUUAAAGCUGGUCUGGCAAGGCCCAACAUUGGUUUUACAUUUGCCCAACAUAAUAAUUUUGAUAAUACUGAAAUGCAUAGGGAGUUAGCGCUACCCGAGGAGUAAUUUUACAUAAACAGGAGGGGCCAGUGCUGAUGGUGUUGGUCCCAAACGGUCUGCCUGCGAGGCCACCGCGAGGAAACUCGAGGUUUGGCACUCGUAGCUAGUUCCAUCCGUCGUGUCCUGAGAACGAGAUACGCGGCUCCUAUCGGGUACGUCGACACGUCGGGCGGCCUUGCUGGAUUAGUUUUACCUUUGACGAGAUAUCUUGUGCAUCGGGAUUCCGGUGAUGCUUUGGGUAAUCUCAGAGUUGAGGUUUUCCACUAGGGAAAUCGACGAGAUCGCGAGCUUCGUGAUUGAGGAUUUCUACGCGGCUUGUGGUAAUUUGUGAUGGACUAGUUGGAGCACCCCUGCAGGGUUAAAUCUUUCAGAAAGCCGUGCCCGCGGUUAUGUGGCAACGUGGAUACUUUGUUUAACACUGGUUCUAGAUAACUUGAAGUUAACUUAAUUAAAAUAUGCCAACUGUGUACGUAACCGUGACUGUCUCUUUCGUGAGUUCCUUCUCCGAUCGAGGACACGGUGGGGUUAUGUCUGACGUAGGUAGGUGUUCAGGAUCAUUCAUUUGAUCAUCUGUAGAUCACGACCGUUAUGCGUAGAUCUUCCCCCUCUUAUUCCUGGUACUCGUAAGUUAGCCACCAAAUAUAUGCUUAGUCGCUGCUGCAACCUCACCACUUAACCAUACCUCACCCAUUAAGCUUUGCUAGUCUUGAUACCUUUGGAAAUGAGAUUGCUGAGUCCCCUGUGGCUCACAGAUUACUACAACACCAGUUGCAGGUACGGGUAAAGGUUACUUAACGUGAGCGCGUUGAUUGUUCAUUUGGAGAUGCUUCUUCUUCUUCUUCUUCUUCUUCGAUCUAGGAUGGGUUCCAGGCCGGCAGCCUGGGAUAACAAGGAUGGACGUCGUUCUUCUUUUGUCGUUUGUUUUCGUCCGUAGUCGGACCCUGCUCUUACUCUUGAUGAUUAUGUAAUGUACUGAUGUGACUCUGAUGUAGCUUGUGGCGAGUGUAAGCCAACNNNNNNNNNNNNNNNNNNNNNNNNNNNNNNNNNNNNNNNNNNNNNNNNNNNNNNNNNNNNNNNNNNNNNNNNNNNNNNNNNNNNNNNNNNNNNNNNNNNNUAAGAGCAGGGUCCGACUACGGACGAAAACAAACGACAAAAGAAGAACAACGUCCAUCCUUGCUAUCCCAGGCUGCCGGCCUGGAACCCAUCCUAGAUCGAUGAAGAAGAAGAAGAAGAAGAAGCAACUCCAAAUGAACAAUCAACGCGCUCACGUUAAGUAACCUUUACCCGUANNNNNNNNNNNNNNNNNNNNNNNNNNNNNNNNNNNNUGAAGAAGAAGAAGAAGAAGAAGCAACUCCAAAUGAACAAUCAACACGCUCGCGUUAAGUAACCUUUACACGUACCUGCAACUGGUGUUGUAGUAAUCUGUGAGCCACAGGGGACUCAGCAAUCUCAUUUCCAAAGGUAUGAAGACUAGCAAAGCUUAAAUGGGUGAGGGAAGGUUAAGUGGUGAGGAUGCAGCAGCGACUAAGCAUAUAUUUGGUGGCUAAACUUACGAGUACAAGAAGUAAGAGGGGGAAGAUCUACGCAUAACGGACGUGAACUACUGAUGAUCAAAUGAAUGAUCCUGAACACCUACCUACGUCAGACAUAACCCCACCGUGUCCUCGAUCGGAGAAAGAACUCAAGAAAGAGACAGUCACGGUUACGCACACAGUUGGCAUGUUUUAAUUAAGUUAACUUCAAGUUAUCUAGAACCAGUGUUAAACAAAGUUUCCACGUUGCCACAUAACCGCGGGCACGGCUUUCCGAAAGAUUUAACCCUGCAGGGGUGCUCCAACUAGUCCAUCACAAAUUACCACAAGCCGCNNNNNNNNNNNNNNNNNNNNNNNNNNNNNNNNNNNNNNNNNNNNNNNNNNNNNNNNNNNNNNNNNNNNNNNNNNNNNNNNNNNNNNNNNNNNNNNNNNNNUAGGAAGCUGAGCUCACCCAAUUCCUCCGUGAGAACUGGGACAUCUUCGCAUGGAAACCCUCUGACAUGCCAGGUGUACCCAGGGAGUUGGCUGAGCACCGACUACAUGUGGACCCCGUCGCCCGGCCCGUCCGAGAGCGCCUGCGCCGGUCUGCCGCGCACAAGAGGAAGGCAAUCGGGGAGGAGGUGGCGAAGCUGCUGGCAGCCAACUUCAUUCGCGAGGUUCACCACUCCGAGUGGCUCGCCAAUGUUGUCAUGGUGCCCAAGAAGGACAAGUCGCUCCGAAUGUGCAUCGACUUCAAGCAUCUCAAUAAGGUCUGCCCGAAAGACCAUUUUCCGCUCCCCCGCAUAGAUCAAAUUGUCGAUUCGACUGCGGNNNNNNNNNNNNNNNNNNNNNNNNNNNNNNNNNNNNNNNNNNNNNNNNNNNNNNNNNNNNNNNNNNNNNNNNNNNNNNNNNNNNNNNNNNNNNNNNNNNNNNNNNNNNNNNNNNNNNNNNNNNNCGAGCAUUUGUCAUUUCUUGAUGCCUACUCGGGCUAUCCUCAGAUCCGUCUGUAUGGCCCCGAUGAAUUAAAGACAGCCUUCAUCACCCCAUUCGGGUGCUUCUGCUACAUCACUAUGCCAUUUGGUUUGAAGAAUGCAGGAGCUACCUUUAUGCGCAUGAUCCAAAAAUGCCUUCUCGACCAGAUCGGUUGGAAUGUGGAGGCAUAUAUGGAUGAUAUCGUAGUCAAGUCACGCAAAGGUUUCGACCUGCUGACUGACUUGGCAGAAACAUUCGCCAACCUUCGUAUAUACGAUAUCAAGCUCAACCCCGCCAAAUGUUCAUUCGGCGUUCCCAGCGGGAAGUUACUCGAUUUCUUCGUUUCCGAACGAGGGAUCGAUGUCAACCCCGAAAAGAUCGGGACCAUCGUCCGAAUGGAGAGGCCAGUCAGAAUACACGAUGUUCAACGGCUCACAGGUUGCCUAGCGGCUUUGAGCAGGUUCAUCAGUCGACUCGGCGAGAAAGUACUUCCUCUGUACCGACUCAUGAAGAAAUCAGAUACUUUCGAGUGGACAGACGAAGCCCAAGUCGCAUUCGACGACCUCAAAGUCCUACUUUCCACCCAGACAGUUCUUACUGCUCCGCUCAGUAAAUAGCCCCUUCUUCUGUAUAUCGCGGCUACAAAUCAAGUCGUCAGUACUGUUCUUACAGUCGAACGAGAAGAAGAAGGCAAAGCAUACAAAGUGCAGCGGCUAGUGUACCACGUCUCCGAGGUCCUGACUCCUUCCAAGCAGAGGUAUCCCCACUAUCAAAAACUUAUCUACGGGAUUUAGAUGACUGCGAAGAAGGUGGCCCAUUAUUUCCAAGACCACUCGGUGUCUGUCGUUUCUGAUGCUCCGUUGUCGGAAAUUCUCCACAAUCGAGACGCGUCAGGCCAUGUGGCGAAGUGGGCAAUGGAGAUGCUGUACUGCGAUAUCAAGUUCGAGGCCAAGAAAGCUAUUAAGUCUCAAGCUCUGGCUGACUUCAUAGCAGAAUGGGUAGAACAACAGCAACCGACCCACAUCUACUCGGCCCAUUGGACAAUGUUCUUCGAUGGGUCCAAGAUGUUGAAUGGCUCCGGCGCUGGCGUUGUGAUCAUAUCGCCAAAGGGCGACAAACUCAAGUACGCGCUAUAGAUACACUUCAAUUCCUCCAACAACGAGGCAGAGUAUGAAGCUCUCCUCUACGGAUUGCGCAUGGCCAUCUCACUCGGCGUCCGUCGCCUGANNNNNNNNNNNNNNNNNNNNNNNNNNNNNNNNNNNNNNNNNNNNNNNNNNNNNNNNNNNNNNNNNNNNNNNNNNNNNNNNNNNNNNNNNNNNNNNNNNNNAGAUGUCGAACCCCAACCUAACAUCAUGCAUUUUGUUGGAAGAUUAUCCUAUAAGCAACUACUUGAAUUCCCACCUAAGAAUUCCCGAAAUAUCUGGUCAUGCAAUCUGGUACACGGAUACAAGGAGUAAAAACACACAACUCCUAUACUAAUCCGUCACCUGUAUCACAUCCGUCCACACACAACCAAAAUCUCGGACCUUCAUCUACAACAGACCCUCGUGAUCACAACGGUACAAAGUAUGGCAGUACUCCCGAACAAUCUGCACCAGUACUGGGGACAUCGGGGUUAUGUCGCCACUACUAGUAUUGAAGCAAUUACGAACAUCCUUUGUCCUGAGAUACUAAGAAAUCUGAAUGAUAGCGAUGUGCUCGAGAAUCCCCUGGAGCUCAACUCCCCGGAAGAAAAUCAAGUCGGACAGGAGGCACCAAGACAGAACUCCGUCACAUCGGCAUCAUAUAGAUCUCAAAAAUAUCCGCGUGAUCCUAAAAAAAAUUUGAGUGAGAAGAGGAGUAGAAUUAAAAUAUUACGUCAAGAUUCCUCACCAGAGCAUAGAAGAGGAGAAAAAAGAAUCCUACUCUCCGAUAUGUAACUAAGACUCAAAUAGUUUUUUCACUAGACUCCACUCGGCGAAGUUCGAUCAAUCAAGGGGGCUCCUAGGUCGGUCCUUGCUCUGAUACCAACUUGUCACGCCCAAGAAGCGACCCUAUCCUCAAUUUGGCACGAAGGCCUCGUCAGGGAUAGAAGCNNNNNNNNNNNNNNNNNNNNNNNNNNNNNNNNNNNNNNNNNNNNNNNNNNNNNNNNNNNNNNNNNNNNNNNNNNNNNNNNNNNNNNNNNNNNNNNNNNNNCCCCCAGGGUCUACUCCACACCAUAUUUUCAGCCUUACACUUUUUACUUCGUUGCACUUUCCGCCUUCAGAUCUCACUUUGCAAACAAUCUUGAAGGGAUUGACAACCCCUUUGGAACAUUGGUUGCAAGCUUGUUUGUGUUUGCGCGGGUACUCUAGACUUGACGAGACCCUCCUUCUGGAUCGAUACCUUGGUUCUCAAACUAAGGGAAAUACUUACUGCUCCUGUGCUGCAUCACCCUUUCCUCUUCAAGGGAAGAACCAACGCAAGCCCAGCCUCUGUCAACGUGUCAAUUUCUGGCGUCGUUGUCUGUGGGAUAGGAAAAGAAUUUAUGGCGCCGUUGCCGGGGAGGAAGAUCAAGUCAAGAACUCAUCCAAGUAGGUGUCGCAAACUCAUCUCAUGCAUUUACUUUGUUUGCCACUUGCCUCUCGUUUUCCUCUCCCCCACUUCACCAAUUUGCCUUUUUCGUUCGCCUUCUUGUUCGCCCUUUUUCUCGCCUGCUCUUUGUUUGCUUGUGUGCUUGCUUGCCUGCUAAAGCCCGAAUGGCCCCACUAAGGGAUUUUGAUGCUCACUUUGCGAAGUUAGAAGAGAUUGAAACUAGUGUUAAAGGCUUCAUGUCUACACAGUUUGAAUAUAAUAGUUACUUCCGUAGAGAGCUGAAGGAGCAAAAUUCUUUUCUGGCUUUUAUGAGUAGAGAAGUUGAUGAUAUGGCCAAAGAAUUCCUUGCGCUGAAUUCUCAGUUUGCUCGUCUUGAAAAGCUAGUGGGCCAGAUUUCUUAUAAGCAAGCUACUUUAGUCAAUAAAAUGGCUGCUAAACCCAAAACUCGUGAUGAGAAUCACAAAGAUCUUAAAGUGCUUGGUGUGACUCCCAUUUAAUCUUUGUUUUCUUGUGUCAAACCUAAUGAUUAUGGGGCUGGAUAUGAAUCCACUUUGGUUGAAAAGUGCCCCAAUGAUUCAGAGUCCAUCUAUCUUAAUGCUAAAACCAUUAAAAGUGGAAUAGAAGAUGUUAAAACUUUGAGUAGUAAUGAAAUUACUAUACCGUGGAUUUCAAGGAAUUCAAUUAUGAUAGUUGCUCCUUGAUUGAAUGCAUUUCUUUGAUGCAAUCCAUGUUGAGCUCUCCACACGCUUAUAGCCAAAACAAAGCCUUUACCGAUCAUAUCGUCGAAGCUAUGAUAAAAUCUCUUGAGGAGAAACUUCAAUUGGAAGUCUCUAUCCCUAGAAAGCUUCAUGAUGAGUGGGAACCUACCAUCAAAAUCAAAAUCAAAAACUAUGAGUGCAAUGCCUUGGGUGAUUUGGGUGCUAGUGUUUCUGUGAUUCCAAAGUCUUUAUGUGAUGUUCUGGGUUUUAAUGAGAUUGAAGAGUGUUCUCUUAAUUUGCAUCUUGCUGAUUCUACGGUCAUGAAACCCAUGGGAAGGAUCAAUGAUGUUCUAAAUAUUGCAAGUAGGAACUAUGUACCCGUGGAUUUCACUGUGCUUGACAUUGAUUGCAAUCCUACUUGUCCUAUUAUUCUUGGUAGACCUUUCCUAAGGACUAUCGGUGCUAUCAUCGAUAUGAAGGAAGGGAAUAUUAGAUUUCAAUUUCCUUUAAGGAAGGGCAUGGAACACUUUCAUAGAAAGAAAAUAAGAUUGCCUUAUGAAUCCAUGAUGAGGGCCACUUAUGGUUUGAGCACCAAAGACGACGAUACGUGAUUCUAUCGCUUCUAUGCCUAGCUAAGGGCGUUAAACAAUAGCGCUUGUUGGGAGGCAACCCAAUGAAUUUAUCUUUUGCUUUCUGUUUUGUUGCGUCCACGCUUUCACAAUUAUGUUGUGAUUGUGUUUUUUGUGUUUCUUUUUGUGUUUGAGCCAAGCAAAACCUUUAUGACUAGUCUUGGUAAUGGUUGUUUGAUCCUGCUGGAAAAAGACAGCAACUUUUCGCUCACGAGAUGAUUUUUCAUUUUUAUUCAGAAAGAGCUUUUGAGUUGAUUAUUUUUGCUGCUGAUUGAUAUGAUUUUUUUCCAGGCCGUCGUAAUUGUUCAGAUUUUUUGAGGUAACAGAAGUAUACGAAGUAUACAGAUUGCUACAGACUCGUCUCUUUUUGACAGAUUCUGUUUUUGUUGAGUUGGUUGCUUGUUUUGAUGAANNNNNNNNNNNNNNNNNNNNNNNNNNNNNNNNNNNNNNNNNNNNNNNNNNNNNNNNNNNNNNNNNNNNNNNNNNNNNNNNNNNNNNNNNNNNNNNNNNNNUUUUCAGAUCUGAUUUUGGAACGGAGUCCAAACGGAAUAAAAUCCCCGAAAUGAUAUUUUCCCGAACAGAAGAAGAUCAGGGGGCUUGUGGGCAGGCUUGUGGCCUACCUGGCACCCCCUGACCUAGAUCCUGCGCCUAUAUAUUCCCUAAAAUACAGAAAAAAAUCAAGGGAUCCACGAAAAUACUUUUCCGCCGCUGCAAGCUUCCGUUGCCGCGAGAUCUCAUCUGGAGACCCUUCCCGGUGCCGUGCCGGAGGGGACUUUGGAGUUGGAGGGCUUCUACAUCAACACCAUCGCCCCUCCAAUGACUCGUGAGUAGUUCACUUCAGACCUACGGGUCCGUAGUUAGUAGCUAGAUGGCUUCUUAUCUCUCUUGGAUCUUCAAUACAAAGUUCUCCAUGAUCUUCAUGGAGAUNNNNNNNNNNNNNNNNNNNNNNNNNNNNNNNNNNNNNNNNNNNNNNNNNNNNNNNNNNNNNNNNNNNNNNNNNNNNNNNNNNNNNNNNNNNNNNNNNNNNNNNNNNNNNNNNNNNNNNNNNNNNNNNNNNNNNNNNNNNNNNNNNNGGUGUGUUUGUCGAGAUUCGAUGAAUCGUGGACUUGUGAUCAGAUUAUCUAUGAUAUAUAUUUGAGUCUUUGCUGAUUUCUUAUAUGCAUGAUUUGAUAUCCUUGNNNNNNNNNNCUCUUUGGCGGUGUGUUUGUCGAGAUCCGAUGAAUUGUGGAUUUGUGAUCAGAUUAUCUAUGAAAUAUAUUUGAGUCUUUGCUGAUUUCUUAUUUGCAUGAUUUGAUAUCCUUGUAAGUCUCUCUGAGUCUUGGGUUUUGUUUGGCCAACUAGAUCUAUGAUUCUUGCAAUGGGAGAAGUGCUUGGUUUUGGGUUCAUACCGUGUGAUGACCUUUCCCAGUGACAGAAGGGGCAGCAAGGCACGCAUCGUGUUGUUGCCAUCAAGGGUAACAAGAUGGGCUUUCAUCGUAGAUAUGAGAUUGUCCAUCUACAUCAUGUCAUCUUGCUUAAGGCAUUACUCUGUUCUUUUGAACUUAAUACACUAGAUGCAUGCUGGAUAGCGGUCGAUGUGUGGAGUAAUAGUAGUAGAUGCAGAAAGUAUUGGUCUAAUUGUUUUGGACGUGAUGCCUAUAGAUAUAAUCAUUGCCUUAGAUAACGUCACGACUUUGCGCGGUUCUAUCAAUUGCUCGACAGUAAUUCGUUCACCCACCGUCUAUUUGCUUUCAUGAGAGAAGCCACUAGUGAACACUAUGGCCCCCGGGUCUAUUCACAACUAUCGUUUCCACUUUCACUUUUACUUUGCUUUGUUUACUCUUUGCUUUUAGUUCUCACUUUGCAAACAAUCUAUAAGGGAUUGACAACCCCUUCACAGCAUUGGGUGCAAGCUCGUUGUGUUUGUGCAGGUACUUGCGACUUGAACGCUCCCCCUACUGGAUUGAUACCUUGGUUCUCAAACUGAGGGAAAUACUUACCGCCACUGUGCUACAUCACCCUUUCCUCUUCAAGGGAACACCAACGCAAGGCUCCAAGGCCGCGGGGAAAUCCUUUGCAUAUUUGCUAAGGAAGUCCCUAUAGGCGUAGUCGUAGAAGCAGGAUUCCUGGCGCCGUUGCCAGGGAAGGUCUGUUGUCGCAGUAGCAGAAGGAUUUCUGGCGCCGUUGCCGGGGAGGAGGAUCAAGUCAAGAAUAAGUCUCCCGUCAAAGUGCCGAUUUCGGGCGCCGUUGCAAGGGAGGAGAUCUAGCCAAGUAGGUGUCCCAAACUCAUCUCUUGCAUUUACCUUUUUUGCCAGUUGCCUCUCGUUUUCCUCUCCCCCACUUCACAUUUGUCGUUUUCAUUUGCCUUUCUCCCUUGCCGUUUUCAUUUGCCUUUUUGCCUUUUUCGUUUGCCUUUUUACGUUUGCCUUUUUCGUUCGCCCUUUCCUCUUGCUUGCUUUCUAUUUGCUUGUGUGCCAUGUGCCUUCAAUAUGCUUGCAUCUUCGCUUGCUGAAAAUCUAGUGAUAUGGAUCCUCAUCCACUUGCUAAUCUCUUUAAGAGAUCCAAUUAUGUUGAUCCAAUUGCUAGUGAGUUGAGUGCACUUGACUAUCUUUAUGGAGUUUUGCUUGAGAUGCGUGAAUCUGAAAACUGUGAGGAAGAAAAUUAUGAAGUGAUUCACGAGGGCUCCUUGGAUAAAAAGCAUGAUUGCAAUGGUUUCACUAUAAAUUCUAUUAGUGACAAUCAUGCUAAAACUAUGCAAAACCCUAAGCUUGGGGAUGCUAGUUUUGCUACUUGUUGCAAUGAUCGUGAUUGGGGUGACAAUUUUUCUUAUGAUCUUGAAAUUUUGUUUAAGCCUCAUGAUGAUUAUGAUAUUUGCAACAAUAUUGAAAGUGGGAUUGGAGAAGUCAUGACUUUAUUUGAUGAUAAUCCCACUAUUUUUGAAGAGCGACAACUUUGCAUGCAUGUGGAUCAUGAAAAGAAUAUCCUAUGUGAUAGCUACAUUGUUGAAUUCGAAUAUGAUCCCACAUGUAAUUGCUAUGAGAGAGGAAAAUAUGGUGGUAGAAACUUUCAUAUCACUAAAUCANNNNNNNNNNAUUGUCUCUUUCUUCUUCCUUGCAUUUGGUAACUAUUGGUUGUCUUUCCAAUUUGUUUUCCUAUAAAAUGCCUAUGCAUAGGAAGUAUGUAAGACUUAGAUGUGAUUUUCACAUGCUUUAUGAUGCUCUCGUUGUGCUUCAACUCUUGUCUUUUGUGUGAGCAUCAUUGAUGCCUAGCUAAGGGCGUUAAACAAUAGCGCUUGUUGGGAGGCAACCCAACGAAUCUAUCCUUUUUCUUUUUGUUUUGUGUUUUUCACACUUUCAUAAUUCUGUUAUGAUUGUGUUUUUUGUGUUUCUUUUUGUGCUUGUGCCAAGCAAAACCGUUAUGAUUACUCUUGGGGAUGAUCGUUUGGUCAUGCUGGAAAAGACAGAAACUUUCUGCUCACGAAAAUAAUUUUCCUUUUUUUCUGUAAGAGAUUUUGAGUUGAUUAUUUUUGCUGCUGAUUUCUACGCAAAUUCUUCAGACUGUCGUAAUUUUUUCAGAAUUUUUGAAGUACAAAAGUAUACGAAGUAUACAGAUUGCUACAGACUGGUCUGCUGUUAACAGAUUCUGUUUUUGUUGAGUUGGUUGCUUAUUUUGAUGAAACUAUGGAUAAUAUCAGGGGGUAUUAGCCAUGGAAGAUUGAAAAUACAGUAACCCAACAUCAACAUUAGUAUAAUUUAAGUUUUCUACAGUACCUAAGGAAGUGGUGGUUUGCUUUCUUAUACUAAUGUUAUCACGAGUUUCUGUUUAAGUUUCGUGUUGUGAAGUAUUCAAGUUUUGGGUGAAGUUCUUAUGGACAAAGAGAUAAAGAGUGGCAAGAGCUCAAGCUUGGGGAUGCCCAAGGCACCCCAAGUUGAUUCAAGGAUGUUGUAAAAGCCUAAGCUUGGGGAUGCCCCGGGAAGGCAUCCCCUCUUUCGUCUUCAAUCCAUCGGUAACGUUACUUGGGGCUAUAUUUUUAUUCACCACAUGUUAUGUGUUUUGCUUCGAGCGUCUUGUAUCGUAGGAGUCUUUUAUUUUUGUUGUGUCGCAAUCUUCCUUGCUACACACCUAGAGAGAGAGACAUGCACUCACCGUGAUUUUGUCGAGCUUCACUUAUAUCCUUUGGUUAGACAAUUCAGCUCACUUGUGCUUCACUUAUAUCUUUUGAGCUAGUUGCUUUUGCUAUAUGUGCUUCACUUGUAUAUUUUAGAGCACGGAAGCACGUGGCUUGGUAGUUGAUCUAUGCUAUGAUAGUAGUCUCAAAAGGGAUAGUUAUCCAAAGGGAUAUGAAAACUUCCACCUUCAUGUCCAUUGAAUAGUUAGAGAAGUUUGAUUCAUCUCAAUUAGUUUUGAGUUGUGGUUGUGGUAAUAUUGAAGUUAUAUUAGUAAGGUGUUGUGGAUCUAGAAAUACUUGUGUUGAAGUUAGUGAUUCCCGUAGCAUGCACGUNNNNNNNNNNNNNNNNNNNNNNNNNNNNNNNNNNNNNNNNNNNNNNNNNNNNNNNNNNNNNNNNNNNNNNNNNNNNNNNNNNNNNNNNNNNNNNNNNNNNUUAAAGAUAAUGACCAAUAUGGUGUAGAUCUUGUAGUAAUAGAAAACAUAGUCUGACUAUUGUCAGUAGAUGUUUAUAAUUCUAUUACCUUAUGUUAUGCUAAAUGUAUGAAAUCACUUUGAAGGCAAUCAUUUGUCAAAGUGACAUAUGUAGACCUUGCAGUAAUAGUGAUAGUCUGUAAUUUUUUUUUUACAGUAGAUGCCAAUAUUACCUUAUGAUAUCUAGAGGUAGUCAUAUAUUAAUAUUUGGAAGGGCACUUUGAAGGUAAUCAUCUUGUAAAACACAAGAUGUAGACCUCAUAGUAGUGAUGAAUAAUCUACGAAUUGUGCAGUAGAUGUCAUCAGUACCUUGUAAUUCACAAAUAAAAAUUUAGAUGCCGCCAUAUCAAGUAUGAGACUACGUAAUCCUUGUUUGGAAUUACAAUAAGAUUUGCAAAAAUUAAAAUUAAUUGCAAAAAUAUAGUUGUUCUCCAAAAACACAUGCCUUAGGGAAUGUUAGGGGCAAAGACAUAUAUUGUCUUAAAUUCCGAAGGAAUAAAUGCACGUAAAACAUUCUUUUGCAUUUAUAUUAGUAUUACUGUGGUAAUACGUAUAGAUGCAAAACUUAAUAAUUUACAUAUUUAUGUAAUAUAUGAAGACAUGAGGCUUCACAUGAUAUUUUACAAGAUGUAAAAUGCUGCAUAAUUAUAUUUUAUGCAGUCUUGAAAGCCAUAAAGGUCUAACAUGAGGGGAAAGGGAAUAUCUUAUGCACAAAUGGAAUGCAGUCAGAGGACUAGCUGCAAAACUGUGAAGAAUAAGAUUCCUCAUCGUUUUCGUUCUUGUGCUUGGAUAGAACUGAAAUCGGAAAGUAGCACCUUGAUUCUUGUACGUAGCAAUUAGAUCCAGGCUUUCGUAUUUGCUUCGGUUGCUUGUUAACUCCGAUUUCUCUCUUUCAUGAUUCCAUCCAUGAUCCAUCAGGCCAGGAAUUUGCAUGUAUGCAGAAAAUGAAGAUCACCAGAGCCCAGAGACUGGUAUGGGACCGCCCGAAUUGCUGCCUCUAUUGUUUGAUGAAGUUGCAGUGCGUCGGUCGUUCCCACAAGCGUUGGACGGAUCUGUCGUACAACGAAGGCUAUCGUUGCUCCAUGGCCAUGGUCGUCCGUAAGCGCCAUGUCGAUGAUGGCCUAGUCGUUCUGUCGGGACGGAGUCAUGUACUGGCUGGAUGUCCUGGGCCGUGGGUACGAUGUCCUGGGCUGAGCGCCCCUGCCAGGGGGCAUCAGCGUUUCAUGCACCGGAGGUUGAUCCUUCUUUCAUGUGUGUGCAGAUCCGAUGAAGAGAUUCAUNNNNNNNNNNNNNNNNNNNNNNNNNNNNNNNNNNNNNNNNNNNNNNNNNNNNNNNNNNNNNNNNNNNNNNNNNNNNNNNNNNNNNNNNNNNNNNNNNNNNNNNNNNNNNNNNNNNNNNNNNNNNNNNNNNNNNGUCUGUGUGCAGCAACGUACAAAUCUACACACAGGUCGAUCACGAACUCUGUAGCAUAACUAAAGUUAGCCAAUCAUGAACCUAGACGAACAGCUCGAGNNNNNNNNNNNNNNNNNNNNNNNNNNNNNNNNNNNNNNNNNNNNNNNNNNNNNNNNNNNNNNNNNNNNNNNNNNNNNNNNNNNNNNNNNNNNNNNNNNNNGGGACGUGAGGACGUUCCACUACAUCAACCGCGUUCUCUAACGCUUCUGCUGUACGAUCUACAAGGGUACGUAGAUCACUCAUCCCCGCUCGUAGAUGCACAUCACCAUGAUAGGUCUUCGUGCGCGUAGGAAAUUUUUUGUUUCCCAUGCGACGUUCCCCAACAGAGAACUCUUCUACCUCUCUGUCUCUCUUGCUGGAUCAAGAAGGCCGAGAUCAUCGUCGAGCUGUACGUUUGCUGAACGCGGAGGUGCCGUCCGUUCGGUACUAGAUCGUGGGACUGAUCGCGGGAUUGUUCGCGGGGCGGAUCGAGGGACGUGAGGACGUUCCACUACAUCAACCGCGUUCUCUAACGCUUCUGCUGUACGGUCUACGAGGGUAUGUAGAUCACUCAUCCCCUCUCGUAGAUGGACAUCAGCAUGAUAGGUCUUCGUGCGCGUAGGAAAAUUUUUGUUUCCCAUGCGACGUUCCCCAACAGUGGCAUCAUGAGCUAGGUUCAUGCGUAGAUGUCUUCUCGAGUAGAACACAAAAGUUUUUGUGGGCGGUGAUGUGCGUUUUGCUGCCCUCCUUAGUCUUUUCUUGAUUCCACGGUAUUGUUGGAUUGAAGCGGCUUGGACCGACAUUACUCGUACGCUUACGGGAGACUGGUUUGAUCGUUACGAGUAACCCCCUUUGCUCAAAGAUGACUGGCAAGUGACGGUUUCUCCAACUUUAGUUGAAUCGGAUUUGACCGAGGAGGUCCUUGGAUGAGGUUAAAUAGCAACUCAUAUAUCUCCGUUGUGGUGUUUGCGUAAGUAAGAUGCGAUCCUACUAGAUACCCUUGGUCACCACGUAAAACUUGCAACAACAAAAUUAGAGGACGUCUAACUUGUUUAUGCAGGGUAGGAUUGUGAUGUGAUAUGGCCAACGAUGUGAUGUGAUAUAUUGGAUGUAUGAGAUGGUCAUGUUGUAAUAGAAAUAUCGACUUGCACGUCGAUGGUACGGCAACCGGCAGGAGCCAUAGGGUUGUCUUUAUACUAACGUUUGUGCUUGCAGAUGCGUUUACUAUUUUGCUAGGAUGUAGUUUUAGUAGUAAUAGCAUAAGUAGCACGACAACCCCGAUGGCAACACGUUGAUGGAUGAUCAUGGUGUGGCGCCGGUGACAAGAAGAUCGUGCCGGUGCUUUGGUGAUGGAGAUCAAGAAGCACGUGAUGAUGGCCAUAUCAUGUCACUUAUGAAUUGCAUGUGAUGUUAAUCCUUUUAUGCACCUUAUUUUGCUUAGAACGACGGUAGCAUUAUGAGGUGAUCUCUCACUAAAAUUUCAAGACGAAAUUGUGUUCUCCCCGACUGUGCACCGUUGCUACAGUUCGUCGUUUCGAGACACCACGUGAUGAUCGGGUGUGAUAGACUCAACGUUCACAUACAACGGGUGCAAAACAGUUGCGCACGCGGAACACUCGGGUUAAGCUUGACGAGCCUAGCAUGUGCAGACAUGGCCUCGGAACACAUGAGACCGAAAGGUCGAUCGUGAAUCAUAUAGUUGAUAUGAUUAGCAUAGGGAUGCUUACCACUGAAACUAUACCCAACUCACGUGAUGUUCGGACUUGGGAUAGUGUAAGUGGAUCAUGAACCACUCAAAUGACUAGAGAGAUGUACUUUUUGAGUGGGAGUUUAGCAUAUAAUUUGAUUAAGUUGAACUCUAAUUAUCUUGAACAUAGUCUAAGUCCACUUUGAAUAUAUUUGUGUUGUAGAUCAUGGCUCACGCAAGUGUCAUCCUGAAUUUUAAUACGUUCCUAGAGAAAGCUAAGUUGAAAGAUGAUGGAAGCAACUUUGUAGACUGGGCUCGUAAUCUUAAGCUAAUCUUACAAGCUGGGAAGAAGGAUUAUGUCCUUAAUGCUGCGCUAGGAGAUGAACCACCCGCUACGGCUGAUCAGGAUGUUAAGAAUGCUUGGUUAGCGCGUAAGGAGGACUACUUAAUAGUUCAAUGUGCAGUCUUGUAUGGCUUAGAACCGGGACUUCAACGUCGCUUUGAGCGUCAUGGAGCAUUUGAGAUGUUCCAGGAGUUGGAGUUUAUCUUUCAGAAGAACGCCCGGAUCGAGAGGUAUGAGACCUCCGAUAAAUUCUAUGCUUGCAAGAUGGAGGAAAACUCGUCUGUCAGUGAACAUGUGCUCAAAAUGUCUGGGUACUCAAACCGUCUAGCUGAGCUGGGGAUUGAACUCCCGCAAGAAGCUAUCACUGACAGAAUCCUUCAAUCACUGCCGCCAAGCUAUAAAGGCUUUGUGUUGAACUACAACAUGCAAGGGAUGAACAAGUCUCCCGGCGAGUUGUUUGCGAUGCUGAAAGUCGCAGAGUCAGAACUCCGUAAAGAGCAUCAAGUGUUGAUGGUGAUCAAGACCACUAGUUUCAAGAGAAACGGCAAAGGAAAGAAGGGCAAUUCGAAGAAGAGCGGCAAGCCUGUUGCCAAUCCGCCGAAGAAACCCAAAGCUGGACCUAAGCCUGAAACGGAGUGUUUCUAUUGCAAGGGUUUGGGUCACUGAAAGCGCAAUUGCCCCAAGUAUCUGGCAGAUAAGAAGGCGGGCAAAGAAAAAUCAGGUAUAUUUGAUAUACAUGUUAUUGAUGUGUACUUAACCGGCUCUCGUAGUAGUGCCUGGGUAUUCGAUACCGGUUCUGUUGCUCAUAUUUGCAACUCGAAACAGGAACUGUGGAAUAGGCGAAGGCUGGCGAAAGAUGAAGUGACGAUGCGCGUAGGAAAUGGUUCCAAGGUUGAUGCAAUCGCCGUCGGCACAGUGUCACUUCAGCUACCGUCGGGAUUAGUGGUGAACUUAAAUCAUUGUUAUUUAGUGCCUGCGUUGAGCAUGAACAUUAUAUCUGGAUCUUGUUUAUUGCGAGACGGUUACUCUUUUAAGUCUGAGAAUAAUGGUUGUUCUAUUUCUAUGAGUAACAUCUUUUAUGGUCAUGCACCGAAUGUGAGAGGAUUGUUCAUAUUGAAUCUUGAUAGCGAUACGCAUAUACAUAACAUUGAGACCAAAAGAGUUAGAGUAAACAAUGAUAGCGCCAUAUUUUUGUGGCACUGCCGCUUGGGUCAUAUCGGUGUAAAGCGCAUGAAGAAACUCCAUGCUGAUGGGCUUUUGGAGUCACUUGACUUUGAUUCACUUGACACGUGCGAACCAUGCCUCAUGGGCAAGAUGACUAAGACUCCGUUCUCCGGAACAAUGGAGCGUGCAAGUGACUUGUUGGAAAUCAUACAUACCGAUGUGUGUGGUCCGAUGAGCGUAGAGGCACGCGGCGGAUAUCGUUAUUUUCUCACCUUCACUCACGAUUUAAGUAGAUAUGGCUAUGUCUACUUGAUGAAGCACAAGUCUGAAACAUUUGAAAAGUUCAUGCAAUUUCAGAGUGAAGUGGAAAAUCAUCGUACCAAGAAGAUCAAGUUCCUACGGUCUGAUCGUGGGGGUGAAUAUCUGAGUUUCGAGUUUGGUGCUCACUUAAGACAAUGUGGAAUUGUUUCUCAGUUAACACCGCCUGGAACACCACAGCGUAAUGGUGUGUCCGAACGUCGUAAUCGUACUUUGUUAGAGAUGGUGCGAUCUAUGAUGUCUCUUACUGAUUUGCCAUUAUAAUUUUGGGGUUAUGCAUUAGAAACAGCUGCAUUCACUUUAAAUAGGGCACCAUCAAAAUCCGUUGAGACGACACCAUACGAACUAUGGUAUGGCAAAAGGCCAAAGUUGUCGUUUCUUAAAGUUUGGGGAUGUGAUGCUUAUGUCAAAAAGCUUCAGCCUGAAAAGCUGGAACCCAAAGCGGAAAAGGGGGUCUUCAUAGGUUACCCAAAAGAGACAGUUGGGUACACCUUCUAUCUCAAAUCCGAGGGCAAAGUGUUUGUUGCUGAAAAUGGAGCUUUUCUCGAGAAGGAGUUCCUCUCGAGAGAAUUGAGUGGGAGGAAGAUAGAACUUGACGAGGUUGUCGAACCUCUCAUCCCUCUGGAUGGUGGCGCAGGGCAAGGGGAAACCUCUGUCGUUGCAACGCCGGUUGAGGAGGAAGUUAAUGAUGAUGAUCAUGAAACUCCAGUUCAAGUUUCUGUUGAACCACGCAGGUCGACGAGAUCACGCGCUGCUCCAGAGUGGUACGGUAAUCCCGUCUUCGCAAUCAUGUUCUUAGACAACAAUGAACCUGCAAAUUAUGAAGAAGCAAUGGUGGGCCCAGAUUCCAACAAAUGGCUAGAAGCCAUGAAAUCCGAGAUAGGAUCCAUGUAUGAGAACAAAGUGUGGACUUUGGAGAUACUACCUGAGGGCCACAAGGCUAUUCAGAACAAAUGGAUCUUUAAGAAGAAGACGGACGCUGACGGCAAUGUGACCGUUUAUAAAGCUCGACUUGUGGCAAAGGGUUUUUCACAAGUUCCAGGAGUUGACUACGAUGAGACUUUCUCACCCGUAGCGAUGCUUAAGUCCGUCAGAAUCAUGUUAGCAAUAGCUGCAUUUUUCGAUUAUGAAAUCUGGCAGAUGGAUGUCAAAACGGCGUUCCUUAACGGUUUCCUUAAGGAAGAGUUGUAUAUGAUGCAACCCGAAGGUUUUGUCGAUCCUAAAAAUGCUGACAAGGUGUGCAAGCUCCAGCGAUCCAUUUAUGGACUGGUGCAAGCAUCUCGGAGUUGGAACAAACGCUUUGAUGAGGUGAUCAAAGCAUUUGGGUUUAUACAAGUGGUUGGAGAAUCUUGCUUUUACAAGAAAGUGAGUGGGAGCUCUGUGGCGUUUCUAAUAUUAUAUGUGGAUGACAUAUUACUGAUUGGAAACAAUGUAGAGCUUUUGGAGAGCAUAAAAGGUUACUUGAAUAAAAGUUUCUCUAUGAAGGACCUAGGAGAAGCUGCUUACAUUCUAGGCAUUAAGAUCUAUAGGGAUAGAUCGCCUGAUAGGACUUUCACAAAGCACAUACCUUGAUAAAGUUUUGAAGUGGUUCCAAAUGGAACAGUCCAAGAAAGGGUUCUUGCCAGUUUUACAAGGUACGAGAUUGAGUAAGACUCAGUGCCCAGCAACUGAUGAAGAUUGAGAGCAUAUGCGCUCCGUCCCCUAUGCUUCAGCCAUAGGUUCUAUCAUGUAUGCGAUGUUGUGCACUAGACCGGAUGUUAGCCUGGCCAUAAGUAUGGCAGGUAGGUUCCAGAGUAAUCCAGGAGUGGAUCACUGGACAGCGGUCAAGAAUAUCCUGAAGUACCUGAAAAGGACUAAGGAGAUGUUUCUCGUGUAUGGAGGUGAUGAAGAGCUCGCCGUAAAAGGUUACGUCGAUGCAAGCUUUGACACAGAUCCGGACGACUCUAAGUCGCAAACCGGAUACGUAUUUAUUCUUAAUGGGGGUGCAAUAAGCUGGUGCAGUUUCCAAGCAAAGCGUCGUAGCAGAUUCUACAUGUGAAGCGGAGUACAUGGCUGCCUCGGAGGCGGCUAAGGAGGGUGUCUGGAUGAAGCAGUUCAUGACGGAUCUUGGAGUGGUGCCAAGCGCACUGAAUCCAAUAACCUUGUUCUGUGACAACACUGGUGCCAUUGCCUUAGCAAAGGAACCAAGGUUUCACAAGAAGACCAGACACAUCAAACGACGCUUCAACCUCAUCCGCGACUACGUCGAGGAAGAGGACGUAAAUAUAUGCAAAGUGCACACGGAUCUGAAUGUAGCAGACCCGCUGACUAAACCUCUUCCACGGCCAAAACAUGAUCGACACCAGAACUGUAUGGGUGUUAGAUUUAUUACAAUGUAAUUCACAUGGUGAUGUGAGGGCUAGAUUAUUGACUCUAGUGCAAGUGGGAGACUGUUGGAAUUGUGCCCUAGAGGCAAUAAUAAAUGUAUAGUUAUUAUUAUAAUUCCUGUAUCAAGAUAAUAGUUUAUUAUCCAUGCUAUAAUUGUAUUGAAUGAAGACUCAUUUACAUGUGUGGAUACAUAGACAAAACACCGUCCCUAGCAUGCCUCUAGUUGGCUAGCCAGUUGAUCGAUGAUAGUCAGUGUCUUCUGAUUAUGAACAAGGUGUUGUUGCUUGAUAACUGGAUCACGUCAUUAGGAGAAUCACGUGAUGGACUAGACCCAAACUAAUAGACGUAGCAUGUUGAUCGUGUCAUUUUGUUGCUACUGUUUUCUGCGUGUCAAGUAUUUAUUCCUAUGACCAUGAGAUCAUAUAACUCACUGACACCGGAGGAAUGCUUUGUGUGUAUCAAACGUCGCAACGUAACUGGGUGACUAUAAAGAUGCUCUACAGGUAUCUCCGAAGGUGUUAGUUGAGUUAGUAUGGAUCAAGACUGGGAUUUGUCACUCCGUGUGACGGAGAGGUAUCUCGGGGCCCACUCGGUAAUACAACAUCACACACAAGCCUUGCAAGCAAUGUAACUUAGUGUAAGUUGCGGGAUCUUGUAUUACGGAACGAGUAAAGAGACUUGCCGGUAAACGAGAUUGAAAUAGGUAUGCGGAUACUGACGAUCGAAUCUCGGGCAAGUAACAUACCGAAGGACAAAGGGAAUGACAUACGGGAUUAUAUGAAUCCUUGGCACUGAGGUUCAAACGAUAAGAUCUUCGUAGAAUAUGUAGGAUCCAAUAUGGGCAUCCAGGUCCCGCUAUUGGAUAUUGACCGAGGAGUCUCUCGGGUCAUGUCUACAUAGUUCUCGAACCCGCAGGGUCUGCACACUUAAGGUUCGACGUUGUUUUAUGCGUAUUUGAGUUAUAUGGUUGGUUAACGAAUGUUGUUCGGAUUCCCGGAUGAGAUCACGGACGUCACGAGGGUUUCCGGAAUGGUCCGGAAACGAAGAUUGAUAUAUAGGAUGACCUCAUUUGAUUACCGGAAGGUUUUUGGAGUUACCGGGAAUGUACCGGGAAUGACGAAUGGGAUCCGGGAGUUCACCGGGGGGGUCAACCCACCCCGGGGAAGCCCAUAGGCCAUGAGGGUGGCGCACCAGCCCUUAGUGGGCUGGUGGGACAACCCAAAAGGGCCCUNNNNNNNNNNNNNNNNNNNNNNNNNNNNNNNNNNNNNNNNNNNNNNNNNNNNNNNNNNNNNNNNNNNNNNNNNNNNNNNNNNNNNNNNNNNNNNNNNNNNCGACGGCGAGCGCGGCUGUGACGAGGGAGGCGGCGUACUUGUGGUAGAUCGGGGAGGCGGCUGACUGGACAACGAACGCGCCGCCGUGGUAGUAGACGACGACGGGGAACUUCCUUCUCGGCUCCGCCGCGGUGGCGGCAGGGAGGUAGAGCCGGGCGGAGAUGCUGGCCGCGAGGUCGAGGACGACGUCCUUGGAGGCGACGCCGUUGGCGGGGUCGCCGGAGGGGGAGGGCGGGACGGUCUCGGUGCCUCGCAAGCGCUCCACCCGGCCGCUCUUGUGGAUGCGUAUGAAACCGGGCAUGUCGUACACGAUCUCGGAGCUUGGGUCCAUGACGGCGGACGGCGGACGGCGGCCUUUGGCUUCGCGGCGUAGUGAGAGAGCUUCCCAGGUUCUGUGAUGGGUUAUCGUAGCAGAGCUGCAGCUUGCUCGAUGGGUUACGAUAUACUACUCCGUUUUGGUGCACCGGUACCGAUCAAACACGUCAGCUCGCAGUCUGGACGAACCAUUUUAUAAGGAGUAAUCACACCAUCCGAUAGUUAUUUAAUUUAUCUGCAGAUAAAUCUUCUUUGCAGUGGUGGACUUUUGGUAUCAAUCACACCUUGCACUGAACAGGACAGCGCGGGCCAAGACAGCGAGCGAAGCACAGCGGAAGGC